AGGCCCCAUCUUUAGAUGCUCGUCAUGCUAUGCUGAUUGAAGAAGUGCCAAAACUUGGUAAAGAAGCAGCAUUGAAGGCCAUCAAAGAGUGGGGACAGCCAGUAUCAAAGAUCACUCACCUUAUAUUCGGUGCCGUUUAUGGCGUUGACAUGCCUGGUGCGGACGUCCGUUUGAUGAAUCUUCUCGGCCUAGAACGGUCUGUUAAUAGACUCAUGAUUUACAGCCAAGGCUGUUACAUGGGCGGGGCAGUCAUCCGCCACGCCAAAGAUAUUGCGGAGAACAAUCCUGGAGCGCGGGUCCUCGUAGUAUGUUGUGAUAUCACAGUCUUACACUUUCAUGAGCCCACGGAAGCCCGACUAGACAUGUUGGUGGGCCAGGCAAUUUUUGGUGACGGAGCUGCAGCUGCAAUUAUAGGGGCAGAUCCCGAUGUCUCCCUUAAUGAACGUCCUCUGUUUCAGGUUUUGUCUUGCUCACAAAUGACUGUCCCCAACACCGAAAACAAUGUCGUGGGUCACUUGAAAGAAAUGGGUUGGGAUUACACUUUAUCAAAAGAUUUGCCUGUGAUAAUUGGGAAGUACAUAGACAAGCUUCUAGCUGAUGCAAUGAGUCCGAUUGGAAUCAGUGAUUGGAACUCGUUGUUUUACAUUGUCCACCCCGGUGGCAAAGUCAUUCUAGACCAAGUUGAACAAAAUCUCGGAUUGGGAAAAGAGAAACUUGGGGCAAGUCGAUAUGCGCUUAGCGAGUACGGAAACUUGGGGGCGCCAUCAGUGUUGUUUAUUCUCGAUGACGUGAGGAAGAAGAGUACUGAGGAAAGGAAGGCCACCACCGGUGAGGGGUUGGAAUAUGGUGUUUUGUUUGGAUUUGGACCGGGGAUAACAGUGGAAACUGUUGUUUUGCGCAGCAUUCCUAUAGAUUCCGCCAACUGAUGAAUAUCAUGCUUUUGUUCUCAGUGUUGUUGGCUUCAUGAUUGUCUUAUUAUUUGUUGCUUGCUUCUCUUGUGUGCAUGCGUUGCUUCUGUUUACGGUGCUUCUUAUGUCUUUAUGUAUUUCGUUGUUGAUCUAUUUCUUUUAUUUUCAAUAAAUAUCUCCUAAGUCUCUUGGGUUGUUUGCGAUAUUCAAUAGGAAAACGGUUCUUUUUUCACUGUUCAUAAGCUUCUAUGUUUUACUUUUUCCAAUCAAUCAUUAAUUGUUUGGUUAGAAGGAAAGCUCUGAUUGCCAAUAUUCAAUUUAUGAAUUAGCUCUUUGAUCAAAAAAUAUAUACCUUGUUGUGCAUAACCUUGUCAAAUGGUGAUGUGAGAUAAUAACAAAAAAGGGGAAAGAAAUAACACAUAAAAUUUAGGUGGUUCGGUAAAUUGUCAAUGUCCGUGGUAGGGAGAUCACAAGUUCCCACUAAUACGGUGAACAAAUGUGGAAUACAAAAUAACUUUCAACCUCACUUCUAAAAAAAAAAAAAUCCCUAACACAUCCUUUCUCUCAGAUAAACAUACAAAGAAGAGAACUUUAAACAUAUUCAAGCUCCUCACCGAAAUUGAAUACUACAAACUACAAUUGCUCGAAAGAGCAGUACAAGCUGGCUUAAAUCUUCUUAUUUCUCUUCUUCUUCAGUGAUUUCAACCAUGAAAAUGCGACUUGGGAUUUGUGGAUGUAGAAAAAGCUACUUGUGUAGCCUAAUACAAAGUGCUCCACUAACAUAUUAAGUUCAAACCUAAUAAAUCCACUAUAUCUUGUCUCCCAUCAUAUUUACAUAGUGGAUAAACAUCUCCAUCAACCUCUUAAGUGGAGGCUUGGUUUAGAACCGGGGGCUGUGCUUAAGGUUAAUUAAUUUGCACAUUGGGUGAUUCUUCAUUUUUUUCCUAAUGAAACCUGUUUCAAUCAAAUCUGUAACGCCCCGACAUCAGUUAUGUGAGAAUUGAGAAUAUUUUAAUAGGAAAAUUUGCUUUUUCCUAAUAAAAUUUGUCUAGGAACUUUUUUUUGGGAACCUCUUAUAACAAUCUAAUACAUUCAAAUCUAAUAUUUGAAUAUACAACAAGAACACAACUUGUACAAAUUUAAUUGUACAGGUGUCUCUUCAUAAGCUAUGAGCCUUCCCGUUAACAAAGAAAGCCACCACUCUGAUUUAAUCCAACUUGUCAUUGAGUAUAAGCCCCUUUUGCUUCGUGAAACUAAGCAAAACCUCCUUGAUUUUUCAAAAUCAGUUCAAAUCCCCAUGCCGUUAUAAUUAACUUUACUAAUUAUUUUAUUAUUUUACCCUUGCAAAAUUUAUAAACGUUAAUACAAAUUGAGAAAAAAAUCCAAUUUCCUAUUUUUCCCUUUAAUAAAAAAAUAAAAUAAAAAAGUAAUAAAAUUCUAAAGUCUAUUUCAAGAUGUUAAAUAGAAUUAAUAAUUCUGGAGACUUGGUGGCUUAAACACAAAAAGCCCAAACCCUCUCUUGACUUGGCCUAUGAUGCAGAGCAAGAAGUUUAAGUAAUCUUAAUUAGAUUGAAGUUUAUAAUAUUUAGAACUGUUUUAAUUAAUUUCUAUUAUAACUUAAUUUAAUUACGUAUUUAAAGUUUAAUUGUUUAAGUAUUUCUUAUUUAAGUUGUAAAACAACUUCAGGCAAGAGACUUAGAUUUAGGUCAAUAUAUAUACUAUCUUUUGUAACUUUAGAAUAAAAAUAUUGAUUAUCAUUGAAUUCCAGUUUCGGAGUCUACAUGAGUUUUGAGCUGCCAUUAUUUCUUGGUAAUCUAUGGAGUAAACGGUAUCUAAAAACCUAGAUUUACAGGUUAAGACUAAACAGAGUGUUGAACAUGUCCCUACACUUUUCCAUCAAUCUGUCCUCUUUUUCAGCUGUAUGUUGCCCUACAUCAGUUGGUAUUAGAGUGUGCUUGUAUAGAACCGCACUACAUCAAUCGAGAAUCAGAGCCAAAAAGCCUGAACGAAAUUGUUGCAAAACACUAACUCUGUUCAUUUAAUUUUGUAUCUUUCAUUUUUGUUAUUUCAGUUUUUAAAAAAAUAGAAAAAUUUCAAAAAAUAAGAAAAAUCUAAAAGUCCCAAGAGUAGAAAAGUGUAAACACUAUUAUGUAGGCAUGAUUUUUUAGCUUUCAUUUUCUGCUGGAAAUCCUAGCCACCCAUCAGCACCAUUCCUGCCACCGCACCACUACAGAUAGAGCAUCGGUUCUGCGGUUGACCACAUCACCGGAUUCACCAGCAGCCAACGAACCAAACCCCACCAUCAUCGACACCAGAUCGCCCGAACCAGCGCAACAACAACCAGAAGGCUGCAUCAGCAUCACUGCCUCCGUUCGAUUCGUCGCCGCCGCCGCGAAUUGAAGCUUCCUUCCACCACCGUCGAGUUCGUCACCGCCAGCUCUAUGAAACACAACGAUAGCUAGCUGUCACCAUAUGAGCUAUCAUAGGGAGUUUACUUUUUUCCAUAAUUACAAUUUUGCGCCUGCUGUUGGUUUGAUGGUUUUGCUCUUUUGAUUUUAUUUCGGAUGCCAAAAGAAGAAAAUUAAAAAGUGAGUGGAAAAAAAAAAGACUGGGGCCAAAAUCCAUUUCGCGGCCCCAUAGCGACAACCCUUUCCUUUUUUUAUUUUUUUUUUAAAUUGGUACCAGUGGCCUUGUGCUUGGGUAUUGGACCAACAUUACUUAUUGAAAAAUUCCUAACAUUGGGUCUUUUUUAAACUGAUUUAAUUGAAAUUUGGAGUAAUUUUAUAUUGUUUGAGCAAGAUUUUAGAAAGUUUAUAGAUUUAUUUUUUGAUAACGUUGGAUGAGUUGAAAGAGAAAGAAGUGUGUUUUGAUUCCUAUGGCCAAUGUUGAUGAAUUUGUUGAAAAUAUUGUUUGGCCAUUCACAUCUACAUAAACUACUCUUCAGCACACAAUUGUUGAUUUCAAUCAACCUCCAAGAUUUGAUGAGCGAAUUUUUGGAGACAAUUGCUCUAACAAAAAGAAAAAAAAUUCUGGCAAAGUAGAAUUAAAAGAAACAUAAGUUUGCAUCAUGAGAUAGAAGUUUUUUAACUUCUGCAGCAUAGUUAUAUUAGAUUUAAUCUAAUUAUGGCUCACAUGAUAAAUUGAGUUAUUGGACAUUUAAAGAAGGAGAAACUUAUAUUAAUUACCAUCCCCUCAUUUUAAGGAUAGUGGUAGAGUUUAGUUAUUUCCUUUUAAUUAUGGGAGUCUUAAGAGUGAUUAAAUUCAUAAUCCACUUUUUAAUGGAAGGAAGUGGAGAGUUCCAUUUAUUAAUCUCCUUUUAAUUAGUAAAUUACUAAAUUUUGCCAUAUGAAGGUCCCUAUCCAAGCCAAAUGAUGUCUAAAAGUGUAAAUACUUGUUUUCUAUAACGAAUUUGUCUAGUAAUGAAAUAGGCUAGAAGACACCUUUGUGGGAUAUACUUAAAGAGCUUCAAACACUUAAACAAUCAUAAGUGAAGGUAUGUAUUAUGUGUUGGAGAAAAAACAAUUUUUUUUUUAUUUUUUAUAAAAAUUUGUAGGAUCGCUCCCAUACAAUAUAUAAGAAUUUAUAAUUUAGAAAUCGUACCUUGAAAAUUCGAUUUGGCUUUUUUCGCUGAAGUGAUUUAAGCUCCCAGAUCACUAUCCGUCACCACCACUCUUGUUAGAUCACGAUCCGUCACCACCACUCCUGUUAGAUCACGAUCCGCCACCAAAUAAUCUUCCAGACUAUUACUCAAGUUUGAUCUUCACUUAACGUGUGGACGCUUUUAUCACCACUAAAACAACUAGCACGAGAAAAUUUUUCUCUCAACAAUAGAGAGAAAAAUUUUUUUCUCUGAUCUGUAUAAAGUGGUUGCUCUCCUUUUUUUUGGGAGAAAAUAAGCCAUUUUAUAUUUAUAUCUAGUGGAAACCCUAGACUCCAUUUUUUAUAUUAUUUAAUUCUAUUAAAUCAAGUUUGAUUUAAAUUAAAAAUAAUAAACCAAAAGUAACGUUACUUCUUUCUUGUCAUAGGGGCCCACCUUAUAAAAUAACACAAGACCCCUUAGAUACAAGUACAUUACAUGGAGCCUCCCACUAAAUAAUAUAUUUAGGCUUUUAACCCAAAUAGCUAGUUAUCUUACUUAUUAAUCUAGUAGUGGUGCAGCCAAUUAAAUGAGCUAACCCGGGGAUAAUUUGGGAACAUACAAUAGUGGCUAUAAUAAUUAGGCAUGUAAUUAAACUAGAUCAAUUAUUUAAUUCCAAAUCUACUCCACUAAAAGAUUGGAACUGACCUCCAUAAUUGUAUGCUCGAAUAAUAAUUCGUCCCAAGUCACACUGAUUUCUUUAUUGCUCAAUCAUUUGCACCACAUCGUUAAUUAAAUUGAUAUCUCAACUGUCCAAUCAAUUUAAUUACAUCUUGUUCCUUGAUACUUACUGGUUUUCUCUAAUGAUCAUUUUUAACAUACUAAAUAAGUUGACACACUCUGGCCAGAGAAUUCUAUGAUCAAGUGUCGAAAACCCAUCAAGAGAUGCGUCGUACAAAUUCUAUAUUGUUAAUCUAUAACUCUAACACUCAUAAUUACUCCCACUAAGAUACCGGGUAAUCUUGACCACAAUUGUGUGCAUGCCCAUUGGUAACUUAAAUGGAAUAAGAAUUACAAUCAUGAAAUCAUAAGUAACUCAAGAUUAAGAUUACAGUAAAAUCAAUGCCUAUGAGAUUUAAUAAGUCUGACAGUCAUUUCAAGGUUAAUUAAAUCUCAUAUGUGAUCCAGCUUAAGGUAGUCAAACUACAUUAGUAAAUUCAUACAUGAUUAAGACAAAUUAGUCAAUGAAUUUACUACAGUCUAAACAUAAAUAGAGCGUCCAACUCUCUUUAUCAACUAUGAACUUAAUUUAUUUAAUUAUAAGAUAACUUGUAUUUGUGUCUUCCGUGAAUCUAUAUAAUGAUCACAUAAAUACAUAUAAUAUGAUUAAACGGACCUUAUUAAAAAAUAUUUAUGCAAUUGAAAAUAUCUCAAAUAUUUUAUUAAUAAAAAAAUAAAUUAAUAUGCUUUAAAAGAGCAUAUAAUCCCAACAUUAUGCUUAUUUUAAAUUAACAAGUUAUUCUCUUUGAAUGUGUGAGUACAAUGAAAAUCCAUCAAAGAGAGCUUAAACUUACAAUUCAACCAUCCGUUCCGUAAUCUCCAAGGAGGCUAAUCAAACUUCUUAAUUAAAAAAUUGGCAACCAACAUUGGAUCAUUUAUAUUCUAGCCAAACAACCACAUAAAACCUAGAAGGGAUGAAAGCUGUCCAAAACAUACCAUUCUAUGGGCAAGAAACUUAAGGAUCCUAAAGUAAUUAUAACUCUCCUUAUGAGAAUGUUGCUAUUUUUGGAAGAUAUCAAAACCCGCUUUUCAGCCCAAUAUGUAACUGGAAGAAUCCGAGAACAACUCAAGAAAAUCUGGAGGCGAAUUCCAAGCUCCAUCUUUAAUCACAUCACAAACCUUGCAAGAAAGGUGCAUGUCAAGACUUAAAGAAUAGAGUUUAUACUCGUUCCAUUGCCAACUAUCUAUUUAGAACCGGCAAUAAAUCGAGGAGCAUCGAUUUCAAACCAUGCCAAAGAGAGGAGUUUAAAAAUUUCCUGCCACUAUCCAUAAAAGAAUAACGAGGAUUUAAGAAAGAAAAACACCCUUUGACCUUGAACCGCAUCCCAUAAACUUUUAAGGAGACAACAUUUGUUAAGGCUAUGCAAAUGUCUAAGGCCAAGGUCACUUCUUGGAUAACAAAUCUUAUCCCAUGAAGUUAAUGCCACCUAACGUUUUCAAAAAUCUUCUGUAAGAAUAAAAUUUCGAGACUAGGAGUGAAUUUUUCGUAAAAAGUAAGAAGCAGGCCAGGUAUAAACGUUAGAACCGUAUAGAAGAGUGCUUUGUGGGAAAAAGAGAACUAACCCUACAUGACUAGCCAUGGAUGAUACAUUACCCUUCCAACCCUCCAAUUUAGAUCUGUCUGCCGAGAUUUGAAUAUGUUGCAUUCUAGGAUUACCCUUAAAGAUGGGGACUCCUAGAUACAUAAAUGAGAGAGAAGCCAUAACAAAACCCAAAAUUCCCUUAAUUAUAGCCUGAGGCUGGGCAGCAUAUUUCACUAUGUAAAGAUUGCUUUUGCGCACGUUGAUAGCUUGCCUUAAAGCAAUCCCAUAAUCAUGAAUGAAUUCUUUCAAAUUAAUUAAAGACCGAUGAUCACCCUUGCAGAACAAAACUACAUCAUCCGCAUAUAAUACAUGAGUUCAAGGAAUAGCCAAAGGAUCUGAAAUAGAUUUCUCUUUACCAUUCUUGUAAAGUUCAGAAAUACCCCUACUCAGAACUUCCUCCGCAAUGCAAAAAAAAGAAGAAAGGACAACGGGUCUCCUUGGCCAACCACUCCACUAUAAGAAAAAGAGGGGGGAAAAAAAAAGAAACCUCUAGGGGAACCAUUAAUUAAAACAGAUAGGCUUACCGAUUUAAGAAUUCACCCCAAGAGACAAAAGUACUUUUGAGACCAAAUUUCACAACAUGGCAAGAAGAAAAUCCCAGCUCAACGUAUCAAAAGCUUUAGCUACAUCAAGCUUCAUACUUGAAUUCCCUCCAAAAUUCUUCCUGUCAAGAAGAUUAAUACCUUUGAAACCAUGGCAAUGCAAUCAUGAAUAUGUGGCCCCCUUAUAAAAACAGUCUGCUGAGGUGAAAUAAUUCUAUCCAUCAAAUCUCCAAGUGAUCUGUCAACACUUUGGUUUCUUUUUUUUUUUUUUUUUUUUGAAUAGACCACUUUGGUUAUUACUUCAAAGAAAAAGUUGGACAAAGCUAUAGGCCGAUAACGUGAUAUGGCCCCCGAAUUUGGAGUCCUAGCCAUGAGAUAAAUGAAGUUGGAAUUAAUAUUCGGCAAUACAAUUAAAAUUGUCGGACCUCAUGCAUAACAGUCCAACCAAUUACAUUUGGAUUUUUUAAUCUAGCGUUGUUGGAUCCUUAAUCAAACAUUGGGCUUAUAUGUGACUAAUUAUUAUUGCGGACUGUAAUGUAGGGUUAAACCCAAUUAAAAAUGAUCUAUUACAGUUUUUGGUAAUAUGAGCUUUAUUGUAUCUAAUAGGGUGUGGGUCUUUAAUAUGUAGAGAUUUAAGAGUAAUUUCUAUCUUUAUGAUGGGUUGAAAUAGGAAUACCUAAAGACAAUAGGAAAAUUUGUCUAUAUAGAUGGUCAUAGUCUCUAGGUUGCAUGUCUUUCUAUUCUUUAUGACAUCCCAUCAUUAGAGAGAGAGCACAUAAAUAAUUAAAGGAUUCUCUAGGAGAAUGUGUUGUUCUAGAAGGCUAACCACACAAUCUAGAGAGCAAUUAAGCACUAUGGAUUUAGGUACCUUCUAAAUUAUAGGUGAUACAACAUAUUUUGUUAUUAGUUCUUGGUGAUACAAUAUGAAUGUUACCGAAUUAUGGGUGAUAAUUUUUGCCAAAGAAUUUCUUAUUCUAAAAAUUACAUCAUGGAAAGAUUGAAAGAAACUACUUGAAAAACCAUCAGGCUCUAGAGCUCUAGCAGUAUCUAAAGCAAAAACCACACUAUGAAUUUCAAUAGCAUCAGGAAUGCUAGUAAACAUAAGAUUUUACAUAUCAAAAAAUAAAUCUUGAAAUUAUGUCAGUAAUCCUAAUGGUAGAUACUAUAGAAGUGGAAGAUAUAAGUAUUGAUAAAAAUCAAUAACUUGGUCCAUGAUAUCUUUUUCACUGUUAAACAAGCAUCAUUAGCAUGCAUGGCAUAAAUCAUAGACUUCGCUGCUUUGGCUUUUGCAAAAGUGUGAUAUAUUUUUAAGCCCCUAUCACCAUCUAUUAGCCAUCUCAACUUGGCUUUUUCCAAUUAAUAAUUACAUAGCUCUUCAACAACAUCAAGAACCUCCCUUUUAGCAUUAAUUUCGACUUGAAUAGCAUAACUAGAAUUAUCACUAGCAAAAAGUAGACAUUUUGUUGGGAAGGUAACCAACACAAGCAGUUACAAUUUCAGUAGAAAUAAAUUCUUACUCUCUUUUUGUGAUUAAAAUGAGAUAUGUAUCACAAAUUAAUAAGAAAAAAUUAAUCAAUACAAUCCAAAGUAAUAGGUCAACUACAAGAGACAUAUAUUUUUACUUAAAAAAUCCAAAUCGGGGAAAAUCAUGGGACCAUAGCUCAAUGUAACCUUCCACUAUAUUAGUAAUGGAACUAAAGUACAAAUUCUUUUUUAGAUAACACUGGAAGUUAACAAUACCGUGAAUCUCAAUAAUCUUGAUAACAGUUUAAUAUUCGUCUCUCUAAUAAGUGGUAUCCCAAAUAACAGGCAAUAAGAAAAUAAAAUAAAAAUCAAGACCAUUAGGAAUGCAAAGGGUGAUGGUAGGAUCUUACCCUCCAAAUUUGGGAGAAAAUAGAGUUAAAUUCGUCUUUUGAUCUUCUAAUCAAAAUUUGAAACCCUAGCUCUCAAAUUCAAUAAUCGGCCAUUGUCUUUUGUCUUCUAUCGGUAAUUUUAUUUUCACUCCUCUUUUUCUAAUCAUUCAUAAUGGUUGCCGCUUCACUUGCUUUUAUGUGUGUGUGUUAUUUGGCUAAUUUCAUCUACAUCUAAAACUUAUUGAUAAUCGCACAUCCAGCAAACUCUUUUGGACUUUGGGCUUUUAGACCACUAAAAUGAGAUGGACCCAACAAAUCUCUCCCUUCAGAUCAUGUAGGGGGCACCGCCAAGCCUGCUCUUUAUUUACAGCUUUUCAGCUUCUCCUUCGACAAUGACUUUAUCAUCAUAGCUAACCUAUGUCUGACUCAUCUCAAACUGCAAUUGUUGCUUCUUAAGAACACAUCGUAUCCAAUGAUACCUUAUAUCGAUAUACUUGGAUUUCAAAUGAUAUGUCCAAUUCUUUGCCAAGUGAAUGACACUUUAACUAUUGCAAUAUAGGUUUAUUGUUUGACAACCAGCUCUUUUAGAAAAUUCUUCAUCCAUAAGGUUUCUUUACAACCUUCAAUGAUUGCAAUAUACUCUCCUUCAGUGGUAGACAAAGCAACAUAUUGUUGAAGUCUAGACUGCUAUGAAACUGCUCCCUUUAUAAAGCUAAGUAAAUAUCCUAAUAAGAAUUUUUUGAAAUCAACAUCUCCCACCAUAUCUGCAUCUGUAUAUACUUGCAACACAAAAUUGUCACCACUAAAGGAUAAACAUGCCUUGGAAAUGCCUUUGAGAUAUCUAAGAAUCACUUCUAAUGUUCUUUGCCAAAAUUGGAGAAAAACCAAUUGACUACAGCAAUUACAUGAGCUAGCUUGAUCUUGUACAAACCAUGGCAUACAUCAAACUACCAACUGCUGAAGCGUAACGAACUCUUCUCUUCUCUCGCUUCCUUUUUUCACUUGUCGAACAAUUUUAAAAACCAAACUUAAAAUGGCCUGCAAGAGGAGAACAAGCAUAUUUUACCUUGCCCGUGUUAAAUUUUUCAAGAACCCUUUCAAUAUAUGCUUCUUGAGAUAACCAUGACUUUUCAGCUCUUUUGUCAUAAGAAAUCUUCUCGCCAAGAAUUUGCUUUACCGAUCCUAAGUUCUUUAUUGCAAAAAACUUACCAGACUCUUUCUUUAGAUUAUCAAUCUUGCUAAUGUCCUGACCAAAAAUCAACACGUCAUCCACAUAAAGCAAAAAAAAUGAUAAAAUCAUGGUCACCAAACUACUUUACAAAAUCAUAAUGGUCAGAUUUAGGACCAGUUUAGGAAUGCUGUAACUUUUAAAAUAAUUGUUGUCAGUUUGUGCUAUAGAAAUAAUCAGCGGUGAAGAUAAUCAAUUAAGUGUUUGGUAAAUUUUAUUUUCAAAAGUACUGUGAGUUUCAAAAGCAAUUAUAAAUGUUUGGUAAAUUCUACUGUUAAACUGCUGAGAGAAAAUAAAUGACUAAAAUGUACAUAAUGUAAGAUAAAAUUUAUUUAUAAAUAUGUAUAUAAAACAUUUUUAAUUGUGUAUUAUGAUAAUUUUUACUAAAAAUAAAUUUUAUAAUAUAUUGAUUUUUUUAUCUUAAAACAAUUGAUAAUUAAAUUUAUAAUAUAGUGAGACAAAUUUAAUAAUAAUUUGACCAACAAAUUGAUAUUAAUAAAUUUAUAUUGAUGAAUUAUAAGCCAAAAUUUAUUAAAAUAUUGAUUUUGUUUCCAAUUUGAAUAAAGAUAAUUUUUGGUUUAGAUAAUAAUUUUAAGAAUAUUUAUGGAAUUGUAUUAAAGGUAAAAUUGAUUCUCAAAAUCAAAAUCUAAAAGUUAUUCCUUCCAUUUUUUUCAAAAUCAGCUGUAGGACGGGUUGAUUUUGACAAAAGUGAUUUUAACUUUUUUAUUUUACUAAACACUAAAAUUAGCUUUUAUAUUUAUAAAAUUACUUUUAAAUCUCCCAAAAGCAAUAUCUUGGUGAAACCAUGAUUCUCCAUAAAGAAUUAGACUUCUUAUACCACUGUCUUGGUGCCUCUUUCAGCCUAUAUAAACUUUUCUUCAAACUUACACACAAGUUCUUUGAUUUGACACUGAAUCCUUCAAGUUACUCCAUGUAUAUUUCCUCUUCUUAGUCACUAUGAAAGGUAGUUGUCUCUAUAUCAAACUAUUCAAUCGUCAAAUUCAAGCUAACUGCUAAUUUCAAAACAACUCUGGUAGAAUACAUCUUCACUAUAAGAGAAAAUAUUUCUUCAAAAUCAACACCUUUCUUCUGACUGAAACCCUUCACAACCAAUCUAGCCUUGUACUGCUGUUGUGAGUGAUUUUCAGUUUUCAACCUUUAAACCCACUUGUUCUUCAAUGUCCUUUUUCUUUUAGGAUGCUUUACUAAGUCAUAAAUGUGUUUUCAUUUAAAGAUUUCAUUUCCUCUUACAUGACUUUAACCUACUCACUUUUAUGCUGGUGAGACAUGACUUCUUUAAAACAUUCAAACUCUCCUCCAUCUAUAAGAAUCAGUUUCAAAAGCAAUUAUAAAUGUUUGGUAAAUUCUACUGUUAAACUGCUGAGAGAAAAUAAAUGACUAAAAUGUACAUAAUGUAAGAUAAAAUUUAUUUAUAAAUAUGUAUAUAAAACAUUUUUAAUUGUGUAUUAUGAUAAUUUUUACUAAAAAUAAAUUUUAUAAUAUAUUGAUUUUUUUAUCUUAAAACAAUUGAUAAUUAAAUUUAUAAUAUAGUGAGACAAAUUUAAUAAUAAUUUGACCAACAAAUUGAUAUUAAUAAAUUUAUAUUGAUGAAUUAUAAGCCAAAAUUUAUUAAAAUAUUGAUUUUGUUUCCAAUUUGAAUAAAGAUAAUUUUUGGUUUAGAUAAUAAUUUUAAGAAUAUUUAUGGAAUUGUAUUAAAGGUAAAAUUGAUUCUCAAAAUCAAAAUCUAAAAGUUAUUCCUUCCAUUUUUUUCAAAAUCAGCUGUAGGACGGGUUGAUUUUGACAAAAGUGAUUUUAACUUUUUUAUUUUACUAAACACUAAAAUUAGCUUUUAUAUUUAUAAAAUUACUUUUAAAUCUCCCAAAAGCAAUAUCUUGGUGAAACCAUGAUUCUCCAUAAAGAAUUAGACUUCUUAUACCACUGUCUUGGUGCCUCUUUCAGCCUAUAUAAACUUUUCUUCAAACUUACACACAAGUUCUUUGAUUUGACACUGAAUCCUUCAAGUUACUCCAUGUAUAUUUCCUCUUCUUAGUCACUAUGAAAGGUAGUUGUCUCUAUAUCAAACUAUUCAAUCGUCAAAUUCAAGCUAACUGCUAAUUUCAAAACAACUCUGGUAGAAUACAUCUUCACUAUAAGAGAAAAUAUUUCUUCAAAAUCAACACCUUUCUUCUGACUGAAACCCUUCACAACCAAUCUAGCCUUGUACUGCUGUUGUGAGUGAUUUUCAGUUUUCAACCUUUAAACCCACUUGUUCUUCAAUGUCCUUUUUCUUUUAGGAUGCUUUACUAAGUCAUAAAUGUGUUUUCAUUUAAAGAUUUCAUUUCCUCUUACAUGACUUUAACCUACUCACUUUUAUGCUGGUGAGACAUGACUUCUUUAAAACAUUCAAACUCUCCUCCAUCUAUAAGAAUCACAUACUCAUACGGAGGACAUCUAGUGGAAGUUCACGUUUUCUAGUGGAUCUCUUCAAUUCUAGCUCAACUAGUAGGGCAGGGGUAGGUCUAGAAAUACUUGCUCAACUUGUUCUACUAGAACAUCAUUAUUAUCCUCUCUAGCUCUCCCAUGAUCAUCAUGAACUACAGAUGCAGAAACUGAAGUUAAAGUAAUAGGAAUCUUUGGGAAUGAUUGAAAUUCAUUAUUCUUCUCUUCAUCAUCAAUUAUUUGAUCUUCAAGAAAUUCAACAUAUCUAUUGCUGAUCAAUUUCCUUGCCACUAGAACCCACAAUCUGUAUCUAAAUUCUUCAUGUCCAUAGCCUAAGAAAUGUAUUCCUUGGCUUUAUCAUUUAACUUUGAUCUCUCAUCUUUAAGGAUGUGAACAUAUGAUUCGUAACCAAAUGCACUCAAAUGUUUAGAAAAAAAAAAUUCCGAUCUAAACUCUCUUAGGAACGUUACCAUCUAAUGAAGCUGAAGAAGAAACGUUAAUCAAAUCAACUGCAAUACAUAUAGCUUCUGCCCAGAAAGAUUUAAGAAACUUAGUAUCAGAAAACAUACAUCUAAUCCUUUCUUUAAUUGUUAUAUUCAUCCUUUCUAUAUCUACUAAAGGGUUUUGGUACAAUUUUCUCAACUUUAAUUCCAUGGGAUCUGUAAUACUGCUCAAAUGGUCCUUUGCAUUGCCCUGACACAUUUUAGUUUUCUUUGUGACCCUCUCCUAACAUAAGCAUAGAAGAACUUAAAAAUAUCAAGCAUCUGGUCUUUAAAUUUCAAAGUAAAAGUUUACACUUUCUAGAAUAGUUAUCAAUAAAAGUUACAAAAUAAAGCGCGCUUCUUAUUGAUCUACUUUGCAUCAUGCAAAUAUCAAUGUGAAUCAAAUCAAGGACUUUCUAAAUAGAGAAAAGUUUUUAAAAGCUAGUCUAUGUGUUUUUCUAACUAAGCAAUAAACAAAAGUCUUGAAGGAUAUAUCUAUAAAGUUGGGAAGAAAUCUUCUUCUGGCAAGAGUUUCCGUUUCUCAUCAACAUGACCAAGAAUUUUGUGCCAUGUCUGAAUGUCAAAAUCUUUUAUAACCACAUUCACAUCUUCCUUCUUAAUCUUGGCUUGUAUCACAUGAAGAGUGUUCACUUUCUUUCUCUUAGCUAACACUAGGGAGCCUCUGGUGAGCUUAUAUUUUCCUUCACCAAAUUAGUUAGAAUAACGAUCAUCAUCAAGUUUACCUGUAGAUAUCAAAUUAAGGUAAAUAUCUUGUACAUAUUUGACAUCUUUAAGUAACAACUUACAGCCUACACUGGUUUCGAAGCGAAUAUCUCCUAUGACCAUAAUCUUAUAUGCCCUCUCAUUCCUAUUCAAACACGAGCAUAAUCAUUAUUACUAUAAGAUAUGGAGUAAUCAUGAUAUGUAUUAACUAAAAUAAGCACCCAAAUCAAUCACCUAAUCACUGGUAUAGCAAGAGAGAUUUAUAGAGCUCUUAUCAUAAACAAUAUCAUAUUACCAUCAAUUAUAGCUAUAGUGUUCUCUUUGUCAUUUUUCUAACCAUUGGCCCUUUCCUUCGCUUGUUCUCUUUUCCAUAAGUUACACUCCCUUUUUAUAUUACCCAUUUUUUGACAAUGAAAGCACUUGAUGUUUCUCCUCUGGGACUUAUAUCUUUCUCUCGGGUUAUUAUUGUUCCAUUGAUGGGAAUAUUUGCUUUGACUUUUUCUCUGUCUUUCUUGGUUUUUCAAAACAAAUGCAUCUAACUUAGAAGGAACCACUUCAACACUAUUUUUUUUAGAUUCUUUAUUGCGUAAAUUUAUCUGUAACCAUAUCAAAAGUUAAUUUUCCAUUCGAUACUGAAUUAUUCACUGACAUUGCUAGUGUCAUCGAAUUGUCAGGCAAAGAACUUAGCAACAACAAUGAUAUUGUAGCUUAUCAUCUAGAAUAAUCUUUAUAGUAGUCAACUGAUCAACCAAGACCUUAAAGUCACUAGUGAAUUCAGUUAUACUACGCCCCUCUAUGCUGUCGGAUGCUCAUAAAUUAUUUCCAAUUUCCUUCAAAGAACAUCAGCUAUGGAUUCCUUCGCGAUGUCGUAGUACAUACUUUGAUUAAUCUAUGACCUAAUAGUAUCCAUGGCCUUCUAGUUUAAUUGAGUCCAUUUUUUAUCAUCUAAAUCGGUGGAUCUAGCUUCUUCGCCUUCGAUGGGUUCAUGUAAGUCUUUCAUGUAUAGCAGAUCCUCCGUUUUAAACCUCCAGAUACCAUAAUACUAUUGCUUUAAUUUAAUCAUCCAUGCUAAAUACUUCUCCAUCUCAAUCAUAUAAAUAAUAAAAACACAUACAUUGACUUUGAUACCACUUUGUCGGCAAAGAAACCUACACAAAUGGCUACAAUUUAAGUGGAAACAAUGUCUUUUCCUCUUUACGAGAUUAAAAUGGGAUGUGUACCACAAAUUAAUACGUAGAAAAUAAAUCAAUACAUUCCAAAGCAAUAAGUCAACCACAACAGAUAUAGACUUUUAUGUAAAAAAACCCAAAUUUAAAGAACCAUGGGGCCAUAGUUUGACACAACCUUCCACUAUAUUAAUAAUGAGAUUACAACAAAAAUUAUUCUCCAGAUAACACUAGAGGUUAACAACAUCAAGAAUCCAAUAAUCUUGGCUUACAAUAAUAGCCUAAUAUAUGUCUGUCUAAUAGUGGGUAUCUAAAAUAACAGCGAACGAGAUGAUAAAACAAAAAUCAAGACUAGUAGAAAUGUAGAGGGUGAUGACAGGAACUUACAAUUUAAAUUUAGGAGAAAAUAGAGUUAAAUUCACCUUCCAAUUGUCCAAUCAAAGAUUGAAACGCUAGCCCUAAAAUUCAAUAAUCGGUCAUUUUCUUUUCUCUUCUCUUGCAAUUUUAUUUUCAUUCACUAAUCUUUUAACUAUCAUUCAUAAUGGUUGUCGCUUCACUUGCUUUUAUAUGUGUAUAUUAUUUGGCUUCCAAAAUUUAAUGAUAGUUGCACAUUAAGCAAAUCUUUUGGACUUUGGACUUUUCAGCCACCCAAAUGAAAUGGACCCAACACAUUUCAAUAUCUGAAAAGGCUUAUCUCUAGCCUUUAUUUGAGAAGCUGAAGUUUUAGAGAAACCAUAAACAUAGGACCGUCGAUAUUUGGUUGCGAGUGCUAAAUGUUCUAAAUAGGCCAUUGCAUAUCAUGCAUAUUUAUAUAAGUAUAUAUAUUUUUUAGUAUAUGAAAAGCUGGGUUGCUUAUUGAAUUUUGUACUUAUUAUAAUUUAUUGUGAUUCUCAGUGAUGAAGAUUGAUUCAUGAUGAGUAAGGAGAAGGAUUUAAAAUUAAGGAUGGUAGAUGAUUUAGCAAAUUUGAAAGUCUUCCAUUGCUUAAGGAUUGAUUUUUUUUCUUUUUAUAUAUUCUAUAAAGAUUUUUAAGUUUACUAGUGUUAACACUUCCACCAUGCUUAAGUUGUGCAUUGUAUAGAAGGAUAAACCCUUCGAAUCUUAACUCGGGUCGUUACAUGGCCAUUAUGCCUUCCAUAAAUUAUCACAAUAUAAGUCCUUAACUUGAAAGUACCCAAUUUCAUAAAACUUAACAGGGUAACAAACAUCAUAAAUUAUAACUAGAUAUUAUCAUUUUCCUAUUUAAGUUUUUCUGACACAUCAAGUCAGUACCAAGAUUUGGUGAAAAUUUUAUUUUACCACUAAACAUUUACACUGUUAUUAGUUUACCAUCAUUCUAUUAAAAAUAAGUCAAUAUUUAACAAAAUAUGAGUUAAGAGCCGAUUUUUUCCUUUGAGCAAAGACAAUAUUUUUUUUUUUCCAUUUGAAAAGAUAGAAAUUACAAAAGAAAAAUUUAUCAUUUAUCCACUGGAAGUUUUCUGAAAUAUCAAUUCAGUACUAAAACUCUUUGAAAACUAUAUUUUACCACCUAAUAUUUCAACUGUUAUCUCUUUACCACCAAAAUGUUAAAAUAACUAAACAUUUAACCUAGAGUAUAAAAGACGAUUUUGUUAUUUGAAAAUAAAGAAAUUACAAAAAAAAAAAAAUUACCUUAGAACGAUAGUGAUUAUAUUCAAUAAUGAUUACUUUUUAAUUAUAUAAAUAUGUUAUUGUGCAUUCAAAUAUCGAAAUUCCAAGUAAUACAAGCCAAGUACUUCUGUUUUUGAUAAUAUUAUUCAACACUAAUAGCCUAAGCCAUUUCAAACACUACAAUUAUAAGCUAAAUACUCUAAAUUUAACACUUCAUCAUUCAAUAAUUGUGUUGACAUUUUGGUUCAAAGUUAAAUUCCUUAAAUUCCCUUAUGACAUUUGCGAAUUUUUAACUAUGUUAACAUAAUGUUGGUAAGGUGGUAAUAACUUAAACAUUAGGUGGUAAAAUGUAGGUUUUAGGAAACCUUAGUACUGAAUUGAUAUGUUAGAAAACUUUUGGUGGAAAAAUAAUAAUAUCUUUUUCACAAUUGAACGAUAUGUUAUGGUUUUAACCUGAAAUUUUUUAAAUGACCUAAUAACAUUAGGAAAUUUUUAACUGUAUUAACGGAAUGAUGAUAAAGUGAUAACAACAUAGACAUUUGGUGGUAAAAUUGUAGUUUUCACCAAACCUUGAUAUUGAGUUGAUGUGUCAGAAAAACUUAGAUAGAAAAAUGAUAAUAUCCCAGUCACAAAUUGCAAAUACAAUUAAUAAAUAUAAUUCUUUACAUAUAAAGACAUGUAAAAAACAAUUGCAUGUUCAUGCUUAUACCAAUACUUAAUAUCACACAUUAUCAAAAACUUUUACAAUGCACAUAUUAAAACAAUCUUUCCAAAAUCUACACAAACGUAUAUUUCAUUGUGGGGUCCGGCUACGGUGCAACGGUGGUACCGUGCUACCGUUGCAUCCAGCCGUUGGAUCCACUUAGAUGGAUGGAUCCAUUGGGAUCCAAUAGUUGGGUGCAACGGUGGUACCGUGCCACCGGCAUCCAGCCGUUUGAUCCACUUAGAUGGAUGGAUCCAUUGGGAUCCAAUAGUUGGGUUCAACGGUGGUACCGUACCACCGUUGCACCAUAAUUUUCUCCUUCAUUGUGAUCUUAGUUUAAUCUAGUUUACUUCCUCUCACCCACUAUAACCAUAAGUUUAACCUCAUAAAUUAACUACUAUAACCUAAUAUCAAAAUUGAACUCUCUUACACAUCAUUAGACAAAUAUAAUAAAGAUUCUCCUUAAGUAACUACCUAUAACUUCAUACAUCAACAGAUUUCAUUCAUAAAAUGUAGAAACAUUAAUGACCAGCCCUCAAUAUCUGAUUUUUAUUAAAUAAAACACUUAUUGAAAAAUCAUAAACUUUUGCAGGAUUUAAAUAGAUAUUAAGCAAACGUGUGGCAAAAAUUUCAAAUCCAAAUUCAUUUUACGUCUAUUUAAAAUAAAUUUUAUUUCAAGACUUUCAGGUCCUGAAAUCCAGAAUCCAGCAUUGAGGACCCUUCACUCGUCAAUUCAAAAUAAAUAAAUAAAUAAAUAAAUAAAGCACAAGGAAUUAAGACCCGGAUUUUGGAUAUUACUAGAUAUACACAAGGAAAAUCUAAAAGUCUUAUAAUUUUUAGAGACGUUUUGAACAGCCAACAGAUUUUUCUCAUUUGUAACACUGCAUAAAUUUCGAUUUUCUAAAAUCAUAGUGUCUUAUUUGAAAAUUCAUUAGAAUGUAUAAGUCAUUUUUUAAUGAAAUAAGUUCCUAUGUAGCCCCUAACAUGUCUAGUUUUACCAGAUAUGAAACAAAUUUUCCAAACUCGAAAAAAUAUAAUUUUAAAUAAUUUUUGGAGUGAGAGAAUGUCAUAUAAAAUUUGGGCAUUUCAUUAAUCCUCAUGGUUUUCACUUAAUUAAUAAUUAAUCAGUCACCUAAUACUCAUGAAAUUCUUUUUAAUUUUGAUAUGCUUCCAAAAUAAGACUCUUGAAUGCCAUUAUUAAUCCCACAUAACGCGAAAGAAGUGCCAAAGCUAUUUAGCAACGAAUUCCACUCAGAUAAACAAACCUAGUACGGUAAGAAACAUUGUAUUAUUUUCAAAUAAGUUAAACUUGCCAUGAGAUGCCAACACUAUAAAGACCCAAAGUCCUAACAAGUACCCAAAUGUCUUAGACAUGCAUGUCUUUAGUAGCUCCACAAUUGUCCAAUACCUUUGUACUUCAAUGAUAAAAGCCACAGCAAAAAUCUUUAACCACCUCUCUCUUCUCUAACAGCCGACCAAGAGGAAGAAAAAUGGAAUAAAAAAAUCAUUUCUCUUGAAUCUUUAUUUUUUACCUAGGUUUAGCUAAUGGGCUUGGUUAAAAUGAUUCAUAUGGGCUGGCCGAAACGAGGCUAAAUAAUAUAUCCUAGGCCCAAAAUCAAGCUAAACCAACUACUUACACAAUACUAAUAUUUGUACUAAUAUUUUUGGUAGUAACAAAUAAGAAUAAGAAUAAGAAUAAUAUUAAGAAAUAAAAAAAUAAAGAUAAAUUAAGAAAAUGAUCAAUAAUCGUAACAAUACAAUCAAAAUAAUGCUAAUAAUUACUCAAUUGAUUCACUAGUAUUAUAUGGCACUUGUAGACUUUUGAAAAAUUAUUGAAUUUCUAAAUAAAAUAUGAUAAUAUUAUGAGUUUUAGAUCUAAAAUCUUCAUUCUGACUCAGCACAUUUUUUUACAAUUUUUUAAUUUUUGAGAAAAAAGUCAUUCAAAUUAUAUGAUCUAAUAAAUAUUUAUUAUAAUAAAUACUGAAACUUUUUAAUUACUAAUUUAUUACGAGGAACAUCAACAUAUCCUAAAAUUACACACAAUUUACAUCAGUUUUUAACCCUCAGACUCAUAGCUAAUCAAUGGUUCAAAUUAAAUGACACUACUACUCAAGAUUCUAAUUACUUCUCGGCACCCCACAACCGUUCCUUUGUUCCCAACAAUAAUAAAUACUUUUUCUAGAUCUUUAUCUCAUUUUUCGUUCUUCCUUCUUCACAAAUCAUUUGCAGAAAAGACAAACAAUCAAUAUUAGAAAAAGAACUAAUAGAGUCUUAUUAACAUCGAACGUUCUGAAAAACUUCAUGACUUAAUAGUUGAAAAUUAAAUUGCCAACUCAUUCAACAAAAAUUUGAUAAUCAUUGUUUGCAAACACAAAUUUGCAAUCUUAUUCAUUGAACAAAAUAAAAAUGUGAAAAAUAUUUUCAAUUCAUGGACGAAGCACUUGUUAAGUAAACUAUCAUAUUAGUCUACUAAUAACUCAAAAUUAUUUGUUCAAAUUACCCAAAUCGGAUCAUUUUCAGAUCAUUCAAGAUAAUUUCAAAUGCAUCGAAUUACAAUAACUAAGUAAUUCAUAAGCUUUUAUUCAUUUAUAUGUUAUUGGUUCGGAAUAAAAUAAUGUUGGAGAAUUGGGAAAAUCCUUUUUCCGUGCAGGUAUGAUAUAAGAAUUUUGAAAUGGCUAACGAACUAUUAUAGCGAAAAUAGGAUUUUCUUAUAAUAAAAGAGAGAGGUGAAAGGAAGGAGAAGCAAAGAGUAAAAUUAUUGAAGAAGGAGGAGAGAAAAAGAUCUUAGAGUGAGAUCCAUAAGAAGUAAUUAGAGUCUUAAAUAUUAGUGUCAUAUAAUCUGAACAUUGAUUAGUUAUAAAUCUAAGGGGUAUAAAUUGAUUUAAAAUUAGGUGUAAUCUUAGGGGGUCUGAUCUACCUCUAAUUUAUUAUUAACAAUUUUUUUUUUUUUGCUUUCCUUCUUUAGGAACAAGUGGACCUUUUUUUUUUUGCUUUCCUUCUUUAGGAACAAGUGGACCUAUUUUUUGAUGUUUUGUAAACUUUAUUUUACUCAAAUUUUUAUUAUAUAUUUUUUUCUAUAGGAAUAAAACUGUUACACUAAGAAAAUAAAUUUUUACAUGUUAUAUCUCCACAAUUGAAAAGAAAAAUGGGAAAUUUACAAAACAAACCUAAAUUUUUUUAUAAUUUUUACAAUUGGUCCUCUAAAUUUAUUUUUAUCAACAUUAGUCAAAUAAUAUCUCAAGUGGCCAAAAUACCCCUCUCAUUCUCACCAAGCUUCCUCUCUCCCUAACUAACUAUUUCUCUCCCAAUUUGUUCACUCAUCGCCGGCGGCUUCCUGAGUCCAUUCUCGGCAAGAAAAUUACAAUACCUAUCUAAAAAACUGAAAACGACGUAGUUUCAUCCCAAACCAACCGUUUAGCCGCCACCUUUUUUUGUUUGACCGCCGGUAUGGCAUUUACAGCCGCCGGUAGUGGUCUCCAGCCACCACUGAACCAACGCGUCACCACUGGUGACGGCCACCAGUCACGGAAGUCCCCCAACCAGCCGCAAACAACCGAAAUCCGUAGCCCUAGAUCACGUCAAGUUGCUCAUUCCUUUUCUACCAUCGUCGCCGCAUCAGUAACCGUCGGUGACAUUCCCAACCGACCAAUGCAGCCACCCUUGUCCCAUCACGAUACGGCGUUGUCUGCAUUACUGCCGCUGCAACCUCCAUCUAUUUAAACUGACGCGAGUUAAAAAAACCCUAGUUCACACUUCGUAACUCAUGCGGCGGCUGUUACCUCUUCAGAACCUUUGCCUGAUGUCACCUAACCUGGCCUUUCACUGUGACGAUGCCAUGUUAAUGAACCCAACACCCAUAACGUUCAAACGCUGUUGGCCGCUGCAUGUGGUGGUAUUCCACUGCCAGCUGCGAUUCAUAGCCCUGUUCAGCCUUCGUCUGACCCUCACGUAGCCUCCCCAUAACUUUUGCCAAUGCCCACAACAAGCUCCCAUGUACCCCAUGCAACCUCGGUUUUGGAUUCACGCCCUAACGUUACUCAUAUGAAUCAAGCAUCCAAAACCGUCAUCCAAGAUCCUCAUCGCCCUCUACCAAAUACAACCAGUGAUAUCUUGGCUGGUAACCAAGACCCAAGUCGACCAACCCCUCUUAACCCCUCAACUCGUAAUUCAAAUCCUAACUCCAAGUCCACCUAUGCUUUGGUUUUGAACCCAGCCUCCAUCCUUAAUCCUUCUGCCUCACUUCAGCCUCAUAAGUCAUUCCUUGAUGCCGUCAAGGGUUGCACUGUGUUUACUAUUCUAGUUAAGCCGACCCUUUUACAUCGCGGUGAGCCUGCUGUUCUUUUCUCGGCGGAAGAAGUUAAAGCUAUGGAAAAACCUUUCAAACAGGCAUUGGUUGGUAAGUUUUGUUCCGGUCGACCCUCUAUGGAUGUUAUUAGAAAAUUUUUUGUUUCCCUGGGGUUGAAAGGGAAUUGUCAAGUAUCUUUGUUGGAUAAUCACCAUGUGUUGAUUAAACUUUCCUUAGAGAAAGAUUACUCGCGUACUUAGGCGAGGCGGACUUGGUAUGUUAGUGGUCGGGGUAUGCGUAUUUUUAAGUGGAGUACUGAUUUUCGUUGUUCGGUGGAAUCCCCUAUUGUGCCUGUCUGGGUAUCAUUACCUUAUUUGCAUGUUCAUUUUAUUCAUUGUAAGGCUGCUUUAUUUUAUAUUGCUGCUGCUAUGGGUACACCAUUGCGUGUUGACCAUGCCACAACCUCGGUUAAUAGGCCUUCGGUGGCUAGGGUACUUUUUGAGUAUGAUGUUUCAUGGCUUUGUUGCCACGUAUUUGAAUUGGUGAGGGGAUGCUGGUUUUUGGUAGGAUGUUGUUUUCGAGCAAGUUCCUGCAUAUUGUGCUUCAUGUAAGCAUCUUAGUCAUUCUGCUGACUUAUGCUAUGUUGCUAACCCUGUGCUUCGCAAGCCCAAUCCGCCAGUUGGAGAGUCUAAAGGGGUUGCACUCCUGGAUAAGGGUAAAGCAACAGUUUCAGAUUCUGUUGUUCAGACUUUGGUAGGUCGUGACGCUCAAUACGUUGUCAUUGCUGAUAAUCGGCCUCAGGUGCCUAAUUUACAACAUCUUGUAGAUCAGGGUCAGAGUUUGAUUUUUGCUUUAGCUCCUCUUACAGAGCCUCAUCCAAUGUGCCCCGUCGCUGCUAAUGAGACUCAUUUUGCCUCUAUUCCUUCUGGAUCGGGUUUGGAGACCGCAUUGGGUGAUUAGGGUCGAUCAGCAGGUGCUGUUAAUGCUGGUUUGGGUGUUCCGAUUGUUCAUCCAAUGCCUGUAGAUGAUCAUUUACGUGUUGCUUCUAAUACGCAUUGCCCUGAUAUUCCUAGAUUUGAUGAUGAGGAGGGUGAUGGUCGGUUGGGUUUGUCCCACCUAGAUGGGGAUGCUGUAUCUAAUGAGUCGGCUUCUGGUUAUGAGGGUCGCUUUUUUUUUUUUUUAUAUUAAUCAUGAGGUAUCCUGGGGAGGGCUCCAACUGUGGGAGGCACCUUUAAGCCCGUACCACAACCCAGAUUAGAAGUCCCCGCUCAAACCGGGAGGCAUAGGUUCUCCCAACAAAGACGACUUCCCUGCGACUCGAACUGAGGGUCGCUUUUUGAUUGAUCCUGAGGAUGCUCAAACUCCUGUGGCCCCAUAUACAGUGAUUGAUAGAUUUGAUGGUGAGAGGGUUGCCGCUUCAUCUCGAGAUUUUUCUUUCAUUACUAGUCGUAAAUAUCGUAAUACUCGUAGGCGGAUGUGGUCUCACUCCUCAAACCCUUAUGAUUAAUUCACUCAUUUGGAAUAUUAGGGGGAUCAGUAAGGCCCCCGCGGUCCGCAGGUUUCGAAAAUUGAUUCGGUUGCAUUGACUAUCUUUGAUUUGUGUGCUAGAGCAUUUUCUUUCUGCUGAUCGAUUAGAGGUUACUCGGUUUCGACUAGGGAUGGAUCAUGUUAUCUCUUCUUAGUCUGGGAAGAUUUGGGUUUUUUGGUCUACGCCUUUUUCGGUGGAGAUUAUGAUUGAUAUGGGCCAGGUGAUUGAUUGUCGGUUUAGUCAUACUCUUUUUCCUGAACCUGUGUUUGUUUCUUAUGUUUAUGCUAGUUGUUCUAUGCAUGUGCGAGAGAAUUUGUGGGAUGGUCUUAUGUCGUUUGCUAAUGGUCAUGAUGGAUUGUGGAAGAGAUUUUAAUGUUGUGCAGACUGUCUCAGAGAUCUUUGGUGGGCAUGCUCAGCCUCAGGGGGCUAUUGUUGCUUUUAAUUUAGCAUUGCUAGAUUAUGGUUUAAAGGAUGUUGGGUUUCUUGGCAGUCCCUUUACUUGGACUAAUGGGCGGAUAUGGAAGCGUCUUGACCGAUAGUUUGCAAUGCCCAUUGGUCCAUUUUUUCUCUAUUUUUCGGGUCACACACUUUAAUCAUACUGCUUCGGAUCAUUCGCCUUUAUUUUUAUCUUGUGAUAGGGAUAUGGCUAGUGGGCCUUAUCGAUUUAAGUUUUUGCAUGCAUGGCUCAAGCAUCCUGGUUUUCUUAAUGUUGUGCGACAGUCUUGGUCUGCUCAAAUGGUAGGUUCUGGGAUGAGAGCUUUUCAGUAGAAGCUUGUUCGAUUCAAGCUUUGCUUGAAGGUGUGGAAUAAGGAUGUGUUUGGUAAUGUUUUUUCUCGGGUCAAGGAGGCAGAGAAGGAUCUUGCUCAAAAGGAGAGGUUGUAUGAUCUUUCUGGUUCUGCUACUGACAGAGCUAUUUUUUCUAAGGCUAGGGCCCGAUUGCAGCAUGCUUUGCUUUGUGAGGAGAUUUUUUUGCGUCAACAAUCUAGUGUUCGUUCGGUUCGCGAUGGAGAUGUUAAUACUCGCUUCUUCCAUGCAAUGGUUUGGAAUAUGUUGUCCUCUAUGCCCUUGCAUUUGUUUCAUGUUCUUCGGCCUCUUUUGGUUGUGGUUCAGCGUUUAGAGCGAUUGUUCACUCAGUUUUUAUGGGGCGAUUCUUAGGGGAGGCGUCGAAUCGACUGGUGUAGAUGGUCAAAGUUUUGCUAUUCGGUUGAGGAAAAUGGACUUUGUAUUCGGUCUUUUGAUGAUAUAGGUAAGGCUUUUGAGCUUAAGCUUUGGUAGCAUUUUUGAGAGCAGAGUUCGUUAUACGCUUCCUUCAUGAAGUCUAAGUAUUGCAGCUCUACACAUCCGAGUCUUAUCCAGUUUCAAUAUCCUGCUUCUCCUAUUUGGAGACGACCUUGUUUGAUUCGGUGUAUUGCUGGGCCUCAUGCGCGUUGCUUAAUAGGGCGCGGGGAGUGUAGUUUUUGGUAUGAUUGUUGGCUGCGCUCUUGUCAUUUAGUUAUUUAUAAUCCUGCAGCGGCUUCUUCAGUUCCGGUUUCCUUUUUUUGGCGGGGAGAAGUCUGGGACAUGGGCAAAUUAGAGGAUGUUUUGCCUACUUCUAUUGUUGAGCAGAAUUUAUUGGUGUCGAUUUCUAGUGAAGAGGUUGAUUUGAACCGUUGGGAUCUUGCAUCUGAUGGCACGUUUCACUUGCAGUCUGCUUGGGAGCUAGUGCGUUGUUCUAGCCUGAAAGAUGAGGUUUUUCAAUUAUUUGGCAGCGACAUGUCCCAUCCCAGGUCUCUUUUUUGGCUACUGAUGAGGGCUUGAGUUCGUGAGGUUUCUGCAUGGUCUCUCGAUGUGUUUGUGGUCGAGCUGUUGAGACUUUUAGGCAUUUAUUUGUUGAUUGCCAGCAUGUUUCUCAAGUUUGGGUUCAUUUCCAGCGGAUUCUCGGUAUGCGAGCUCUUAAGUUUCUCACUCUUCGUGCUUUGCUUUUUCAUUGGCAGAGAUGUGCUCCUUCUCGCCAUCAUAUUCGGGUUCUUCUGCAUUGCUUUAUUUUGUGGCAAGUUUAGAAGGCCCGCAAUGCUUUUCGGUUUAGUUCGCAGUCUUUCUCUAUUGAGGCGAUCAUUUUUCAGGUGGAUUCAGAUCUCAGGUUAACUAGUUCUACUUUUGGCUUUAAGCCUUCGCAACAGAUGUGAGUCUUAGGUUAUUGGAUAACGGAGGAUUUGCAUGUCAUGACUCCUCUUGGGAGGUUGAUUCGAUUGGUUUCAUGGAUGAGGCCGCCUCCUGGGGUGGUGAAGCUGACUGUGGACGGAUGUUCUAGGGGUAAUCCUGGGAUGACUGCCUCAAGGGGUAUUUUAUGAGAUCAUCAAGGUGUGGUUUUGGCUGCCUUUGGCUCCUUUCUUGGUCGCCAACCAAUUCUUUAUGCUAAGCUCAUGGUUGUGUGCGAGGGGUUGGAGCUUGCUGCUCAUAUGGGUUAUCUCACGCUUGAGGUGCAGUUGGAUUCAGCUACGGUUGUUUCUUGGAUCCAUUCCCAGGGUCUUGUUCGUUGGGAGUACGCUUACUUGUUGCGUUGUGUGUGCUCUCUCAUAUCCUCUUCGACUAUUUUAGUUUGACAUGUGUUUCACGAGGCUACCUCUGCUGCUGAUUUUCUGGCUAAUCGGGCAUGUUCUCGACGUUUCAGUAGGCAUUUUCUUCUCCCUAUGAUUUUCCUACCGGCUUACUGGGUAUUCUCCAUUUGGAUGCUCAGGUUGUCCCUCAUGUCAGGCGCUAACAUUGAUAGCAUUCUCUUCAAUUUAUUCUUGGUUUUUCACGUGUUUUCAUUUAUUAUGAAGGUCAUGGUCUAUGUCCCCUUUCUUAUGUAUACAUUUUAGUUUCUAAUUUAUAUUACAGGUAGGGGUCCUGCCUAACCCCCCACUUUCUAGUGGUUUUUUUUUUUUUUAAAAAAGUCCAUCCUCGGCAGCCAACAUCACCAAAAUUUUGGCCAAGAUCUGAAAUCAAAAGUUACUUAAAAAACCCUAGAUUUUGAAGCAUGUUCUAUUGUGUAUUCUUCUUUUAUGUUGUCAUUUUUUUGUUGUGCUGGUCAUGGUGAGUGAAAAUUGAAGUGUUUGUGAUGUUGGUGGCAUGGGUGAAGUUGUUAGUGUGGUGAUGGCACCAAAAUUAUGGGCUCGGUGCCGGCCAUGACCAGCCAUUGCUCCUGAUCAGGUGCGACAGCGUGCCUGUCGUACCUCACAAGCGCGAGUGACUGUCGCGUAAGAGAGCCUGUCAUUUGCGCUUGUCCCGCGAAAGAGCCUGUUGUUUGCGCUUGUCGUCCUUCAUUUGCACGAUAAGUGCGCAAGCUAGCCUAUCACUCACGCCUGUCGCGGGCGCUUGGUGCGACAGGCUGGCUGUCGCACUAAUUUUGUGCCUGUUGUACCAAGUUACAAUUUUUUUUUAACAUGGUGAAAUCAGAAGAAUCGAGAAAUGAACUCCGCAUGAUAAAGUUAGCUUAUGCCGAUCACUUUCCAGGGCGAAUUUUGAGUAUGUGUAAAUUAGCUACAGUCAUAAAAGCCAUCCAGAAAAACUUAACAUAACAGCAGUUGUGUCUGUUCAAGGACGACAUAUUUGGGCAUUUCUUGGAGUGCUGAAACUUUCCGUUCAGUGGCAUAAUUUUGCACAAUGUGUUGCUUAGGAAAGUGGCCUAUGGAGAAUACAGGGAGAACGAUCAGUUAUGGUUUCAAAUUGGUGAGCAAUUGAUACGCUUAUGAAUUGGAGAAUGAUGUCUAGUUACGAGACUUUCCUAUAGUGAAGAUACCGUACUGAAAAAGCCAAAAAUGGUGCAUAGGCUACUAAAUACGCAUUUUGAUUGUUUGUUUCGCAACAUCAAUCUUAAGCAAUUCGAUGUAUUAUUUGAGAAGUUAGACUUCAAGGCGAUGGAUGGAAUUAAUGCAUUAAAGAUCGCACUCUUUUAUUUUGCGGAUAGAGUUCUAAAUGCAAGAAAAGGACAAUGUCAAAUCAAUUUCUCAUUGCUUAACAGAGUAGAUGAUAUAGAUCACUUCCAGAAUCGUCCAUGGGUUUGUUUGUUGUAGGAAAGGAUGUACGACAGUCUUGACAAUGCACUGACCGGCAAAGACGAGAAAUUUAAAAAGUCUCGGUUGCAAAAGCUAAAUCAUAAAAUUAAAAAGUACAAUGUUUAUGGCUUCAUGUCCGGGGUUCAAGAUUUUUGGAUUAAUUAGUUUUGUAACAUUAAAUUUUUAAUGGUAGUUUAAAUAAAUUUCUCACUUUGGUUAUUGCAGGCUUGGAUUUUCAAAGCGAUCGGAGGUCUGUUAUCAGCAUGGGUCAUGAAAACGAAAAAGAUUCCCCACAUCGUGUAAUGGAAGCUCAUGGCUUCUUCUAAAAUAAACUUUGCUGAAGUCUAUUCAUUUUUGAAUGACAAUUCUUGUCUUGUAAGUAAUAUAUAUUGGGAGACGUAUAGUACUACUUUUGACAUUACUAAAUUCAAGUUCUUUACACUUACUUAAAAUUUUGAGUUGAAUUCAUGUAAGGAGGAUAUAUCACAAACCCUUGAGCCGGAUGCAAAGAGAAUCGUAAAAAAUAUUGGUAGACUGUGAAGGAUUACGUGCCACGUAUUCCAAGUUGGGUCCAUAAUGUCGGUAUCUUAUAACAACUAUUAUUUAUUGAAUCAAAAUUUUUGACUUAUUAUUUACUUAUUUUAAAUGUUACUUUUUAUAGCACCAACUUUCAAUCAAUGCGCCGCCCAUUACAAGGCAAACAAAAGAGCAUGACGACAUACCAAGCCCAACACCAGAGCAACAUCACGAUACAUUUGAGGAAGAGCUGCCUGUAAAUUACCAUCAGGGGCAGACAGAUAAGUCUGAUGACACACAUGAUUCUGAGGUUAUAAAUUAUUUCUUUUCCUCAUAUAUAAAUCAUUAUAACAAUCUGUCAUUAUAAAGAAUUUUUUUUUUUGUAAUAGUCGAGGACAAAGCAUCAUUAUGAUUACAUGAGACGACAAAUGGAUAAAAUUAAGCAUAACAUUUAUGAACUUAAGUCAGCUUUUGAGGUAGAUCGCGGAGAAUUUAAAGAAUUUAGAGAAACGGUGGUGGGAUUUAUUGAUUCACUUACUAAACAGUCAUACGGGGAUUCUCCAACUAGAGGCUCGUAUGCGGUGAGCAAAUUUUAAAUUUAACAAUUGUGUUCGUUUAUCUUUUAAUUUCAUAUUUUUUUUAAUAUGUUCAUCCUGCCAAAUCGACAGGUCUCGGAUGAUUGUGGAGUGUAUAUUGAUGUUGGCAAUUAAAAUGUUUCUAUUCCCAUGUCAUUAUAUAGUUUCUAUGGGGAUGUUAGUGAAGAGAGCAUGCAGGUCUUCACUGAGGCAUCUUCGGGCAUUAGUAAGUUCGGCUGAGCGUAUAGACCGUCGUAUGUUUUUAAUAGUUCUUACUUGAUUCCUCCAUUCUAGCGAGGAAAGAACAUCAAGCCUCUACCUGCACCCAAAAUUAUGGACCAUGCGAUUGGCAGAAGUACGAGCGUAGAUAUAAAUCCACUUAGAGGAUUGGAGGAUCCAGGUCUGUAUGAUGAGUUUGACCGAUAGUUCGCUGGCGAUAUCACAGUCGAUCGAAGAGUCCAAUAGCCGCACUCGUUCUUUCAAGUAAUUUUGGGUCAUACUUCGAUGGGAUGGCUAGGUGACGAGGUAAAUUUUUUAUUUUAUUUCUUGGAGUGUUGUGGAUUUGUGUAUUAUUUUUGACGUUUUAAAUCGACAUGUUUCUGUUCCUCUACAGCGUAUUCACGAGUAUUUUCGCUUGAUUGGCGAAAGGCAAUGGCAGUAUCCGAAUGCCUUACCUCAGUGUGUCACACGUACAGACACAUUUUUUUGGGUAACCUGUUAACAUAAUUUAUAAUCACCGGUUUUUUUAUUUCUUAUCUCCUAAUGCCUUGAAGUUUCAUUAAUUUCUGCAUUUUUUGGUAAUCUAUAUACUAAGGUGGCGUUUGUUUUUUAACUUAAUGACUUAAAGUGACUUAACUUAAUUAAUUAAGUUAAUUAGAGGUGUUUGUUUUUAUAACUUAAUGAGACUUUUUAGAUAAUUUUGACUUAAUAAAGUAAGCCAAUUUUUUUUAACUUUUUACUUAAUAGAGACAUCUGAAUUAAGUUAAUUAUUUUCUAAUGUCAAAAAUAUCACUGAUUUAUAAUUUAUUUUUCAUGUCUAUCCCAAAACUCACCCAUAGACAUUUACCCCACAUAAUAAUCUCAUCAUUAUUUUUUUAGCCGUCAUGAAAUCCCUCCUCACUUUGGUAUCAACUCCUCAAGUAUUGAAGAUCAAAAUUACAUGCGACAAACUUCGAGAUGAAAUGUCAAAUCAAUUGUUUCAAGCAUCUUAUUAGUUUUUUUCUUUCUUAUAUUAUAUACGAUAAAAUUUGAAAUUUAUGGUAUUUUAUAUAUUAAAAUUCCAAAAUCAUUAUGUAUUCACUUGAAUAUAGUUUUACUUAUAAAUGUUAAAAUAUUGUGGUAUUUAAUAUAUUAUUUAUUUGACAUUCAAAUUUAAUAAGGAUACAAAUGUAAAAGUACAUAUUUUCAUUUUUUUUAAGUUGAAAAAAAACAAACAACUUAAUAAUUAUUUUUCGAGAUUCAGACGAAAAAAUAAACAUAUUAUUGAGAUUCAGACAUUCAAAUCUAUUCAGAAUUCAGACUAAUUCAAGUCUAUUCAGAUUUCAGACAAAAAAACAAACGCCACCUAAGUGUUCUUGAAUCAGUUAUGGAACAAUAGAGAUUGUGCAAUCGAUUCAUUAGUAUAUAACGACAGCUUGAAUAGCUAUUUUGGUGGGCGGCAGUACAUCAUGUCCAAACCAAUGACGGAUGUUGAUAUGAUGUGUAUUUUGUUGUAUUUUUCAGACACAAUCCAAAGUGUCUUUUUGUUGUCUGUUUUUCGAUUUCAUUUAUAAUGAACAUGAUAAAUUUACGAGAAUUUUUUAUAUACAAGUAUUCAUCCCUGUUAACUUGGACCAUGAUCAUUGGGUACUAGCCCGAGUAGACUUUCGUAAGAACAGAGUCUCAAUUUAUGACUCAUUACUGACAUUUCAAGAUGAUAAAAAGUACAAGUUUCAAUUCAAGCCGUUUGAAGUUAUCUUCCCUCGAUGGUUGGAAUAUGUUGGAUUCUACAACAUCCGACGUGAGCUGCAGAGUACCGACCCCUAGAAAGUUGUCUCAGUUAAGGGUGUGCCACAACAAGAGCUCGGUACUGGUGAUUACAGUGUUUUUUUGUUGAUGUUUACUAUGUAUUUAAUGUUCAGGCUUAGAUUAGAUUUUAACGAUAGUCAUUAGAACUACUUUAGAAAGAAGAUUGCAGUUGACUUAUUUAAUGACGAUAUUGUAUAAGAAAAUUACAGUUGACUUAUUUAAUGACGACAUUGUAUUGUAAGCCGUUGUAGUAAUUCGAAUGUUGAUGCAUGGAUUUUUUUCCCCUGAGCGUACUUAAGUAUAUAUAAUUUUAAUGCUCAUAUUUUAAUAAUAAAUAAAAUAAAAUAAAAGAUACAAAUUAAAAUAAAAUUUCAUGGUAUAUAAGUGUCCAAUACACAAAAAAUAACAAUUCUUUGAACAUAAUUACUUGAAACAAUACGACUAACUUCGAUUUGACGCAAUGCGAUUCUUACAUCGUUUAUGGUUAUGUCUCGGUUCAUUACACCGCCCGCAUCUAACAGUCCUCCAGUUAACGUCCUUGCCAGCCGAAGGUAUUAUGAUCUCUUUAGAACGACCAAGUGGUGGUGCCUCUACUGGUGGAUAAACGUGCAUCUCUCGAAUUUUAUUUGGAACUUCCCAACCGGCUCCACUGGUUGUGCAUAAGCCAUUGCCAACGAUUCCUUGGUGUAAAAAUCAGAACAAAGGCUUAUGUAAUCCACGCGGACAGUUAGACAAGUAGUAAUUGCAUGAGCACAGACAAGCUAAUCAAGUUGGAAUACUCUGCAGGCACAACUCUUCUUUUGUAUGUCAACUAAACUUCCUUAAUACCACUACCUACAACUUGGAAUCGAUGUGGACACAUAGGACAAACGAUCAUUUUUUUAGCCAAAGUUCUCCUCUCAGUGACUCUUUCAUCUGCCCAUGUUGUUAGCCGAGUACACAAUGAUUCAGUCACAAUUUUCCUAUCAUAAAACCAUUGCUGCAAUAUUUUUCUAAAGUGAUCAACAAGAUGAGUAACAGUAAAUUUUUGCAGUUCCCUCAUGAAAAAAUUCACGCUCUCCGCGAUGUUGGUGGUAAUUAUAUUGUACCUCCUACCUUUAAAUUGAGACCUUGCCCAAUUACACGUACCUAUAUUAUUCUCUAAAUAAUCAGCCUCACCCGAAUGGAGCAUCCACAACUCUUCAAGUUGUUUUUUAAAUUCUUCAUGUUCAUAUGCUUUUGCUGCAUUAAUAAAAGCAGGCUCAAAUUUAUCCCAAAGAGCUUUGGACACCCUGAAUUUUGACUCAAUGUUACCUUUCACAUGGUAAAAACAAACGCCAUGAGUUGCAUUGUGAAAUACUUUUAGAACGGCUUCACUUAUACCGUUUGUCGUCGUCGUCGUUUGCCAUUGCCGUUUGAUAUUGCCGGUGAUGAUUCAAAAGGGCAAGACUACAUGUGGUUUGAUAAAGAGGGAGAGAAGUUGGGAUUGAACUAACAAGGGUAAUUUGGGAAAAAAAACCUUGUGUUUGGCUUGUUAUGAUAGGAAAACGUUUCAAUGGUUAAAUGUGAAAAAUGACAAAAUUCUUUGGUUAUUUUUGUAAAUUUCCUAAGAAAAACAUAAAAGCAGUUUGAAAAAUUUUAUGUUAUCAUUUGUGCCCCGGGAGUUGAAGUCUCAGCUCCUUCAAAUAGUCUCGCCUCAAAACAAAACAAAACAAAACAGAGAAGCUGACACUGAGCUCCUAAUGUGGACAUUUUUUUCAACCCAAAAAUUCUAGUUCAUUAGUUUGCCUUGAGUAAUAUAUAAGGAUGUCAAAAGUAACUUCUCGGCCUGGACCAACCAGAUCAAAAAGAUAUUAGACUGGAACUCAACUUCACUUUAUAAGCUCGAGGUUGAGCACCGAACUUGAAUUUUAUGAAAAAUUCAUCAAAAGAUAUAUUAUUUUAAAUAAUCAUAUUUAUGUGACAUGACAUGACUUAAAAGUACACAUUACUCCUAUGUAUAAGAGUGUCUAAUUAUAAUAUAAUUUGAUGAGUGUGGGAUUGAACCACAGGAAAUCUAUAAAUCUAGUAGUCAAAUUUUAAACAAAAAAUUAAUUACAGAAAAAAUUAAUAGAGAUCAAUAUAGAAAAAUGCUAAGAUUAUGGGGCCCACUCUUACUUUUUAAUUAUGGUUAUAAUACUCUCUCAUAUUCAUAUUUUGUAUUUCUAUUGGCAAUUAAUUUUUAUGUCAGUUAAAUAUGGGAUCUAGUAGCCAAUAUGCCGCAUCUAUAUUGGACUGUCGAUGUUCUAUCAAAAUUGCAUAUGGAUCAAUGGAGAUCUAGAUCUAGAAAUAACAUAAUGUAAAAGUAAUCGAUAAAGAAAAAAAAUACAAAUUAUAAAUAUAUAACAAAUAAGAUAACUUAAACUUACUUGAGAGAAUAAUUAACCCAAUGAUUUAAAUACUUAAGCUUCACUUUUCACCUCAACUUAGAAAAUUUAGCAAUUUAUGAUUAAAAGGAAAACGCUCAUUUUAUUUAACAAAAUUUAUAAAGUACAAUACAAUAAAAUUGAAAAUAAAGGGAUAGAAAAUAGAUUCUUCCCUAAAAUUCAUUCUAGAUUUACACCUAAAAUGCUCCCCCUUAAAUAUGAAAAUAAAAGGAUAGAAAAGAGAUUCUUCCCUAAAAUUCAUUCUAGAUUUACACCUAAAAUGCUCACCCUUAAAAUUGAAAAUAAAGAGAUAGAAACGAGAUUCUUCCCUAAAAUUCAUUCUAAAUUUACACUUAAAAUGCUCACCCCUAAAAUCCACACACAAUUCUCUCUCAUUGUCUUCUUUCUCCUAAAAUCUAGUACAAAUUCUAACACACCAAUUGGUGGGAGCUCUUGCCUUUAUAUAAGCAAAUUUUGAGUGAUUAAGUGGGUAUUUACAUGAUAUUUUAGCGAGCCUACAAUCACAACCUUUAAAUGAGAAUUAGUAGUACAAUCCAAGGGUCUAAAAUUUGCAACCAAUAUAGAUUGUUCUAUUUAUGGAUUGUUGUAUUUAUGUAUUGUUGGAUUUAACAUAAUCAAUGGCUAUGAUUGAAGUCAAAGGAGGAUCCUCUAAUUCCUCAUUUUGACCUACCUAAAUUGGUGUUCUAGAUCUGCUACAGCAUGGUUUACGUGAGCUUGGACACAUGGCACGAUCUCAACCAUUCAUCAAUAAUACCUAAUCAAAGGGAUAGCAAAUCUCAAUGGCUUCUAGUUUUUGGAAUAUGAAUUUCACAUCGAUUGUUCCGAUUCAAUCAUCAUGAUCUUAGGGAAUUACUUACAAAACACAAAAAUAAAAUACAAAAAAUAAAAAUAAAUAAUUCAUAAAAUAGGUUAGAGAUUUAUACAUGUAAUGAAAUUAUUUUUUUUUAAUCAAAAACCACCAAGAAGUGGGGGGUUAGGCGAGACUCCUUCCUAUAACAUAAAUCAGUAAUGGAACAAGUACAUAAGACGGGGGACACGAGCCAAAACCUCCUAAAGUAAAUGAAAAUACACAUGAAUAAAAAGAGAAGAAAGAAAUGAUAAGGACAACCAUCAAUGCUAGCGUUUGACACGGGGAACAAAUUUUGCAUCCAAAUGUAGAAUACCGAAUAAGCCAGCAGGAAGAUCGUGAGAAGACCCUAGUAACCUAAUAACUGCAAGCCCAAUUGGCUAGAAAAUCAGUAGCAGAAGUAGCCUCACAGAGCACAUGCCUAACCAAAAUAAGAGAGGAAUAUGUCAAAGUGCACACUCGGCGCAACGAAUAAGCAUAAUCUCAGUGAACAGGACCCUCAGAAUGAUUUAAGAAAACGACUGUGGCUGAGUCCGACUCCAUCUCAAGCACAAAGUAACCAAGCUAAGUAGCAAACUCUAAUCCCUCACAAACAACCAUAAGCUCAGCAUAAAGAAUUGGUUGAUGGCCAAGAAAAGAUCCAAAAGUAGCCAAAACUGCACCUCAAUGAUCUCAAAGAAUGCCACCUGAAUCAACCAUCCUAGGAUUGCCCCUAGAGCAACCAUGCACAGUCAACUUCACAACCCUAGGAAGCGGUCUCAUCCAAGAAACUAAUCAAAUCCUUAGCUAAAAUCCUUUUCAAGCCUAGACCCAAGCCCACUUUUUGCCAUCCUUAGUCGUCUCCCAUCCAAUCUGAGAGUGCCACGUGGCGUAACCUUGUGUGUUUGAAUUGUUUUCAUUUGAUGGCCUUGAUUUACCUGUUGUAUUUAUAAGUAGGGGUCUCCCCCAUAAUUUGAGCGUGCUGAAUCUAAUUUUCACCUUCAUUUUAUAUAAUUCUCACUCUAUCUUGUAUUUUUAGUAAACAAUUAAUCUUUUACCUUUUUCUCUACUCCUUUCUUCACUUCUUUCUCUCUAAAUUCUUCUCCUUAUCUCUCCUAAGUACUCUUUUUAAUAUUUGUAAAAUAAUUUUCAUUAUAAAUUUAGUUUUAUUUUCAAUUGUAGUUAUUUUAUUCUUAAUUAUGUGUAAUUUAAUUUUAACAAUUGUUUUUAUUUCUAUUAUGUAUAAUUAAAUAAUAAUUGCUUGGGUAAUGUGAAACUCGUAGUAGAAAAAUAUGAUUUAAUCAAAAUUUUGUUUUUAAUUAUAUAAAUUAAAUUACUUUCUAUUUAAUUUUAUCCAUAUUUUAUAUUUAGAAAAUUUGAUUUAUUGUAGAUAAACUAAGGAGUUUGGUACAAUAAAUUCUUAAUAUCUUAAUAGAAGCUUUGGUAAAAUAGUAUUUUGAUUUACUAUAGAGAAAUUGAAUUUUGGCACACUAUAUACUUAAUCCAUAAUAAAAUUAAUUGAAAAAUAUGAUAAUUUAUGUAAUUAAUUCUUUCAGCAAAUAAAAAAAAGACAAAAUAUCUAUUAAAUUGUAUUUACUACAAAUAGUGGAUCCAUAACAAUAACUAAUUUGUUUUCCAUAGUUUUACUUAUGUAUUUAAAUUAUAUUUUUAGUUUUUAGAUAAUUAAAGAAAAUUAACAAAUUAAAUCUAUUUUUUGUAGAUCGAUCUUGGACUCACCAAGUUAUAUUAUAACAAGACGCUCUUAUAGUAGGAAGUUAUAAAUCACUUUUGAGUCAUGUCACUGGUUGAUAGGUUGACAUUCUUAAAGAUGUCUUAAAUGCAGUACCGUAAGUCCAAAGUGCAUCAGUAAGUUGAAGAGACUGAUCCUUGUGAUUUGAGGUUAACUGUCUUUUCUAAAAUUUGUUUUGUCUCUUUAUUUGCUAAUUCAACUUGAUCAAUUACUUGAGGAUGAUAAGGAGUAGCAACUUUAUGUGUACUUUUAUAUUUCUUCACUAAAGACUCUAAUGACUUGCUAUAAAAAUGUUUACUUUCAUCACUGAUAAUGGCUCGAGGGAUUCCAAAUCCACUCAAAAGAUUUUCUUUUAAAAAAGGAUCACAAUUUUGUGAUCGUUGUGUCGAUAAGAAAUCGCUUCAAUCCAUUUGGAAACAUAGUCAAUAGAAACCAAUAUAUAUAUAAAUUCAAAUGAUGAUAGAAAGGGGCCUGUAAAAUAUAUUCCCCAACAAUUAAAUAUUUCAAUGACAUGGAUAGGGUUUGAAGGCAUUAUAUUUUACAUUGAGAUAAGACCCUAACUUUUGAUAGUUCUCACACAUUUUACAAAAUGCAUAUGAAUCUUCAAAUAAUGUACGCCAAUAAAAUCCACACUGUAAUAUUUUUGCAGCUAUUUUCUUUGAAGAAAAGUAGCCAUCAAAUGCUUUAGAAUGGAAAAAUUAAAUGACACUACUUAACUCGUCGUCUGGUAUGUAUCUCCAAAAAAAUUGAUUAGAACGAUGAACAUAUAAUGAUCAUCCUAGUAAAAACUUUUUACCUCUGCUAAGAAUUUCUUUCUCUCUAGAGAGUUCCAAUCGAGUGGCAUUUCAAUUGUUGCAAGAAAAUGAACAAUGUUAGCAUCCUCAGGUAUAUUCUAUAUAGAAAAAAGAAAUUUAUCAAGAAAAGAAUCAUUAAUGGGUGAUGUACCAAAUAAAGACUCAUUUGUAAGUCUUGAUAAGUGAUCUAUGAUUUGUAAUACCAUUUUGGUCUCCUUUUUUGUCUUGAUGGUGAGGUUGAAUUCUUGGAGUAGCAAAAUCGAUUAUAUUAAUCUUAGCUUAGCAUCUUACUUGCAUAUUAAAUAUCCAACAGUAACAUGAUCAGAAUAAACAAUACUAGCUGAACUAAUUAAAUACGAUUGAAAUAUAUCUAAUGCAAAUAUUGUUGCAAGUAAUUAUUUUUCAAUGAUAGUGCAAUUCAUUUCGGCAUCACUCAAAUUUCUAAUUGAGUAAUAAAUAACAAAGGGCUUACUUCAUUUUUUUGUCUUAAAACAACUCCAUAAAACAGCUCCAAUAGCAUAAUCGCUAGCAUCACACAUUAAUUCAAAAGGCAAAGACCAAUCAGGAGAUUGCAUUAUAAAGGCUGAUGUUGAAAGACUAAUUAUCUCUUCAAAAGCUUUUUGACAAUCUUUGGUCCACUUGAGCAGUGUGUCUUUUAUUAGAAGAUUACAAAGUGGCCAAGAUAUGGUACCAAAGUCUUUUAUAAACCUCUCGUAAAACCCUCCAUGUCCUAAAAAGGAUCAGAUUUCCUUAACUGUCUUUGGUGAAGGUAAUUUUGAGAUGACUUCAACUUUGGAUUUAUUAACUUCGAUUCCAUUUGUAGAAACGAAAUGACCCAAGAAAUUCUUGAAAUAAUCAUGAAACAACAUUUUUCCCACUUUGAAAAAUGACCUUUUUCUUUACACAUUUUCCAAACUCUUUCUAAAUUACCAAAACUUUCAUAAAAAGAAUUUCCAAAUAUAGGAAAACCAUCCAUAACAACUUCCCAUAAUUUUCAACUUUAUUGUUAAAAAUGCUUAGCAUGCAUCUCUAAAAUGUUGCAAGAGCAUUACAAAGUCCAAAAGACAUACUCCUAAAUAUAAAUGUUCGAAAUGGGCAUUUGAAUGGAGUCUUCUUUUUGUCCUCGAGGCUAUAGGAACUUCAUAAUAGCCUGAGUAGCCAUUAAGAAAGUAGUAGUAGAGGUGUUAUGCUAUUCUCUCAAGAAUUUGGUCUAAAAAUGAAAGUAGAAAAUGGUGUUUUCUAGUGGCAUCAUUUAAUUUUUUAUAAUCGAUGUGCAUGCAUCAACUAGAUGGAACUUGUGUUGGUAUUAGCUCACCUUUUUUUUUUUUCACAAUAGUUAUUGUAGAUUUCUUUAGUACAGCUAUAUUGUACUUACCCAUUCAUUUGUUUACUAUCUGAAAUAGGAUAGGUAAUUCCUACACCUAGUAGUUUAAGGAUCUCGUUAUUUACCAUUUCUUACAUAUAAGGGUUUAGUCUUCAUUAAGGUUGAGAGUUUGUUUUGGUAUUUUCCUCUAAGUGUAUUAUAUGUAUGCAAAUUAAAGAAUUAAUGCCCUUUAUGUCCUUCAAGUCUAACCAAAUGCAACUUUAUGUUUCUUUAGAACAAUCGCUAGCUUACCUUCUUCAUUUGUGAAUGGAGAAAAAUACCACUGCGUGAGUUUCCUGAUCUUCUUGGUAUGCAUACUUUAAUUCUCCUAGUAAGGGCUUUCAUUCAAGCUUGGGUGCUUCCUCUUCCUUUGUCUCGUCAAGUUGUCUCAUGCCUUCAUAGUUUAAUUGGCUACUAUCAUCUUUAGGCACCUGCAUAGAAUCAAGUAUGAAGCAUAUAUUAGCAGUAUUACAUUCUAACUUCUUACUCGAUUGAAAUGAACAAGCAAAACAAAUUUCUACAGAGUUUGUGGAAAUCUCAUCCUGAACGUGUUUCUCAAUAAUUAGUUCAAAGAGUUCAAUUUCCUCAUUCUCACUAUUUUCAUCUAAUUUGUCACGACGCCAUUUACAUAUGUUGACCAUAUUGAGUUCUAAUGUCAUGUUGCUAAAAGAUAAUUUCAUCACUUUAUUCCUGCAAUUAAUCAAAACAUUAGCAAUAGUUAGAAAUGAUUGAUCUGAUACGAUAAGAAUUUAUUUGCAUUUGUUAACAAUUGAUUUAUUAUUCAAAAAAACAAAAUCCAUAAGAUACAUGAACUUAUCGACUUGGACCAGUAUAUUUUCAAUUAUCCCUUUCGUUACCUUAACCGACUUAUCAACAAAUAAAAGAGUAGUAUAGAUUGGUUUUAACUCAUCAAGAUUAAGUUUUUAGUACUCUAGAUAAGGAAGCCAAUAGACACUAGCACCAAGAUCAACCAAAGUAUGUUCAAUUUUAUAAUCUCCAAUAAUGCACGAAAUAGUUGAACAAUGAUGAUCCUUAUAUUCAAAGCGUUAUUGGUUGAGAGAAUGAAACUUACGUAUGUGCCUGAAAUGCUUUCUUUUGCAGCCUAUGUUUCCUUUUUACAAUGCACAAAUCUUUCAAAAAUUUAACAUAAGAUAGUAACUAUUUAAUGAUCUUGUAACUUUUUUCUUGUGUUAUUGGCGUCAAUGUGCAAGUGUACACCAUAAGUAAUAUAAUGAUAAGCAUUCAAGAUCGUCUCCACAGGGAUUGAUGUUAUCAGGCUUGCUACAAUAAUCUUAACAGUGCAGAUUAUUUCAAAUUAAAAUAAGACAACUAUUAAAACUAAUAAAAUAAAUAAAUAAAAUAGAAUAAAAGAAACUCUCACAGCAAACACAAGGAUAAAACCAAUGAGAAUGAAGUAGUUAAGUGAUUAAACUCUGUUAAUGGUUUUGACUGUUUCUUCUAAUUUUAGGUUUGGUUGCUACAACAUCUGCUACAACGCUGGGCAGAAUCCUAUUUUACCCUCAGCUGUCGCAUGUUGGAUGUCCUAAAUCUCUAUGCAACCUAACAGUGACAAAUUGUUAUGCCAACAUAAGAUAUAGCAUUACAAGCUUAUGUUCUAAUUUCUCUACAAGCUGAAUCCUUAUGUCUAGUUCAUCACUAAUUUUAGAUAAAGCAUGACCCUUUUGGAAUAAAGUAAAACUCAACUCAAGAAACCCAAUAAAAAACCAAGUAUUGCUCUGAUAUGUUCCACUAUGAUAGACCAUUUUGUGGCUCUUUCUUAGCUUGUAUCACUUAAUGGGUAGUCAGCCGAAAUAAUGAAUAGAAAUAAAUACUGUCAAAACAAAAUGCUACAGCAAACAUGCAGCAGCACAUAUAUUUAGUCAAUAAACCAUCAAAAUUGUUUAUCACUCAACCAAAAAUAAAUUUGGUUCAUAACCUGUAAAAGCAACAUGAACAGCAGAGUUUUAACUAUCAAAUACAUCCUCAUGAUUAAAGAAUAAACAAGAAAAUAAGAGAAGACUAAGACGGACUAGAUUCCCGAUUGAUUUCUGCAAACUCUCCUCUGAUGCAGCCCUUGAUCUUACUCUUGGAUUCUGUCUUUUCUCAUAUUUCUUUUCAUUUUUUGUUCUUGGUUGACGGCCUCCUCUUUCUUUUGCGUGUGUGCUCCUUUUUUUUAUAGUAAAAAAAAUAGGGCAACUGGAAGUCUAGGGCGCUUAUCUUCUAGAUUUGGAAACUCCAGAUUGCAAUCUGUUAAUUGCCUCGCGCGAAAUCUUCUUUGUCAAUACUCUAGGAUUGCUACAGCAUCUGCACUGUUCCAAACUAGUUUUAAUUCUUCUGUAGCCGUGUUCUUUCAUUCUUUUUACAAGCCCAUUGCAAUAGCGCCUUUUCCUUGAAAUUCGAGCUUCUAAUUACCUAUAGUGAUGUAUAUGAUUUAAGCACACAAUUAUUCGAAAUCAAACAAAAUUUACUAAAAUUAAACUAAAAUUUAUGUUAAUGCAAACUAUCAUUAAAAUGCAAUAAAAACACAUCAUUUACUCUUUAAGUAAUUUUGAUUUUAGUCUAAAAAUGCAAUUAUAACUCUCAUUUCAUAGAGUUAUCACAUCUCCAAACUUAAACCAUUAUUUUUCCUCAAGUAAUGACAAUAACAUUAACACUCAAUCACAUAAUCAUACAUUAGUAAUAUAGCUCUGCCAUCAAGCUUGCAAGGAUUCGUCAACCCUUAGAUUACACUCUUACUCAUGCAAAAUUAUCAUAGCAGUUUAGUUCUAGACUUCGGCCUCAUUUUGUCCAAGGUGUGUGUGUGCCACUUUGAUCAAAUUCUAGAGAUGUUGUAGCAAUGCACCGCUGUCACAUACACUUCAAAGGUAGAACGCAAGUACAUUCAUGCAUGGGGGAAAUAGAAAUCACAAACAAGUUCAAAACUAUGCUAUAGUAGAAUAUUUUUUUUUCAUAUUUUAUAUUUCUCUUCAAUGUAUCAUUGAUUUUUCAUGUGAAUGUCUAUUACUUGUGCUGAUGACACCCAAUUACUCACUCAAUGUACAAAUCAAAGUUGCUGCAACAAUGCUCACGACAUAAUUUUAUCUAUAAACAUCUUUAAUUCAAGGCUGAACAUGAGGCUCAUGAACAGACCUGGUUACUUAAAUCCUAAAUAGAGGUCUUUCUCUUUCUAAUUUUUUUAUUAAUUAGAAAUACAAUUAAAAAACUAAUAUAUUUGAUGAUCUCCUUCUUCACAACUUCCUUAAUGAUGAGGUUUAAUCUCCUUUGUUGCUCUAUGAAUUAUUGUAGCAAUCUCCCAGUAAAAUCUUGUGCAUGCAUAUGGAUAGGCUAAUUCCCUUUAUAUCUGCCAUGGUCCAUCUAAUAGCAUUUUUGUAUCUUCCCAGCACAUCCACUAAGCUCUUCUCUUGAUAUGCAUUUAAAAAAGAUGAUUUGAUUACAUGUAGUGUAUUAUUUUUACCAAGAUAAACAUAUUUUAAAUGUGAAGGUAAAAGUUUCAAUUCUAAAAUAAGAGGUGAUUCAAUUGAUGGAACAGAUAGUUUUACUUCCCUUUUUAAGAGGUCUAAAGAUUCAAGCAGUCUGUCAUGUCUCAAUGGUUGCUUUCUUCUAACCAUGUUAUAUGGACUGCUGCAGCAUCUUCUUCUUCAAGUUCUUCAAAGGUAGCAGCAUUGAUCUCUUUUUUACUGCAGUAAUUGUUUAACCUCUCUGUCACAAUAAUAUCCACAACAUUGAUGAGAUUACAAUCCUCAACUUCAUUGGGAUUCUUCAUAGCAUCCAGCACAUUGAAUGUGACAUGUUGGUUGUUAACCUGCAUAGUUAACUCUAUUUUUUAUACAUUAGUUAGAGUCUUUCCCGUGGCUAAGAAAGGUCUUCUAAGAAUAUUUGGUAUUUCUUUGUUUACUUCAAAAUCCAAUACAAUAAAAUCCACUAGAAAAAUAAAUCUAUCCACCUUCACCAACAUAUCUUAAAUCUUGCCCUCAGGAUAUGCAUGAGAUCUGUGAGCAAGCUGUAGAGUCACUGUUUGUUGGUCUGCAUUCACCAACUCUCAAUUGCUUGAACACUGAUAAAGGCAUUAGAUUGAUGCUUGCCUCCAAAUCCCAAAGUGCUCUACCAUUAUAUACUUAGUUCCGAUAGAACAUGGAAUUGUAAAGCUCCCUGGAUUUUUCAACUUUUGAGGGAUUUUAUUUUGAAGCAUAUGGCUGCAUUCUUGUGUUAGAGCAACAAUUUUAAAUUCUUUAAGCCUUUUUUCUUUGCCAAAAUAUCUUUAAAAAAUUUCACAUAAUUUUGCAUUUGUUCCAAUGCUUCCACAAAAGGAUUGUUGAUAUGCAAUUGUUUCAGCACUUCCAAGAAUUUGCUGAAUUGCUUAUCUUGCUUUUGCUUUUGAAAUCUUUGUGGGAAUGGUGGUGGGUGCCUAAACUACUAUGCUGUAGCUGACUGUGCUGGUUAAUUCUCUGCUAAUCUACUUUGGUUUGUUACUGUUAGUGAUGUAACUUCUUCUUCAACAAGCACUGAAUCAUGUCUUUUUGCAGUUGUUGUAACUUGACUACUUUCACUAGUAUGUUGGAAAAUGGGUUGUUGUGGCUGCUCUUUAAAUCGACUUUCCUCUUGGGUUGAAACAAGUUCCAUUCUUCUUUUUAGCAUACCAAUAAGAAUAUCAACACCUUUUCCAAGCCUUAAGUUAAUUACCUCGCAAUGUUCUUUUCCUUCCGUCCUUGGAUCUUUUAUCUUGCUCGGUAAACUGCCUUGAGGUCUGUUACUCAAUGCUUUAACAAGUUGUCCAAUCUGAUUUUCUAAAUUUCUUAAUGACACAACUUGGCUUUGGACAAUUGCUUCAUUCUUCACAAUGUAUUCCUUAAGCAAAGCUUUCAGAGAACUGAGUUGAUCAUUGCUUGUGUUUCUUUGCCUUUAAUUUGGCUUAUGAAAUCCUAGUGACAAUACAGGUCUGUUUUGUCUACAUGGAUGCUGCAGUUGACUAAUUCUGGUUGCUCCAUGAAAAAUUUGGGUGCCGCCUCCAUCCAGGAUUAUAGGUGUUUGAAUACAGAUUGGUCUGAUUUUGUCUAUUGAAGUUGCCUACAUAAUUGACUGAAGCUUGAUUCCUAGGGCAAUUAGCAAAUAAAUGUCCCUCUCGGUAAUAAACACAUGAGACUUCAGCAACUUGGUUGACAGAUGUUGAAGAAGUGGUCACAACCUUUACCAUAUUUUUCAGUGAAGUUACUUGGGCUGACAGUGUUGUAAAUGCAUCCACAUUGUGUACUCUUGUUGUUCCUCUCGUUAUGACUUGUCUAAUUGAUGGCCACUGGUAGUUAUUUUUGGCUAUCCUCUCCAAAAUCUCAUAAGCCUCAUUGUAAGACUUAGAUAAUAAAGCCUCAUUUGCUGAAACAUUCUCCAUUAAUCUAGUGCUAGGGUUGAGACCAUUAUAGAGGAUUUCCAAUUGUAUGCAAUAGGGAAUACCAUGAUGAGGACAUCUCCUAAGUAACUCCUUAAAUCUCUCUCAUGCAUCAUAUAAACUCUUAUCUUCAAGUUGAUGGAAAGAUGUGAUCUCAUUCCUCAAAUUUUCAUUCUUGGUUGGCGGAAAGUACUUCAUCACGAAUUCAUCAACCAAGUCAUUCCAUAUUGUGAUAGAGUAUGGUAGUAACGAGUUCAACCAUGCCCUUACUCAAUCUCUUAAAGAAUAUGAAAAAAGUCCGAGUCUCAAUGCAUCUUGUGAUGCUCCAGCAAUUUUGAAAGCAUCACUCACCUCCAAGAACAAAUUAAGGUAUAGAUGAGGAUCUUUUCACAGUAAUCCAUUAAAUUGCCCCACUGUUUGCAACAUAUGAAACAUCACUAGUUUGAGUUCAAAAUUAGCAGCUUGCAUUUCAGGUCUAACUAUUCUAUGGUGUAUAACUUGAGGAGUCAACAUGGCAUAAUCUCUAAUAGCUCUUUCUCUAUCAUCUGCCAUGUAGAUAAUAUUGUUGUUCCCUGGUUGUCCUUGAUUAUUCUGCUCAUUCUGACCUUCUUGACUAUUGACUGGUUGUAUUUCUCCAAGAGGGUUCAAGUUCCCCAUAUCUUGCAAAUCAUCCAUUGCUACAACAACUUUUGAUUGUCUUUGGUCUCUUCUUAAUCUCCUUGCGUUCUUUCAAUUUCUGGAUCAAAUUGAAAUUCAAUAGGUUUGUAUUUGCGCAUGCAAGGGAUUCUUGUCAACAAAAUAAAAUAAAAAAUUAGCACCGUUAAGAUUAAUUUCACAAUUCACAAUGAACAAUCAAUCCCCGGUAACGGCACCAAAACUUGUUGUAACAUUUUCUUAUGUUAUUGGUGUCAAUGUGCAAAUGUAUACAACAAGUAAUAUAAUGAUAAGUAUUUAAAAUCGUCUCCACAGGGAUUGAUGUUAUCAAGCUUACUACAACAAUCUUAACAGUGCAUAUUGUUUCAAAUUAAAGUGAGACAACUACUAAAAAUAAUAAAAUAACUAAAAUGCAAUAAAAAAAAUAUAAUAAAGAAAACUCUCACAGCAAACACAAGGAUUAAACCAAUAAGAAUAAAGUAGUUGAGUGAUUAAACUCUCUUAAUGGUUUUAACUGUUUCUUCUAAUUUUAGGCUCAGUUGCUACAACAUUUGCUACAGCACCGGGCAUAAUUCUAUUGUACCCUCAGCUGUUGCAUGUUGGAUGUCUUAUAUCUUUAAGUAACCUAACAGUGACCAAUUGUUAUGCCAGCAUAAGAUAUAGCAUUACACGCUUAGGUUCUAAUUUCCUUACAAGGUGAAUCCCUAUGUCUAGUUCAUCACUAAUUUUAGAUUAAGCAUGGCCCUUUUGGAACCAAGUAAAACUCAACUCAGGAAACCCAAUAAAAAACUAAGUAUUGCUCUUAUAUGUUCCACUAUGAUAGGCCAUUUUGUGGCUCUUUCAUAGCUUGUAUCGCUAAAUGGGUAGUCAUCUGAAAUAAUGAAAAAAAUAAAUACUAUCAAAACAAAAUAAUAUAGCAAACACGCAGCAACACAUAUAUUUAGUCAAUAAACUAUCAAGAUUGUUUAUCACUCAACUAAAAAUAAAUUUAAUUCAUAAUCUGUAAAAGCAACAUGAACAGCAGAGUUUUAACUAUCAAAUACAUCCUCAUGAUUAAAGAAUAAACAAGAAAAUAAAAGAAGACUAAGAAGGACUGGAUUCCCGAUUGAUUUCUGCAAACUCUCCUCUGAUGCAGCCCUUGAUUUUACUCUUGGAUUCUGUCUUUUUCUCAUAUUUCUUUUCAGUUUUUGUUCUUGGUUGACAACCUUCUCUUUCCUUGGCAUGUGUACUCCUUUUAUAGAUGAAAAUUAGGGCAAUUGGAAGUCUAGGGCGCUUAUCCUCUAGAUUUAGAAACUCCAUAUCGCAAUCUAUUAAGUGUCUCGCCCGAAAUCUUCUCUGUCAAUGCUCUAGGAAUGCUACAACGAUGGUUGCAGCAUCUGUACUAUUCUAGACUUGCUUCAAUUCUUCUGCAGCCAUGUUCUUUCAUUCUUUUUGCAAGCCUAUUGCAAUAGCACCCUUUCCUCGAGCUUCCAAUUACCUACACUUAUGAUAUGAUUUGAGCACACAAUAAUUCGAAAUCAAACAAAAUUUACUAAAAUUAGACUAAAUUAGAUGUUAAUGCAAACUAUCAUAAAAAUGCAAUAAAAACACACAUUUACUCUCUAAGUAAUCUUGAUUUUAAUCUAAAAAUGCUAUGAUAACUCUCAUUUUAUAGAGUUAUCAAAUCACAUCUAGCAAAGUAAUGCUGACCUUCACCUGUUUAAAAACUUCAUAAAUCUCAUAACUUGAUUAGUGCUUGAGUAAAUCGAUGUAUAUAAGAAGAGUUAGUUACCUCUUCAUGGGUUAAAAGUUCGUCAAACUCUUCCCCACUCUCUAAAAUUGACUCUUUACUAAUUUUAUGAAGAUUAAAAAUGUGCUUUCUUCUACAACUUUACCAUGACGAAGGGUUAUAACUAAUUUGACUUGGCUCACGUUUUGGUUUCCUAUAUUACUCAAUGUUGUUGACUCUUAGGGUUCAAGUUUGAUUGGGAAGGAUACUAAGUUUUUUUUUUCCUAAAUAAUAAGGGUUGAUGUCAGUUUGGAGACACUGUCUAUGAAAUUAGUCAAGAUUAGCAUGCUUUGGUUAUUGAUGGACUCUUAUUUUUCUAUAAAUGAAUGUAAUGUAUCUUCAAGAGGUUUUCUUGAUGGUAGGACAUAAGCUGCUGUACGGCCAAGGCGGAUGUACGGUACAGCAGAUUUAUUUCGGCAGAAUCUCCUUUAUAAAUAUAACACUCCCAAUCUGCAAAUAUAAUAUAACACUCCCCAAAAUAAUUCAAUAUGCAACAAACUCCAGUGAUCAACAUCCUCAACCAAAAUGCUGAGUUUUAUAUCUCCAUAGUCUCAAAAGAUAAUAUUAUAACUAAUAUUAAUAUCUCAGUUUAUUCUUAAUCCCAAAAGAAUAAUAUAACAAAAUUAUACAAUCCCAAAAGAACGAGAUAACCAAGAUGUCCUAACAAAAACAUCUAUAUCUUCUAACACCAUCACGCGGCCAAGACUCAAAAUAUAUUUACAGUCGCUGGGUCGGUCUAGUGUACCUGCAACCUCCUGGUGGGGGGAAAAUAUAAUAAAAACAGGGUGAGUAUAAAACCCAGUGAGAUCAGUGAGUGGAUAAUAUUUUUUAAAAUUUAAUUCUUACUUUAAAAGAAAUAAUCAUAUCAUUUCCAAACACGAUUUCAUCAAACCAUAAGCAAGAAACUAGUAAUAAAGCAUUUAACAUUUAAAUCAGAUUACUAACCAUGAAAAAACAUAUAUAAUAUCGUACCAAAUAACCAUGGAAAUCAUAUCACAAUAUCAUAUAGAAUACACAAAUCUGAAAAUCAUCACCAAACAAGUACCCAGGGGAAUAAUCUCGUCAUAUCCGAACCUCAACGGACAGGCAAUGACGUACUAUCUGGGUACCGUCACGCCCCGGAGCUACACAGAUAGACAGGGAAAUACCAUCUCAUAUCUCAUCAUAUCUAUGCAUGCAUAAUCUAGUCCCCAAAGGACAAAAGUGCCCAAGCACACGGCCCAAAGCCUCUGUGUGUACUCAGACGGGCCCCAAAGGCCUGUAUCUCAUUUGUAUCAUCUGUAUAUCAAUAUAUGUCUGUAUCUCAUAUAUGUAUCUCUAUAAUUAUCAUAUCGCAUGCUUAUGCCCCCAAAAGGCAAAAACACCCAAACACACGGCUCAAAGCCUCUAUGUGUGUUCAGACGGGCCCGAAAGGCCUCUCAUCUCAUUUCAUCUGUAUCACUGUAUAUGGAGGGAAGGGUAUUGUCCAAUGAUUUUAAAAAAAUCUCUAUACUCAUAUUCAUGUAUAUUCUAAUCAUAAUUUAAAUCAUACAUUCCUUUUCAUUAUCACAUCUAAAUCCACUUUUCUCAUCUUUAAAAUACUAUCAUAUUUCAUUCAAAGUCGACACGCAAAAUCGUUAACCAAACAUUUUAAUAACUUACCAAUGCGUGAAUAAAAUCCAUUUCGAAGAAAUCAUUAAAUCAGAGCAUUUAAAAUACUUAUUUCGUAAACAUGCUUUACUAUCAUAAUUAACUAUGAAAAUAGGUUUCAUAUAUUCCACUCACAGUGACGGUGUUCACGCUCGGUUAUCGUUCACGUCCGUAGACCGGUUCUCGCUCGCGUAUCCUCCUAAAUCAAGGAAACGACAUAAUUAUUUUUCAUAAAUCGGAAUUAGGACUAAAUUUAUACAAUAAACUCGAAACGAACAUCUAUCCAUAAUUUAUAACUCCCAUGUCGUUAAAAUUACUAAAAUGCCCUCGAGUCCGUAAAUCAUUAAAAUACUCUGAAAUCGUAAAUCGCCGAAUUACCCUCGGAAUCGUAAUUACACCCAAUCCUCAAUUCUGGGAAUUACUAAAAUAUCCACAGGCUCAGAAAUUACAAAAUUGCCCUCAUAGUGUGAAAUUACCAAAAUGCCCUUGCCGGUCAACGAUCACCGAAAUUUGGUCAACGCUGGCCGGGAAGCUCAAGUAUGAAAUUUCUGGCCACACUAAGUCCAACGGUGGUGGUGGUGACCUCCCACACGCGGCAAUGGCUCCGGAUCGAGUUCCUAAAUCUGUAAGUCCUUCAACGGCCGAUCAACAGCAAAACGAUGUCCCCGGCGGCACUGGAUGGUCAGAAAUGUCAAAGGGAGUCAUGGGGAACAAAACCGAGGUGGUGACGUGGUCAAAUUCCGAGAGGAUCAACGGCGGUGGUGAUGGGUUUUGGCCGCAGUUUUUCAAGCCUUAAACGCGACAUUCCAGUCGAUUUCUGACGAAGAUGACAACUGAAGUAUGACCAAUGUCUCACAAGCUUUCGAUUGAUACCUUGCUUGGCCGGAGUGGUGGCCGGAAUCGUAAGAUAUGGCUGGGUUACGUUCGAGGGUCGGGUCGGGCUUUCGGGUCUGUAGUUGGGUCGGUUUGGCAGCUUCUCUCUCACUCUCUGUUACACGUUCAUAUGUUUCCUCUGUUUCCAGCUUAUUCUUUUGCUUUUACUAACUUUUUAACCGCCUCAUAGUUAUUCAUUUUUAAUUCACAUAUGUUACAUGGAUAACCUUAGGAGUUUUGAAAAUUCUAAUGUGGAGGUGGUGGUGGUUGUGAAGGUUGUGCAUGACUGUCAUUUCUCCUUUUAAAAUUUAGGUCGUUUCUCCAAAAAAAGUUAUAGGUCUGUGAGUAUGGAUUAAGAUUCGAUCUUUUGAAAUUAUUGGGGUGACAAUUGCUUCUUCAUGCAAACUUUCUUUUAGACCUGGUAAAGUCGAACAGUUCUGUGUAGAGUCGUUUACGGGACUACAAACAUGACAUGAAAUCUUGAAUAGAUUUAACAUUAUUAAUCCAUGUUAACUCCAAUAAUUUAACUUUCUAGCUAAAUAUGAAAAUUUGGCUUCAAGGUUAUGGUCUUCCCUAAAGUUACACAUGCCUCCACCAGACAGAGAUGACUAAGGUUUACUUGAUGACUUAUAAGAAACAACUAUAGACCUAGUGUUGUGCAUUCUUUGUUAUAUGGUCAAGAUAAUCUGAUAAAGCUUAAGGACUUCUGUCUCUAAACUCAACAUUAUAUAUCAUUUCAACCACAUCUCUACUUGAUGACUUAUAAGAAACAACUAUAGACCUAGUGUUGUGCAUUCUUUGUUAUAUGGUCAAGAUAAUCUGAUAAAGCUUCAGGACUUCUGUCUCUAAACUCAACAUUAUAUAUCUUUCAACCACUUCUCUACUUUGGGAUGUUAAUCCCUCGUAGAAAUAUGACACUAACCUCCAUAUUUCAAAACCAUGAUGUGAGCAAGUGUUAAGUAAUGCCUUGUAUCUAUCCUAAUAUUGGUAAAGGGUCUUUCUUAGUUUUAGAGUGGAAGUGGUGAUUUUCCUUUUGAAAAAAUUUGUUAUAUGGGGUGGAAAAAAUUUAUUAAAAAAUUGUGCUUGUAUUUCAUCCGAAGUUUUGAUGGAUCUUGACCUAUGGUUACAAAACCAUGUUUUAGCAUUUUCCUUUAGUAAAAAAGGAAAAACUUAAGUCUGAUUAUCUUCAUGUUAUAAUUUUGAUCGGUGCAAAUGGUACAAACUUCCUCAAAUUCUCUUAAAUGAAAGUAAGGAUACCUUGUUUGAAAUUAAAUCAUGAUGCAUCAUGAGGAAAAACUAUGCAUGAUGAUGCUCCUAUUCUAGUAGAAUACAUGAAAUCUCUAAGUGUCCUAUGAUGGUCAUGAAGGUUUCGUAGGUCUUGUUUAUCUCCCUACUCUUGAAGUUAUCAGCUUCAAUGUCAAUCAUGUCUAUGGGUGGUGAAAAUGAUCUUCUAAUUAAUCUUCACUUUUAGUACAAGACCAAUGUUUCAUAUAAUGCUAAUGUCAUCUGUGUAUAUGUGUGUAAAAUUAAGUUAAGAAAAUGUUACGCAAACAAAUGAAUAAUGUAUGAAACGCUAAAAAAAUUGCAUAAAUAAAAAAAAUUGGAAAUUAUAAAUAAGAAGUAAUAUAAACUUCUAAAAUUUUAAUUAACUGAAUUUAAAAUAAUAUAAUAUGGGGUUAAAUUAGCCACGUAAACAAAUUAAUUGAACAUAACAACACAUUAACAAAAUAUAAAAAAUUUAGGUGGUAUUUUAGAACAAGCUAUUAACAAUAAUAAAGCAUAAAAUAAAAUAAAAAAUGAAAUUAAAGAAAAAUGAAAUUAGAGGAAAAAUAAAAGAAAGAAAUACUUACCUUGAGUGGGUGGAACUCUUUUUUUUUUUUUUUUGACAAUUUUUGAGAAUUACUGAUCAGUUAGGUAAUCAAUUUAAAUUUUAGGCCUCAAUGGUAAUUUCAAAAGUCCAAAGUCCAUGUUCAUUUAAUCUACAAAGUCCAAAUUCAAGGUUGAUAUAGCCACAAUUCAACGACUUGAGUUUCAAUUCAGUUCAAGCACUAUUCUACAAGAAUUUUUGGGGCAAAAUGAAGUUUUCUCACAAGUUUUUUUGUAAUACUGUGAUUUAAGGAGAAAGAAGGGCACUAAUUGGAAUUUUAUGAAAAUAAAAUAAAAUGAUAAAGAUGGAAAUGAAUGGCAAAAAUAAAGAAAAAUUAAUACCCAAUUUAUAAAAACUCCUUGGCAAUGAUGCCAAAAAUUUGACAUGAGUUUCAACACUCCCAAGUAUAAGAACAUCUAGUUAUAAUAUAACCUGAUGAGUUUGGGAUCGAACCACAAGGAAUCUAUAAACCUGGUUGUCAAUUAUUAAAAAAAUUAAUUACAGAAAAAGAAAUUAACAGAGACCAAUCUAGAAAAAUACUAAGGUUAUGGGAUCCACUAUUGGUUUUAAAAUUAUGGUUAUAAUAUUCUCUUGUACUUAUAUUUUGCCUUUCUUUUGCCAAUUAAUUAUUUUGCCAUUCAAUUUUUAAUCAACUAUUUGUUUGGAUAAAUACAGCUAUAUUGGAGUAUCGACUCUAUAUCAAAAUUCCAUAUAGAUCCAAGGAGAUCUAGGUCUAUCAAAUAAUAUAACAUAAAAGUAACCGGUAAAGAAAAAAAUAUAAAUUAUAAACAUAUAACAAAUGAAAUAACUUAAAACUCACUUGAGAGAGUAAUCAAUUCCAUGAUUUGAAUCCUUGAGCUUUACCUUUCACCUUAACUUCGAAAAUUUAGCUACUCCUAUUUAAAAAAACUUUAUGAAGUACAAGAGAAUAGAAAACAAAGGGAUUGAAAAGUGAUUUUUCCCUAAAAUGCUCACCCUAAAGUCCACCACAUAAUUCUCUCUCCUCUCAUUUCUUCUCUUAAAAUCUAGCAAAAAUUCUAUCACACCAAUUUGCAAGAGCUCUCCUCUUUAUAUAAAUAAAUUUUGAGUGAUCAAGUUUGGGUAUUUACAUGAUAUUUUGGUGAGCCUACAAUCACAACCUUUAGAUGAGAUUUAGUAGUACAAUUCAAGGGUCGAAAACUUGCAACUAGAUUUUCUCGAACUUUCUCGCACUUUAAAAUCCUGAUCUAGAAAUGGCUAUAAUUAAAGUCAAAGCAAGACCUUCUCAUUGCUCAUUUAGCCAAGGUUCUUAAUCUACCCAACUUGGUGUGCUAGAUCUAGUACAAAAUCGUGUGCUAAGCUCAAACACGUGGCACAAUCUCAAUCGUUCAACAAUAAUGCCAGACAAUGGGAUAGCAAAUCUCCAUGGCUUUUGAGCUUUUGAAAUCUAAAUUUCACGUCUGUUUUUCCAAUCCAAGCAUCAUGAUGUCAGGGAAUUACUUACAAACAUAAAAAAUAAUACUUAGAAACAAAUAAAAAUAAAUAAUUCACAAAAAAAUUUAGGAAUUUAUCAAUGUAAUGAAAUUAUUAGUGUUAUCAAUGUUAUAAGUGAAAAACAAUAUUUUAACCUUUAUUAAAUGUAUACUUUUUAGUGUUAGUCAUGGUUUACAUGUUACAUAUAUUUAAAAUUUUAAACAUUUAAGGUCCAUAGUUUCAAGCCGAGUUUCAUUAAAAUAAGAUUUAAAAAUUAUAAUUUAUAAAAUAAACUUAUAUGUAUAUAUAUGUAUCUAUAAAAUAUAAAAUUUUAGUUCUACCUAAAACAAUUUGGUCCAAUAUUAGGUUUUCUAUACUUAGUCUGGCUGCUGAAAGAGCAUGCCUUCCCUAGAUAUUCAAUUAUCAAGGCAUUUUCACUUAUCAAGGCAAUAAAUCAUUACCUUUAGAUCUUUCUAUUUUCUGCACAAAAUGACAGUCACUGAAAAUUUACAAUAGCUUGUAACUUUGGUAAGACAUCCAAUUAUUAAGGCUUAUGAUUUUUCAUGCAUUGAAAGAAUAAUACAAUGCAUACAUUCAACUUUGUCGAAAGACGAAAAUAUCUUGUUUAGGAAUAAAUCUAAAUAGAGUUUUUCAUAAGGUAAUUAGACACGUUGCUACCCAAAGGUUCCAAGAUUGCAAAAAAAAAAAAAAAAAAUCAACACAAAGAACGGAGAGAAAUAGCAAGAAUAAUAUUAAACAUAUCUAAGAUUCAUCUAAAAAAAUCCACUUGCAUAAAGCAAUUGCUUAUAGUGAAAAAGCAAUGUCAUUAAGAACAUGUAAAUCAUAAUGCAAGCAGGCUAUUCUAUGAUGAUUUAUCUAAAAAGAUAAUAAACCCAAGAUUUUUAAGAAGAAUGAAAUCAAGAAAGUGUAAUAAAUGAAAAUCAUGAAACAAAAUACCAAAAAAACAUUAAUUUAGAAUAGUACAAUAAAGAGCCUAGUUAGUAAAAACAAUAACUAUUAUAUUCCAUAAACAAAUCAAAGAAUGGCUAAAAAUGUGGAAUUGAAGAUUCAUUAAUGAUCACUAGAGAUAAUGAGCUUCUAACUACCUAUGCUUAAAGAAAUAACAAGUGUUGAAUAAUGGCAAGAAAAGCCUAUUUGAAGAAUGAUUAGUAUAAGAAUAUAGUUAUAAAUUCUAGCUUCCAUAAGGAAUAUGGUGGGUAGUUGAGGUAUACUAGUGAGAUAGUUAGGCCAUACCUAUGUCAUAGGAAGCUGGACUGGCAUUGGAGUUUUUAAUCUAUAUGGCAUAUGAUGGCUAAAUAACUACUGAAGAAGUAGUUUAGGCUUUGUGAUGUAAUUGGAACUACCCAUGAUGAUUAGAUAACUACUUACAACAUAUAGUGGUUGGAUAACUAACCAUGAUUAUAGGUAACUACAGAGGGAAUUUGUUAAGCAUGUAUAUCAUUAAAGGAGUUGCUCCAGGGGAGCCAGGAGGCAAGCGAAUGUGCAACCAAGACACAGAAGGCAGCCAAGAUAGCUGAGGUUUUGGAAACACUUGAGAGAUCCAAGUAAAUAUUUUUUCGGCAAAGGGAGAAAUUGUAAGCUUGGUAACUAUAAGAAUAAAUGUAUUUCUAUUGUCAAAUCCCUGAUGAUUAAUAAACUUGGCAAGAGUGUGUUUGUGCCCAUGGAUGCAGGCCUUACAAAGUCGAACCAUGUAAAUUUCCUAUGUCAUUCUUUUUACACUCUCUUUUUGUUCUUAUUGCAUGAUACUGUGUAAGACUUUUCACAAUGUUUCUUUAUCUAUUCCGGAACUAAGUUGAUUUAGGGUACCUAAAAUGUGAUAGAGAUCAAUCAGGCUAUUCAAUAAUCUAUUCUAACCAAUCAAUUUAGCUUCGAUUUUAACAAACUAUUAUUAGAGCCUAGUUCUUUGGCUCUAACUCGAUUGGACGUAAGAAAUUUGAAAGAGCUUGGGAUUUCCAACCACUUCUUUGUUUAUUCAACUUCAUUUAUUUGUUGUGUUUCAAGUUUGUCAAUGUGUUAAGUAAGUCUAACAUAAAUAAUGGUGGCCUAACAUUAAUUAUGUUAAGCCAGUAUUAAGUUUUUCAAUGACUAGCAUAAUAAUGAUGGGUUGGUAAAGACUUUUGAAGCAUCCUUUUACAAACCUAUGCUUGGAGGGUUGUUCCCAUGUUUCCAUGUGCAUUUUUAGGAUCUUGAGUUUCUAUUUGCCUAUUUAAACUCAACAAACUUGCAAUUUAAAAUAAUUUAGAGAUUAAUGUUAUUUGAAUUUGAAAGAUCAUUCUUUCUUUGGUUCUUUUGGAAACUAGUGAACUUAUUAAGAAUUUACAAUCUCAUGGCAUUCCAAUCUAGAUUUAUGACUCACCUUUUCAUCUACAUCUUGAGUGUGGCGUCAAUAUCCUUCUUUAUACCUCUGGUUCAUGUUUUCUUAAACAUUGCUUUCAACAUCAAGUGAAAGAAAAUAUAGAGGUACAACGUGAUAAUAUCUUUCAUACAAGGUGCCAUACAAAAAAUAAGGUAUGUAAUAUGAUAAUUGAUGGUGGAAGUUGUACUAAUGUAACUAGCACCAGUUUAGUUGAAAAAAUGAAUUUCAAAACUUUAGAACAUCCUAGGCCACAUAAGCUACAAUGGCUGAAUGAUUGUGGAAAAGUUAAAGUAAAACAACUAGUGCUGAUUUCAUUCUCUAUUGGGAGAUAUAAGGAUGAGAUUUUAUUUGAUAUAAUAUCUAUGCAUACUGGACACAUUCUUUUAGGACGACCUUAGCAAUAUGAUAGGCGUGUGACACAUGAUGGUUACUUAAAUAGAUAUUCUUUUUAUAAUGAAUGAAAAGCUCAUCACUCUUGUACCCUUAACAUCAAGAUAAGUGUAUGAGGAUCAAAUGUCAAUACAAAAGAAGAUUGAUAUAUAAAAAAAAAAAAGGUGAGAGUACGAAAGAAAGAGAGAUUGAGAGAAAAAAAAAGUGGAAAAGUAAAAAAAAAAUGAGAAUAUUGUGGAGAGAUCAAAGAAGUAGCAAGGGGAUUUGUUUGCAAGAGAAGGUAAGGUUAAUAGAGCUUUCUAUUCAAAACAUCCUUUAAUUGUACUUUUGCACAAAGAGACUUGUUUAAGUACUAAUAAGCUUAAAUCUUCAUUGCAUACUGCUAUUGUGACUCUUUUGUAGGACUUUGAUUAUUUUUUUCCAAAUGAAGUCCUUAAUGGAUUGCCACCUAUUAGGGAAAUUGAACAUCAAAUAGAUUUUUCCUAGAGCUACCAUACCUAAUAGACCAACAUAUAGAAGUAGAGGAGACAAAUGAGUUUUAAAGGCAGGUUGAAGAACUCUUAGCAAAGAGAUAUGUGAGGGAGAGCAUGAGUCCAUGUGCAAUACCAGUUCUACUAGUGCCCAAGAAGGAUGGAACAUGGAGGAUGUUAGUUUAUUGUAAAGUAUAGACAUCUUAUUCCUAGACUUGAUGAUAUGCUUGAUAAAUUACAUGGUUCUUAUGUGUUUAGUAAAAUUGAUCUUAAAAAUAGAUAUCAUCAGAUUAAGAUAAGAGAAGGAGAUGAGUGGAAAACUUCUUUUAAAACAAAAUACGGUUUACAUGAAUGGUAAGUUAUGAUAUUUGGGCUAUUUAAUGCACCAAACACUUUUAUGAGGUUAACGAACCAUGUUUUGUGUUUCAUUAGUAAAUUUUUGGUUGUUUAUUUUGAUAAUAUUUUGAUCUAUAGUAAAAGCUUGGAUGAACACAUUGAGCAUUUGCAAAGUGUGUUAACUAUUUUAACGAAGGAAAAAUUGUACGCUAAUAUGAAAAAGUAUUCCUUUUGUACAUCAUAUUGUUUUUCUUGGUUAUGUUGUAAGUACUAAAGAAAUUGAGGUUACUGAAGAGAAUAUAAAGGCUAUUAGAGAGUGGUAUACACCUAAAAGCGUAAGUGAGAUAAGAAGUUUUCAUAGUCUGACUAAUUUUUAUAGAGGAUUUGUGAAAGAUUUUAGCACCCUUGCUGCACUAUUAACUGAAAUUAUGAAGAAACACGUGGGAUUUAAGCGGGAUAGUGAACAAGAAAGGGUAUAAGUAUUACUUGCUUAAUCUAAUCAAGGAGAAAUUGGUUCUUGCACCAUUACUUGCUUCACCUAAUUUUGCUAAAACUUUUGCAAAUGAGUGUGAUGCUUUAGGUAUAGGUAUUGGAGCUAUUUUGAUGCAAUAAUUUUGUCUAAUUGCCUACUUUAGUAAGAAAUUGAGUGGAGAAGCCCUAAACUAUCUUAUUUAUAAUAAGGAGAUGUAUGCAUUUGUGAGAGCAUUAGAAACUUGGCAACACUAUCUUCUAUCUAAAGAGUUUGUUUUACACACUGAUCAUGAGUCAUUGAAGCAUUUGAAAGGGUAAGGUAAGCUGCAUAAGAGGCACACCAGAUAGGUUGAAUUUAUUCAACAAUUUCCUUAUGUGAUCAAAUAUAAACAAGGUAAAGAGAAUGUGGUGGCUGAUACAUUAUCUAGAAGGUAUGCACUUAUCUCUACAUUAAAUGCAAAGUUGUUAGGAUUUGAGUACAUUAAAGAAUUAUGUAUUAACGAUCCUGAUUUUACGAAUGCGUUUAAUGCUUGCGAGAAAGUUGCAUUUGGUAAGUUCUAUAGGCAUGAUGGGUUCUUAUUUAAAGAAAAUAAAUUGUGUGCACCUAAUAGUUUUUUGCAUGAAUUGCUUGUGCGUAAAGCUUAUGGGGGAGGUUUAAUGGGACAUUUUGGCAUUGUAAAGACUUUAAAUGUUUUAAAAGAAUACUUCUUUUGCCACAUAUGAAACGUGAUAUUGGAAAAAUAUGUGAGAAGUGUAUCAUUUGUAAACAAGCUAAGUCUAGAGUUUUACCCCAUGGAUUGUAUAACCCUUUACCCAUACUUAGCAAACCUUGGGUUGAUAUUUCUAUGGACUUUGUUUUAGCUUUACCAAGGUCAGAAAAGGGAAAGGAUUCCGUUUUUGUUGUUUUUGAUAUGUUUUCAAGGAUUGCACAUUUCAUUCCAUGUCACAAAACUGAUGACGCAAUAAACAUAGCUAAUUUAUUUUUCAAAGAAAUAGUCAGAUUGCAUGAAAUACCAAGGAGCAUAGUUUCAUAUAGAGAUGCCAAGUUCUUGAGUCACUUUUAAAAAACUUUGAGGGGCAAGUUAUAUGGUUGGAAAACUUUGUUUAUAAUAGAACUGUCUACUCAACUGCUAAAUUUUCAUCAUUUGAGAUUGUAUAUGGUUUUAAUCCAUUAACACUUUUAGAUUUAUUACCUUUACCUAUUGAUGAGUGUGCUAGUAUAAAUGGUAAAAAAAAAGCUGAAUUUGUCAAGGAAUUGCAUGAUAAAACACGACAACACCUAGAAAAGAUGAUUGAACAAUAUGCUACUCAAGCUAACAAAGGACGUAAUUAAGUGAUUUUUUAGCCUGGAGAUUGGGUUUAGGUGCUUGUGAGAAAAGAGAGGUUCUAUAACAAUGCCUACAAAUUGGAUCUUCCUAAUGAGCAUAAUGUGAGUGCUACUUUUAAUGUUUUUGAUAUUUGUCCUUUCGAUGUAAGUAAAGAUUCGAGGACAAAUCAUCUUUAGGAGACAAGGAAUGAUGAGAACCUUUAAAGGAAUACUUUAAAGCUUCAAACGAUCUUUUGCCCAUUCAUGGAGGCCCAAUUACGAGAGGUACAGUCAAAAAGAUGCAUGUUGUUUUAAAUGGAUUAAUUGAGAAAAUGUGGACUGAAAAAACAAUUCAAGAUGGAAGACAUGAUGAAUUGGGCUUAGAGGGAAGACAAGGCAUUGUGGGCAUUAUUCACGUUGUUGGGUAGCCAAAUACAUAAUUUUGAUCAAAUGCGGAAAACGAUAAAUUCAAAAUGAAACUGAUAUUGAUUGAGUUGAAAUUAAUGUCCAAGUUAUAUACCGUUGGAAAGAUAAUUAAGGCUUGGGAAUUCGAACCACUCCUUUGUUUAUUCAACUUCAUUUAUUUGUUGUGUUUCAAGUUUGUCAAUGUGUUAAGUAAGUCUACCAUAGAUGAUGGUGGCUAGCAUUAAUUAUGGUAGGCUAACAUUAAGUUUUUCAAUGAUUAUCAUUAAUAAUGAUGGGUUGGUUAAGACUUUUGAAGCAUCCAUUGACAAACCUAUGCUUGGAGGGUUGUUCAAAUGUUUCCAUGUGUAUUUUUAGGAUCUUGGAUUUUCCAUUAGCCUAUUUAAACUCAACAACCUUGCUAUGUAAGAUAAUCUAUAGAUGAAUGUUAUUUGAAUUUGAAAUAUUAUUCUUUCUUUGGUUCUUUUGAGAAUUGGUGAACUUAUCAAGAAUUUACGUUCUUAUGGAAUUUCUGACAAGACUUAUCGUUCACCUUCUCAUCCACAUCUUGAGUGUAGCAUCAAUAUCCUUCUCUAUACUUUUGGUUCAUGUUUUCUUAAACAUUGGGUUAAGGUUUUUGUUUGGCUUAAAUCUAUUUAGAACUUUCUUAGGAAGCUGAAACCUCAAAUUAAGUGUGGGUUUUAAAGUUUUAUUGUGGGGUUCGCAUCAUGAAAUAUGACAGAAAGCAAUCAGGCUAUUCGAGAGGCUAUUCUAGCUAAUCAAUUUAGCUUUAAUUCUAACAAACUAUUAUUAAAGCCUAGUUCUUUAGCUCAAAAGAGAUUGGACGAAAGAAAUUUGAGGGGAAAAAUGACUUAAGUCCUUGAAAGGUGAAGAUGGAAGCACUAUUAGUACAUCAACGGUUGAAAAUUGCUCUAAAGAAAUAUCUAAGUGGGAAUAUACUUCUAGAUGAUGAGGAUCUUAAAGAUAAUAUGAGAAAAACACAUAGUACCAUCAAUCUAAGCCUAGGAGAUGAAGUUUUGAGAGAAGUUUCAAGAAAGAAGUCUGCUUCAGGUAACUGGCAAAGCUAGAAAAGAUUUACAUGGCAAAAUCUCAAGAAAAUAGAUUUAUGUAAAGAAAAGCUUUACACACUUUUAAUAGAGAAAGGUUCUUCUAUUAUAGAGCAUAUUUAUAACUUUAACAAGGUUAUUAUAGAUCUUGAGGGUAUUGAUGCAAAAGACCAAGGGUAGGGACAAGGAACUCAUAUUGUUAAGUUCUCUACCAGACUUUUAUGAGCAUUUCACGGAUACCUUGCUGUAUAGAAAAUAAAGUUUAAUCAUGGAAGAUAUUAAGGCUGCUCUCAACUCAAAAAAAAAAUAUAGAAGAAAUCUAAUGAUACUUUAGGUUUAGGAGAAAUCCUGAAAGCAACAAAGGGUAGAUCUAAUAAGAAGGUUUUUAAGAACAAACAGCAGAUCUAAAUAUAAGAAUAAGAGUAAAAAUGUUUCUUUUGCUAGAAAGAAUGACACUUUAAAAGAGAUUGUCUAAAAAAGGAAAGCUAUGAAAGUAAAAUUUAAGGAGAAUCAUAGUAGUGCCACAUCAGUUGCGUUGAAGAACCCCAACUGCUCUACAACCAAGUUCAAUACUUCCGAUGAGAAGAAUUAUGAUUCUGCGGAUAUGCUACUUACAUCAGAUAUGCAAAUGAAUGGUGUCUCAAUUUUAAACUCAGCCUAUUCUUUUCAUAUCAGUCAUAAUGAAAACUUAUUUUUGGAUUAUCAAGUAAUAAUGGUGGAAAGGUGUUAAUGGGAAACAACAUCACUUAUAUGGUUACUGGUAUACAAAAUAUUAUGAUUAAAAUAUUUAAUGAAGUAAUUAGAAAACUUAAAUAGGUUAGACAUGUUUUGAACUUGAAUAGGGAUGUCAUCUCCUUAUGUCUACUUGAAAAUAUAAGAUGUGAAAUUAAGGUUGAAAAUAGAUCUUUGAACAUGAUUAUAUGUUCGUCAUUUGUAAUCAAAGAAGAAAUGAAGAAUGGUAUCUAUUUGUUGAAGGGUACCUUAGUGAUAAGCAGUACAUCUAUGCAUGCUGGGGUAACCUCUUAAUAGAUUAGGCUUUGACACUUAAGGCUUGGUCAUGUUAGUGAGAAAGGUCUAAAGAAGCUGUGUAAGAAGGGCAUCUUAGGUGAUGACAGAAUUGAAUGGCUAAAGUUUUGUGAAUAAUGCAACUUGUGCAAAGCUACUAGGGUCAAGUGUCAUUUUGCUAAACAUAGAACAAAGGAUAUUCUGGAUUACAUCCAUUCACACUUGUGGGGACACUCUCUAAUUAGCUCACAAAGAAGUGCUAGGUACUUUCUCUCAUCGAUGAUUACUCAAGGAAAUUCUGCGUUAUGUACUAAAAUCUAAAGAUCAAUUAUUUAAUACUUUUAACACUUGAAGAGCACUAACAAAUGACAUAAGGGUAUCUAAAGACUUUUCACGUUUGAAGAUUGGCAAUGAAGUAGAAAGUGAACAUUUGGAAAGGUUAGUCAAAGUGGGAAGCAAAAGUGAAGAUUAAUUGUCCACUUGUUUAAACAUUUGACAUCCAACAAGUUUAGGUUAUACUAGGACUUGGCUAGGGUUACCUAUCUUUGAUAAGAUCUAUAACCUUGGUAGAGAACUGUAUGAUUACGGUUAUAAAUUCUAUCUUCAAUAAGGAAUAUGGUGGUAGCUGAGGUGUACUAGUAGGGUAUUUGUGAUACAGCUAUGCCACAUGAAGCUGAUUUGGAAUUGGGGCUUUUAAUCUAUAUGGUACAUGAUGGCUAAAUAACUAACUGCAAAAAUUAUUUAGACUUUGUGACGUAAUUGGAACUGCUCAUGAUUUUUAUAGAUAAUUACCCAUAGCACACAAUAGCUGGAUAACUAACUAUGAUUAUAGGUAACUGCUAUGGUUGUUAUUUAGGUGUUUAUAUCAUUGAGAGAGUUACCCUACGGGAAGCCAGGAUGUGGGCCAAGGUGCAACCAAGACCCAAGAGGUGGACCAAGGUGGUCGAGGUUUUGGGAAACACUUGAGAGAAGUAGUGAAUAGUUUACGGGCAGAGGGAAAUGUUGUAAUUCUCAAUAACAUUUGAGAAUCAGUAUAUUUCCAUUGUAAAAUCCUUGAUGAUUAAUAAACUCAGCAAGAGUGUGUUUGUCCCCAUGGAUGUAGGCCUAAUAAAGCCGAAUCAUGUAAAUCUCCUAAAUUAUUUUCUUUAUUUUCUUUAUUUUCUCUUUUUGUUCUUACUGUUUGUUGUUGUCUGAGAUUGUUUUUUUAUGUUUCUUUAUUUGUUCCGUGACCAAGUUGAUCUGGGUUACUCAAGCUGUGUCAGAGAACAGUCGGUCAUUUGUAAAUUUAUUAUUAAAUUUUGGUAGAAAAGUUUUUAUGAAAAAUGUUAUUUCCCGUCAUAAAGUUAAUUUUUUUUAAAAAAAUAUAUAUUAUGAUUAUAAUUUAUUUGUGAAUUCUUGAUUACAAAUUUAAUUAAUUAAUAAAAAUGAAUAUCGUCAAAAAAACUAAAAGCAAUUAAAAUUAAUUAACCUCCAUUCAAUCCAACAAAUUAAUUUCAAAACAAAUACUUCUAGUAUUCAAUGUCAUCACCGCCAAUACAUAAUAAAACAUCCCAAAUAAAAAAGAAAAAAAAUCCAAAAUAUAAAACAAUACUUAAAUCCCAAUUAAACUCCAAGAAAAGCAAUUCAAAUUCCAACCACCAAGCCAAGUUACCCAACAAAACUUCCAAAAAUUAAUGAAAAUAUUCCAACAGCAAGACUUCUAGCAAGACUCCAGCAAAACUUCCAGCACCAAUACCAUCUUCCAAUAGCACUCUAAUUCCAGCAUCAAACAAGGUAAAAGUCACAGAUGAAACUUGUAUGAGCAAAAUCGUCCACAUUAAUAAAGAGUAGCUGCUGCUCUUUCUGCUGCUGUAAAAGAGCCGCAUUACGGUCUGUCAGCUUAGCAAUAAUGGCAGAAGUAAUUCCAGCAUGUAUUUUCUAUCCAGCAGGGCCAAAUCCUCAUCCUUAAGGGCUAAGAUAUCGAAUGAGAUAAUAAAUAAGUAAAAGGUAAUAUGCUAAGGUCAGUGAGCUGCUCAAAUAAUGAUUUAAUUACAAUUUGCACUAUGGUCAAAAGAGAAGAAGACAUAAAAUAUAAAUGUGUAUUUCUUUAGAGGAAGAAAAAACGAAAUUUGCUAAGGCUAAAUGUGUAUUUUCUGGAUAAAUACAUUUUAUAGAGUUAAUAGCAAGCCUAUAAACUAAUUAUCUAUAAAAUCAAAUUAUUUAGCAGCAACCUCAUAUUUCCAUUAACUUCAGCUAGCACAAUACAGUAUGUACAUCAAUACAACCAAACAGAUGAUAUGUAUCAUAUACACUAAAUGUCCGAUAUAGCAGGCAUAGCCUCAAGUGCUAUUACCUGAUACAAUGCAUGACUUAGCUCUUGCCUUGCUGUAUGAUGUUGCUGUUCCAAAGCAAAAUUAGAUUGCAUUAGACCAUCCCAUUCCUACAAUUAGAAAACAAUGUAAUUGCCAGGAAAUAUAAUAAAGAAUCACAUAUUAAAGUGUAAAAUUCAGUAUCAAUUAAAAUUAUGAAUUUGAAGAAGUGUCACUAAGAAAUUAGCAAUAUUACAGUUAAAAAAAUGAUAAAAGACAUUAAAUUAUGCUUACACGAUUAUCAUUGUUUAUAAAAAAAGUAUUCACUUUUCAAAUGAAAAAAAUUAAAAGAGAACAGAACAGGGGAUCUAAAAAAAAAACAAUCUUAUAAUAGCUCUAUCUUGUAAAGUAUAUACUAGAUAAAUCUAGCAUAAGAAUAAUUGGCAACAAAACUCUAAGACAAAAUAUCUGUGUUAUACAUUCUAAAUUAUUAUGGAAUGAAGAGACCUAAUGAACACAAAAAAAAUAUGAUAUUAUGAAUGAAAAACAUGGGCUAAAAUCUGGAAAACUAUAUGUUUCAUGGAAAGAAAAAGAUCACCAUAAAAAUCAGAGCUUAUUACAUACUGAUUAAAUUGGAAUAUAAUCUAAGCUUGCACUUGGCAGGAAAUUGGUAAUAUGCUAAAACACAAGUUCAUAAAAAAACAUAUGAAGUCAAAAGUCAAAUUCUUUUUAAGUACUAACAAAUUAAAACCUCCUUCCAAACAAACUUAAACAUUUAACACAGCAGGCAUAGGGCAGUAAAAUGCACAAGAUAAUUGAACAUGAAAAUUUCAAGAUAAAGCCAAACCCUAACCAUCGUGACAGCCACGAGCCACGAUGACCUUACCCCUCCAUAACAAAUCAAUCCCAAUCAAUUUCUACACCAAAAUCCCAACAAAUUUUACUAUUUAGAAAACUAAACCCACAAGUUUUAAUACAUACUCGAAGUCAAUUUUUUUUUUUUAAAUUCAGCAACCUUACCUGGAUAUGGAUUGAUUUGUCGAGGGAAAAAAAAUUAAAAAACCAAUUGAUUCUCAUGGUGGUGGUAGAUCUGCUUGUGGAGAUGACGAACUGAUGAAAAGUCUGAGAAACAACGUGAAAUGAGAGAGCAAGCAAGCGUGAUGGCUUGAACGGAGGAAGAAUGGUGGCAUUUUGAAUGGCAAAAUAGUGGUGUUUUUAUGAUCUACUAAGAAUGAAAUUUUAAUUCUAGGGUUUCAAAUGAUAAAAGAGAGAGGCAAAAUGGAGAGUGACUGGGAGAAUGUCUAAGACUUCGACAAAAUUGUGCAUUUUAAGCAAUCUCAUGGUAAAUCGUAGCGUUUUAUCUUUUUGUUUUUAUUUUUUCAAUUUUUAAAAUGGUACUGUUUGAUUUUUAAAAUAAAAUAAUAUAUUAAAAUUUGGUCAAACAUAGUCAAAAUCAUAAUUCCAUCACAAUUUUUUGACGGCGCAAAUUUCUAUCACAAUUAUAUCAUUAAUUCUUGAUAAACAAUAAUUCUAUCACAAAACCAUCACUAAUACAUGAUAGAACCAUAUUCUAUCAUGAGUCCGUCAUGUUUUUAUGAUAUAUACAGAAUCUGUCAUAAGUUGUCUGUCAUCUAUUGUCAGUUUUCUUAUAGCGGUAGUUGAGUGACAAACAAUCCUAAUGGGUUCUUGACUGUUCUUAAGAGUUGCUGCAAGAUUGUUGUAGCAUUUUGCUCUAAUAGCUUAUAUUACAAUCAUUAUUUCGGUUGACCUCCUGCUGUACGGCCAAGGCGGAUGUACGGUACAGCAGAAUUCCAACCACCAAGCCAAGUUACCCAACAAAACUUCCAAAAAUUAAUGUAAGCGACAACUAAGGAUGCAAAAUAAUUAUGCCCAAUGCUGUAGGAGUUGCUACUGCAAUUGGUGUUAAGUUGAACAAAACAGUUAGCCCAUGAAGAGAGUUUGAUCAUUCAACUACCUUAUUCUUAAUAAAUUCUCUUUGCGCAAUUCAUCUAAUUUACCUUAUUACUGCAUUUAUUUUAUUACAUUGUUAAUUUCAUUAGUCUAUCAACUUUAAUUAGAUUUUUCUUUAGAUAGAAGGAAGUUUGCACUAUCGUGAUUGUUGUAGCAUUUCUAGUAACAUCAGUCCAUGUGGAGACGAUCUUGAAUAUUCAUCACUUUAUUACUUGUUGUGUACGCUUGCACAUUGACAUCAAUAGCAAUUUGUAGCAUUUCUAGUAUCAACUUUAAUUAGAUUUUUCUUUAGAUAGAAGGAAGUUUGCACUAUCGUGAUUGUUGUAGCAUUUCUAGUAACAUCAGUCCAUGUGGAGACGAUCUUGAAUAUUCAUCACUUUAUUACUUGUUGUGUACGCUUGCACAUUGACAUCAAUAGCAAUUGAGUAAAAAUUGUUAACAUAUAUGUUUCCAUAAUAUUGAUUUUGAUGAUAACAAACAAAAUUAAGAAUGAUUAAUCUUUUAAGCUCAAAUUAUUUUCUUUUUAAAUAAAUCAUUAUUUUCACAUUAUAAAGGUUUCAUAUUUAAUGGAAAAAUGAUGUUAUGGAAUUAAAGUGUUUUGGACUAAAAUGAAAGUAUUUUAAAACCUUUGAUAUUGUUUUAAAAUUUCAGAUUUGGACCUAUUUGAAGCUAUUUAAAUAUUUUGGGUCAUUCUGUAAUUUCACAUAGUUUGGGUGAAAUCAUAAUUUCAGAAAGUUUUGGGAUUGACAAAGCAUUAAUUAAAAAUUCUGAAAUUGGACCUAUUUGAAAUCUUUCAUAACGUUUUGGGUCAUAAUACAAUUUUAUAAUGUUUUAGGGCCAAACUAUAAUUUUAGAAAAUAGUUCACUGUAGCAGUUACUGUAGCAAGCGGCUAACCGAAUGUGAAAAACCGGUAAGCCGGAUGUUGGGCAGAAUCUAUCCGAAUUGAAAGCGGCUAACCGGAUCCUAACAAACGGUAAUCCGGUUGUUGGGCAGUAAGCUUCUGGAGUAUAAACGGCUAUCCGGAUUUCACAAGCGGCAUACCGGAUGUUCAAAAAUUCAAAAUUGUGGCUGUAACGGUAACAUUAAGUGGCUAACCGGAUGUCCAUAAACGGUAAGCCGGUUAUGAUCAAAAUGUGCAUAACGGCUAGUUUUUUAGCUCAAACUAUAAAAACUCAAAUCCAAUUCAUUUUCAAACUCUCCAACAAGCAUAAACAAAAAACACACGAGAUAUCUUGAGCUGCUGUACGGCCAAGGCGGAUGUACGGUACAGCAGGACAUUGAUAUGUUGAAUUAUUGUAUUUUGAACUUUUCAUGUCUAAAAGUUUUUAUUAGAUUGGAUUGUUGUGUGUUUGCUUAGCUUAACUUAUAAAAACCCAAUUCACCCCCCCUCUUGGGUUGCUUAGUUAGUAUUUCAAAAAUAACCAACAAUAAUCAAUCUUUUUUUUUUUGGAGAAACCCUUUUGCAACAAGUCUGGCUUUGUAUUUGUUGAUGGAUCCAUCUGAAUUCUGCUUCACUCUAUAAACCCAUUUGCUACCCACACGUUUCAAAUUCUGUGUUGGGGGCACCAGACACCAGGUUUGAUUUCUUAUAAAUGCAUUGAAUUCUUCUUGCAUUGCUUGCUUCCAAUUUUGAUCAUUCAAUGCUUCAGCAACACUUGAUAAGGUUUCUAAUGACAGGGUCUUUUGAGUAUUAAAGAUUUUUGGUUUAAAUAUGCCAGCUUUUGCUCUAGUUAUCAUAGGGUGAGUUGGUUUUGGUUGAGUAGUUUGUUGGGUUAUUAUAGGGACUUGGUUUUGUGUUUCAUGGAAUGAUUUGUCAGGUUCAAAUGGCUGGUUUGAUGAAGGUUGAGAUGAGAUGUCUGUUGGGCUAAUGUUAUUGUUAAGAGUUUGAUCAUUAUAAGGAAUUAUUUCGAGUAUGUUUUCUGAUAUUCUUGUAUUAGCUUCUACUGCCUCAUGAUCUUGACUCUCAGAGGGGAAAGAUAUUAUAAUAAACUUUAUAAGAGUAUUGGUGGACUCUGGUGAGUGAACUAAUUUUGGAGUCAUGAAACUGUGAUAAUUUUUUAAAGGAAAAGAAUUUUCAUUACAGUUAACAUGUGCAGCAAUAUAACACUACAAGAAAACUGUCAAUAGAUGACACACUUUGUGACAGAUUCUGAUAAGUCAUAAACGUAUGAUAGAUUUGUGAUAGAUUUUUUGUCUAUUAUGUAUUCAUGACAAACAUGUGAUAGACUAGUGAUAGAAAUAAAUUAUGUCAAGAAUAUAUGAUGACUUUAUGAUAAAAAUUAUUACGUCAAUAUUUCAUGAUAGAAUUUUCAUGUUGACUUGAUUUUGGCACGUUUUUGACCAAAAAUUUGGGUACUAUUUUAAAUAAAAUGUUAUGUGAAUGAAGAAACAUCGUCGUUUCAAGUAAGUUGGAAUGACAACGUUUUUCUUGUAAAUGUUAACUAUUAAAAUUUUAAAAUAUUUUAUUAUAAAAUAAAAUUUAAAAAUAAAAAAACACACCGUUUUGGUGCUCUCUAAACUCUAAUCCCUAAUUUUCUUCUAAGCAUCAAUCGAACACAACGCAAACACAGAGAGAAGUCAAAGGAUACUGACUUAAAACCCUCGGCACUGGCUUCUCUCAAUCUCUUAAUAUUGACUUCCUUUUGCCGUCGUCUUGUCGGAAUCUUGAACGUCGGCAUCUUACCAUUGUCUUCCUCAUGCACUUGCCAUACCUUAUCGAGUAUUGGGGCUAACUAAUCGUACUACACGCGCGGGUUGCUCAUGAGUAUUUUUAGUGCUACCCUUUGUUGAUUUCUUUUAUUUCUAGUUGUUCGAUUGUUGGAGUUUCAUUGUAAUGUCCUACCGCUUUUGCAAAUUUAUGUUACAGUGAUUUGGAGAAUUUAUAUGUUUUAGUGAAAUAUUGGGACUCUGCUACUCUGGGUUGUAGUUCCUUAUUCUUUUUCGUAAUUUAUAUUCUCUCUGUUAGGUUGUGAGUGAUAGCAAAAUGUUCCGGGUUCAUGUGGUAUUUUUGGGGCAUCCUCUACUGGAGGGGUUUCUAAUGACAUUUCCAUUCUUUCUUUUUGUUUUUGGCUUCCAUCUAUGUCUAUCUGAAUACUAUAAAGUUGCGAUUAUGUCCUGGUUUUCAUUUUUGUAAAUUUUUGUUGCAAUGAUGUUGGAAUGUUCGUAGUUUAUGUACAGUAUCCGGACUCUGCUAUUUGGGGUCUCUGUGAUGUGUUUCUUUUUUCCCCUACCUCUCUUUAGUUUAUCUCUUCUAUUAUGAAUGCAUUAGAGCAAUAUUUUUUAUGUUGCAGGGUAAGAGAAAUGAUUAGUUUAUUAGAACUACCCUACUGGAAGGUGUCUAUAAAGAGUUAUAUUUGACCUUUUCUUAGCUAACCAUUUAAAUCCUUCCAAAGCAAUGUGUAUGUUGGUCAUGUCCCUGUUGCAAAGCUUUAUGCAGCUGUGUUAAAGAAAUGGUCUGAGUUCUUAAGGAGUAUUGGGAUUGUAGUACUCGGCUUCUGGUGAGUUUUUUCAGAUUGUUUCUUAGUUUGCACUUGUAUCUUUGAAUACAUGAAAUUUAUAAAGUUGCGGUUAUGUUUUGGUUUUUCAUUUUUGCAAAUUUUUGUUGUAGUGAUUGGCAUGUUCGUAAUUUAUGUGAAUUAUCUAGACUCUGCUAUUUGGGACUUUGUAAUGCGUUUCUUUUUCUUGCCUCUACCUCUCCUUAGUUUAUCUCUUAUAUUAUGAAUGCUUUAGAGCAAUUUUUUUUUUUUUUUUGGUGAUGCAGUGUGUAAGAGAAAUGGAUAGUUUUUUAUGAGUAUCGGAACUACCCUACGAGAGGGUGUCUAUAAAGAGUUAUUUUCGGCCUUUCCAUAUUUUGCAAUUUUUUUUUGUUGUUGAUAAAUAUUCUUAGUUUUUGAGGAGUAUCAACAAUUCAACUACUCAAGGGCACGUCUAAUGAGUUUUCUUAUUCUUCUUUCUAGUUUAUUACUCCGCUUUGUGGUUGUCUAAACAUGUUAAAUCAACUUGUAAUUUAGUUAGUCUAUUGACAUUUUUAAUCUUCUAGUUUAUCACUGCUUUUUCUAACUGUCUGGACAUACAAAAUCAACUUGUAAUUUGGUUAUCAUUUGUGCAAAUUUAUGUUGCAGUGAUAGUGAGAAGUUUCUUGCUUUUGUGGAAUAACUGGGAUUGUUCUAAAUAGAGGGUCUCUAAUUUUGUUUUUUGUUUUGCCAAAUCUUGUUGCAGUGAUGCCAGCGUGUUUCAAAUUUUUAAGGAAUGUGAAGGUUAUUUAUCUUGAAGGAUUUGACUGUUUUUGUCUCUUAUCUCACUUGUCAUUUCUAUCUAUGUUACACAAGCACAUAAAGUUCAGAUAGUAUAUUAGUCUUCCUUUUUUUUUUUCUUACCCCAAUUUUUUAUGCUGUAGUUGUGGAAAUGUUCCUCUGUUUUUAAGGGAAUCUUGGAACACGUUGAGCUUUUUAGUUCUUAUUUGUUAUUUCUUGCUCUUAAAGGUUCAAAUUAUUAUUAUUAUUUUUUCUUUUUGGAAAUCUAUGCCUCAGGGACAACAGUUCUAUGUUAUUGUGGAUUAUUGGACUAUGCUACUAAAUAGAUUUUUAUUCUUUUCUUAAGAACGUAAAAUCAACUAGUAAUUUGGUUAAUAUAUUGAGUUUUUAAAUCUUCUAGUUUAUUACUCCUCUUUCUAGCUGUGUAGACACAUAAAAUCAACUUGUAAUUUGGUUACCAUUUGUGCAAAUUUUGUGUUGCAGUGAUAGUGAGAUGUUUCUUGCUUUUGUGGAAUAACAAGGACUUUGCUGAAAUGGGGGGGGGGUCUUUAACUUUGUUUUUUGUUUUGCCAAAUUUUGUUGCAGUGAUGUCAGCGUGUUUCAAAUUUUAUAGGAAUGUGAAGGCUAUUUAUCUUGAGGGAUUUGAGUGUUUUUCUGUCUCUUUUCUCACUUCUUAUUUCUAUCUAUGUUACACAUGCACAAGAAAUUUAGAUAGUCUUAUCUUUUUUUUCCCCAAUUUUUUGUGCUUUUGUUGUGGAAAUGUUCCUAUGCUUUUAAAGGAAUUUUGGAACACAUUACACUAGUAUUUAUUGAGCUUUUUAGUUCUUAUUUAUUAUUUCCAGCUCCUACUUAUGCCCAUCUAUUCCAAAGGUUUGAAUUAUAUAUAGUUUGUUUUUCUAUUUGGAAAUCUAUGCUGUAGGUUCAACUUUUCUAUGUUUUUUGUGGAUUAUAGGGACUAUGCUACUAAAUAGAUUUUUAUUCUUUUCCUAGUUUAUUACUUUCAUUGGUUGCCCGAAUGCAUGAAGUACAUUUUGUAACUAGGUCUUUCAUUUUUGAAAACUUUAUGUUGCAAUUUGUUGAAAUUAAAGUUGUAGUGUCAAAUUAUAGUAGUUGUUGUUAACGGUUGUAGUGUGCAUGUUCUGCAUUCGAUAACAUUGGGUAUUUUGAUUAAUUUUGAAUAGAUUUGUUUACUGGGUUUGGGUUGGAAUAUUGCUGGGUAUAUGACUGAAAUUACAGUGGUGUUGGAAGAUGGUGGGUAUAUGGCUGGAAUUACAGUGGCUUGAAGUGUUGCUGGGUACGUGGCUAUUGGAGUGUUGCCGCUGGAAGAGGGUAUUGCUGCUGGAAGUCUUGCUGCUAGAAUAUUUCCAUGAAUCUUUGGAAGUUUUGUUGGAAAACUUGGCUUAGUGGCUGGAAUUUGAAUUUUUCUUGAAGUUUAAUUGGAAUUUAACUAUUGUUUUAUAUUUUGGUUUGAUCCUUUUUAAUUUGGGAUGUUUUAUUAUAUAUUGGUGGUGAUGACAUGGAUACUAGAUGUAUUUAUUUUGAAAUUAAUUUCUUGGAUUCAAUGGAUGUUAAUUAAUAUUAAUUGUUUUUAGUUUUUUUGAUGAUAUCCAUUUUUAUUAAUUAAUUUAAUUUGCAAACCAGAAUUCACAAAUAAAUUAUAAUCAUAAUAUAAUUUUUUUUUUAAAAUAUAACUUUAUGAUGGGAGAUACCCAUCAUAAAGUCUGCACAAAACAUUUUCCCAAAAUUGAAUAAUAAAUUUACAAAUGACAAUUUAAUUUCCCACGAAAAAUUUAAAAAAAGGCUCGAAAAUUUAAAUAAGUUUAAAUUUAAAUUUAACUAUUUUUUAUAUUAAAAUAUUGUGUGACAGAUAUAUGACUGUGAAAUAACAUUAUGAAUUCAUGACAGAAAAUAUUCUGUCAUAAAUUAAUGACAGUGACAUAGAUGACGGAUGAAUUGUUUGUCAUGCACCCUUUUAUGACAGUUAUUUCCUGUCGUCUAUAACUUAUUUUCUUGUAGUGUAAAUUCUGCCAUUUGAGCUCAAACAUAGAUACCCUUUGUGCAUUUUACUGAAACCAAGAUGUACACAUUUGGAUGUGUGAAAAUCAAACUAAUGACUGUUAUAAGGUCUCAGAAAAGGAUAACACUCACAACCAAAAAUUUUGAUCAAUGAAUAAUUUGGUUUCUUUGAAUAUAGGACUUCAAAGAGAGUUUUGUCAUUUAGAGUAGGUGUGCUGACUCUAUUUAUGAGAUAUGUAGCAUGACAGAAUACUUCUCACCAGAACUUGAGAGGUAGUUCAGAUUGAGUAAGGAGAGUGAGACCAAUUUCGACAAGAUGUCUGUGUUUUCUUUCAGCCUUUCCAUUCUGAUGAUGUGUGUAAGGACAUGAGUAUCUAAGGCCAAUUCCUUCAUUUUUAAGAUAAGACUCAAAGGCUUUGUAUUCUCCUCCUAUAUCACAUUGGAAGAACUUGAUUUUCAGCUCUAGGCUUUUUCAAUAUGGUUUCUAAAUGAAAUGAAGGCUGACAAUGCUUGUGAUUUAUGUGUUAAUCCAUAAAUCCAAGUGUAAUUAGUUUUGUCAUCAAUGAAAUAUAUAUAGUAUUUGAAGCCUUGGUUUGAAGUGUGAGUGCAGGACCCCAGAGGUCAAUAUGAAUAAUUUUAAGUGCAACUAAUGGUUUUGAAUCACUGUUGUUGAAAGAUAAUUUGUGUUGUUUCCCAAGAUGACAUGCUUUGCAAAAAGAAAGUUUUGAAAAUUUAUUUCCAGUAGAGAUAUUACAAGCUGACAAAGUUUUCUUGAGAGCAACAACAUUAGGAUGCCCUAAUCUCAUAUGCCAUAGAUCACGUGUUUUAUUGACUCUUGAAUUCUCAUUGUUUAUACAAUUGACACAACAACUGACAGACACCAUAGACACAAGUUUAUUUGCUUGAUAGACUGAGAGUGAAACAGAAGAAAACAAAGCUGAUUUGAUUUGACUGUGAUCAUGAGGCAAAUUCAGCAGCUUGUACAAUCCAUCUGUAGCCACACAUUUCAUGAGAACAUUCCCCCUUCUCUGGUCCUAAACAACACAAGAAGUUUCAUUGAAUUCAAUAUAUACAUUGUUGUCAUGUAAAAGCUGAAAUACAAGUGUGCAACCUAAGAGGGGGUGAAUUGGUAUUUUAAAAAAUAUCAUAACAAAACCACACAACAAUCCAAUCUAACGCCUUAAUAAAUUCNNNNNNNNNNNNNNNNNNNNNNNNNNNNNNNNNNNNNNNNNNNNNNNNNNNNNNNNNNNNNNNNNNNNNNNNNNNNNNNNNNNNNNNNNNNNNNNNNNNNNNNNNNNNNNNNNNNNNNNNNNNNNNNNNNNNNNNNNNNNNNNNNNNNNNNNNNNNNNNNNNNNNNNNNNNNNNNNNNNNNNNNNNNNNNNNNNNNNNNNNNNNNNNNNNNNNNNNNNNNNNNNNNNNNNNNNNNNNNNNNNNNNNNNNNNNNNNNNNNNNNNNNNNNNNNNNNNNNNNNNNNNNNNNNNNNNNNNNNNNNNNNNNNNNNNNNNNNNNNNNNNNNNNNNNNNNNNNNNNNNNNNNNNNNNNNNNNNNNNNNNNNNNNNNNNNNNNNNNNNNNNNNNNNNNNNNNNNNNNNNNNNNNNNNNNNNNNNNNNNNNNNNNNNNNNNNNNNNNNNNNNNNNNNNNNNNNNNNNNNNNNNNNNNNNNNNNNNNNNNNNNNNNNNNNNNNNNNNNNNNNNNNNNNNNNNNNNNNNNNNNNNNNNNNNNNNNNNNNNNNNNNNNNNNNNNNNNNNNNNNNNNNNNNNNNNNNNNNNNNNNNNNNNNNNNNNNNNNNNNNNNNNNNNNNNNNNNNNNNNNNNNNNNNNNNNNNNNNNNNNNNNNNNNNNNNNNNNNNNNNNNNNNNNNNNNNNNNNNNNNNNNNNNNNNNNNNNNNNNNNNNNNNNNNNNNNNNNNNNNNNNNNNNNNNNNNNNNNNNNNNNNNNNNNNNNNNNNNNNNNNNNNNNNNNNNNNNNNNNNNNNNNNNNNNNNNNNNNNNNNNNNNNNNNNNNNNNNNNNNNNNNNNNNNNNNNNNNNNNNNNNNNNNNNNNNNNNNNNNNNNNNNNNNNNNNNNNNNNNNNNNNNNNNNNNNNNNNNNNNNNNNNNNNNNNNNNNNNNNNNNNNNNNNNNNNNNNNNNNNNNNNNNNNNNNNNNNNNNNNNNNNNNNNNNNNNNNNNNNNNNNNNNNNNNNNNNNNNNNNNNNNNNNNNNNNNNNNNNNNNNNNNNNNNNNNNNNNNNNNNNNNNNNNNNNNNNNNNNNNNNNNNNNNNNNNNNNNNNNNNNNNNNNNNNNNNNNNNNNNNNNNNNNNNNNNNNNNNNNNNNNNNNNNNNNNNNNNNNNNNNNNNNNNNNNNNNNNNNNNNNNNAGCACAUAAAGUUCAGAUAGUAUAUUAGUCUUCCUUUUUUUUUUUCUUACCCCAAUUUUUUAUGCUGUAGUUGUGGAAAUGUUCCUCUGUUUUUAAGGGAAUCUUGGAACACGUUGAGCUUUUUAGUUCUUAUUUGUUAUUUCUUGCUCUUAAAGGUUCAAAUUAUAAUUUGCUUUUCUAUUUGGAAAUCUAUGCCUCAGGGACAACAUUUCCAUAUUUUUGUGGAUUAUUGGACUAUGCUACUAAAUAGAUUUUUAUUCUUUUCUUAAGAACGUAAAAUCAACUAGUAAUUUGGUUAAUAUAUUGAGUUUUUAAAUCUUCUAGUUUAUUACUCCUCUUUCUAGCUGUGUAGACACAUAAAAUCAACUUGUAAUUUGGUUACCAUUUGUGCAAAUUUUGUGUUGCAGUGAUAGUGAGAUGUUUCUUGCUUUUGUGGAAUAACAAGGACUUUGCUGAAAUGGGGGGGGGGUCUUUAACUUUGUUUUUUGUUUUGCCAAAUUUUGUUGCAGUGAUGUCAGCGUGUUUCAAAUUUUAUAGGAAUGUGAAGGCUAUUUAUCUUGAGGGAUUUGAGUGUUUUUCUGUCUCUUUUCUCACUUCUUAUUUCUAUCUAUGUUACACAUGCACAAGAAAUUUAGAUAGUCUUAUCUUUUUUUUCCCCAAUUUUUUGUGCUUUUGUUGUGGAAAUGUUCCUAUGCUUUUAAAGGAAUUUUGGAACACAUUACACUAGUAUUUAUUGAGCUUUUUAGUUCUUAUUUAUUAUUUCCAGCUCCUACUUAUGCCCAUCUAUUCCAAAGGUUUGAAUUAUAUAUAGUUUGUUUUUCUAUUUGGAAAUCUAUGCUGUAGGUUCAACUUUUCUAUGUUUUUUGUGGAUUAUAGGGACUAUGCUACUAAAUAGAUUUUUAUUCUUUUCCUAGUUUAUUACUUUCAUUGGUUGCCCGAAUGCAUGAAGUACAUUUUGUAACUAGGUCUUUCAUUUUUGAAAACUUUAUGUUGCAAUUUGUUGAAAUUAAAGUUGUAGUGUCAAAUUAUAGUAGUUGUUGUUAACGGUUGUAGUGUGCAUGUUCUGCAUUCGAUAACAUUGGGUAUUUUGAUUAAUUUUGAAUAGAUUUGUUUACUGGGUUUGGGUUGGAAUAUUGCUGGGUAUAUGACUGAAAUUACAGUGGUGUUGGAAGAUGGUGGGUAUAUGGCUGGAAUUACAGUGGCUUGAAGUGUUGCUGGGUACGUGGCUAUUGGAGUGUUGCCGCUGGAAGAGGGUAUUGCUGCUGGAAGUCUUGCUGCUAGAAUAUUUCCAUGAAUCUUUGGAAGUUUUGUUGGAAAACUUGGCUUAGUGGCUGGAAUUUGAAUUUUUCUUGAAGUUUAAUUGGAAUUUAACUAUUGUUUUAUAUUUUGGUUUGAUCCUUUUUAAUUUGGGAUGUUUUAUUAUAUAUUGGUGGUGAUGACAUGGAUACUAGAUGUAUUUAUUUUGAAAUUAAUUUCUUGGAUUCAAUGGAUGUUAAUUAAUAUUAAUUGUUUUUAGUUUUUUUGAUGAUAUCCAUUUUUAUUAAUUAAUUUAAUUUGCAAACCAGAAUUCACAAAUAAAUUAUAAUCAUAAUAUAAUUUUUUUUUUAAAAUAUAACUUUAUGAUGGGAGAUACCCAUCAUAAAGUCUGCACAAAACAUUUUCCCAAAAUUGAAUAAUAAAUUUACAAAUGACAAUUUAAUUUCCCACGAAAAAUUUAAAAAAAGGCUCGAAAAUUUAAAUAAGUUUAAAUUUAAAUUUAACUAUUUUUUAUAUUAAAAUAUUGUGUGACAGAUAUAUGACUGUGAAAUAACAUUAUGAAUUCAUGACAGAAAAUAUUCUGUCAUAAAUUAAUGACAGUGACAUAGAUGACGGAUGAAUUGUUUGUCAUGCACCCUUUUAUGACAGUUAUUUCCUGUCGUCUAUAACUUAUUUUCUUGUAGUGUAAAUUCUGCCAUUUGAGCUCAAACAUAGAUACCCUUUGUGCAUUUUACUGAAACCAAGAUGUACACAUUUGGAUGUGUGAAAAUCAAACUAAUGACUGUUAUAAGGUCUCAGAAAAGGAUAACACUCACAACCAAAAAUUUUGAUCAAUGAAUAAUUUGGUUUCUUUGAAUAUAGGACUUCAAAGAGAGUUUUGUCAUUUAGAGUAGGUGUGCUGACUCUAUUUAUGAGAUAUGUAGCAUGACAGAAUACUUCUCACCAGAACUUGAGAGGUAGUUCAGAUUGAGUAAGGAGAGUGAGACCAAUUUCGACAAGAUGUCUGUGUUUUCUUUCAGCCUUUCCAUUCUGAUGAUGUGUGUAAGGACAUGAGUAUCUAAGGCCAAUUCCUUCAUUUUUAAGAUAAGACUCAAAGGCUUUGUAUUCUCCUCCUAUAUCACAUUGGAAGAACUUGAUUUUCAGCUCUAGGCUUUUUCAAUAUGGUUUCUAAAUGAAAUGAAGGCUGACAAUGCUUGUGAUUUAUGUGUUAAUCCAUAAAUCCAAGUGUAAUUAGUUUUGUCAUCAAUGAAAUAUAUAUAGUAUUUGAAGCCUUGGUUUGAAGUGUGAGUGCAGGACCCCAGAGGUCAAUAUGAAUAAUUUUAAGUGCAACUAAUGGUUUUGAAUCACUGUUGUUGAAAGAUAAUUUGUGUUGUUUCCCAAGAUGACAUGCUUUGCAAAAAGAAAGUUUUGAAAAUUUAUUUCCAGUAGAGAUAUUACAAGCUGACAAAGUUUUCUUGAGAGCAACAACAUUAGGAUGCCCUAAUCUCAUAUGCCAUAGAUCACGUGUUUUAUUGACUCUUGAAUUCUCAUUGUUUAUACAAUUGACACAACAACUGACAGACACCAUAGACACAAGUUUAUUUGCUUGAUAGACUGAGAGUGAAACAGAAGAAAACAAAGCUGAUUUGAUUUGACUGUGAUCAUGAGGCAAAUUCAGCAGCUUGUACAAUCCAUCUGUAGCCACACAUUUCAUGAGAACAUUCCCCCUUCUCUGGUCCUAAACAACACAAGAAGUUUCAUUGAAUUCAAUAUAUACAUUGUUGUCAUGUAAAAGCUGAAAUACAAGUGUGCAACCUAAGAGGGGGUGAAUUGGUAUUUUAAAAAAUAUCAUAACAAAACCACACAACAAUCCAAUCUAACGCCUUAAUAAAUUCGAAAGCAAUAAGUUCAAUAAAAGCACAAUAACAAGUGAGUAAGAGAGAAGAGAAACAAAUACACGAAUUUUUACGUGGUUCGGCAAUCCCUGCCUACGUCCACACCUCCAAGCGAUCCAAGCUUGAGGAUUUCACUAUCUAAGCCUUCCAAGGCUUCAAAUGUUUACAAUUGACUUCAAGGUGUCAAUGAACCUUUACAACAAAGAGAUUAUCUACCAAUCUCUUCACUCAAGUGUCUCACACACUCAAACACUCACAUUUAAGAUGAGGAAUUGAAGAUUACAAUAAAAACUCUCUUAAAGAGUAGAUAUACAAAUUGAAGAACAAAAUAUGAUUCAAGGUUUUAUGAUUUGUGAAAUAAAAGCUCAAUGAACGUUGUGUGCUUUUUGAUUUUGCUUGCAAGAGAGCUUGAAAAUAAAUUGGAUUUGAGUUUAUAUAGUUUGAGCUCAAAAACUAGUCGUUAUGCACAUUUUGGUGAUAACCGGCUUACCGUUUAUGGAAUCCGGUUAAACCAUAAUAGGGGAUGAGGCUGUGAGAAAACAUGAAGUUGAUCAGCAGGAACCACAACGUUGAGUGGCCGAUCAUCACUCGGAGCAAGAAAAGUAAACUUGUUUUCAGUGAAUUUUACCCAAGUGUCAUUACUCCACUCAAAACCUAAGCCAAAUACAGUGUCAUCCCCUAUACCCUUAGACGGUCUACACGAUGGUUCUUGAAUCGGUACAUCAAAAUAUUUAAGGAUUCGGGUAAUGAAGUUGUUAACAUAUAUGUUUUCAUAAUGUUGAUUUUGAUGAUAACAAACAAGAUUAAGAAUGAUUAAUCUUUUAAGCUCAAAUUAUUUUUUAUACAUUUUAAAUAAAUCAUUAUUUUCACAUUAUAAAUGUUUUAUAUUUAAUGGAAAAAUGAUUUUAUGAAAUUAGUUGUUUUUCAAGUUUAUGGUUUAAUUGAAAGAGUUUACUAUCUUUGAUUUUAAUAAAUAUUGUUUUGAAUUUCAGAUUUGGACCUAUUUGAAAAUAUUUAAAUAUUUUGGGUCAUUCUAUAAUUUCACAUAGUUUGGGCGAUAUCAUAAUUUUAGAAAGUUUUGGGAUUAACAAAGUAUUAUUUAGAAAUUCCAAAAUUGGACUUAUUUGAAAAGAUUCAUAACGUUCUGGGCCAUAAUAUAGUUUUAUAAAGUUUUGGGGUCAAACUAUAAUUUUAGAAAAUAUUUCACUGUAACAGUUACUGUAGCAAGCGGCUAACCAGAUAUGAUAAGCGGCAAUCCGAAUUUUGGGCAGUAAGCUUCUGGAGCAUAAAUGGCUAUUCGGAUAUUGUAAGCGGCAUGCCGGAUGUUCUGAAAUUCAAAUUUUUGUUGUAACGGUAACAUAAAAGCGGCUAACCGGAUUCCGAAAGCGGCAAGCCAGUUAUCAUCAGAAAACACAUAAUGCUAGUUUUUGGGCUCAAACUAUAUAAACUCAAAUCCAAUUCAUUUUCAAGCUCUCCAACAAGCAAAAACAAAAAGCACACAACAUAUCUUGAGCUCUCAAUUCGCAAGUCAUUAUUCAUUGAAUCAUUGUUGUUCUUUAAUUUGUACAUCUACUCUUUAAGAGAGUUUUUAUUGUAACUUUCAUUUCUUCAUCUUAAUUGUGAGUGUUUGGGAGCAAGAAAAGUAAACUUGUUUUCAGUGAAUUUUACCCAAGUGUCAUUACUCCACUCAAAACCUAAGCCAAAUACAGUGUCAUCCCCUAUACCCUUAGACGGUCUACACGAUGGUUCUUGAAUCGGUACAUCAAAAUAUUUAAGGAUUCGGGUAAUGAAGUUGUUAACAUAUAUGUUUUCAUAAUGUUGAUUUUGAUGAUAACAAACAAGAUUAAGAAUGAUUAAUCUUUUAAGCUCAAAUUAUUUUUUAUACAUUUUAAAUAAAUCAUUAUUUUCACAUUAUAAAUGUUUUAUAUUUAAUGGAAAAAUGAUUUUAUGAAAUUAGUUGUUUUUCAAGUUUAUGGUUUAAUUGAAAGAGUUUACUAUCUUUGAUUUUAAUAAAUAUUGUUUUGAAUUUCAGAUUUGGACCUAUUUGAAAAUAUUUAAAUAUUUUGGGUCAUUCUAUAAUUUCACAUAGUUUGGGCGAUAUCAUAAUUUUAGAAAGUUUUGGGAUUAACAAAGUAUUAUUUAGAAAUUCCAAAAUUGGACUUAUUUGAAAAGAUUCAUAACGUUCUGGGCCAUAAUAUAGUUUUAUAAAGUUUUGGGGUCAAACUAUAAUUUUAGAAAAUAUUUCACUGUAACAGUUACUGUAGCAAGCGGCUAACCAGAUAUGAUAAGCGGCAAUCCGAAUUUUGGGCAGUAAGCUUCUGGAGCAUAAAUGGCUAUUCGGAUAUUGUAAGCGGCAUGCCGGAUGUUCUGAAAUUCAAAUUUUUGUUGUAACGGUAACAUAAAAGCGGCUAACCGGAUUCCGAAAGCGGCAAGCCAGUUAUCAUCAGAAAACACAUAAUGCUAGUUUUUGGGCUCAAACUAUAUAAACUCAAAUCCAAUUCAUUUUCAAGCUCUCCAACAAGCAAAAACAAAAAGCACACAACAUAUCUUGAGCUCUCAAUUCGCAAGUCAUUAUUCAUUGAAUCAUUGUUGUUCUUUAAUUUGUACAUCUACUCUUUAAGAGAGUUUUUAUUGUAACUUUCAUUUCUUCAUCUUAAUUGUGAGUGUUUGAGUGUGUGAGACACUUGAGUGAAGAGAUUGGGAGAUAAUCUCUUUGUUGUAAAGGUUCAUUGACACCUUGAACUCAAUUGUAAACGUUUGAAGCCUUGGAAGACUUGGAUAGUGAAAUCCUCAAGCUUGGAUCACUUGGAGGCGUGGACGUAGGCGGGGAUUGCCGAACCACAUAAAAAUUCUUGUGUUUGUUUCUCUUCUCUCUUACUUAUUUGUUAUUGUGCUUUUAUUGAACUUAUUGCUUUUGAAUUUAUUAAGGCGUUAGAUUGGAUUGUUGUGUGGCUUUGUUAGGAUAAUUUUUAAAAUACCAAUUCACCCCCCUCUUGGGUUGCACACUUGUAUUUCAUUUGGUAUCAGAGCGAGGUGCUCUUGUUUAGACUUAACCGUCUAGAGCUAAAGAUUAAUGGCAAUCCAAUAUGACUCGACUUUUAGGGAAGGACAGUCCACAAUUAGACCACCGUUCUUUGACGGAAAUAACUACCCGUAUUGGAAAACUAGGAUGAGAAUUUAUUUACAAGCACUAGAUUAUGAAAUUUGGGAAGUUGUUUGUGAUGGUCCAUUUAUGCCUUUGACUAAAAAUGAAGUCGGGGAAGAUAUUCCAAAACCUUCACGGGAAUGGAAUGAAUUGGAAAAGAGAAAAGCUACUCUAAAUUCCAAAGCUAUGAAUGCCUUGUUUUGUGCACUUGAUAAGAAAGAGUUUCAUAGAGUAUAUAGUUGUGAAAGUGCUAAUGAAAUUUGACACAAACUUGAAGUUGUUUAUGAAGGCACGAAUCAAGUGAAAAAGUCUAACAUUAGUAGGUACACUUGACAAUAUGAAUUGUUCCAAAUGGAACAAAAUGAGAGUGUGUAUUCUAUGUAUACUAGAUUUACGGACAUAGUGAACACUCUAGGAGCCCUAAGAAAGACUUUUUCAAAUAGCGAGAAAGUUAAAAAAAUUAUUAGGUCGCUACCUAAGGAAUGGAGACCAAAAAGGACUGCCAUUGAGGAAGCCAAAGAUUUAAAUAUCUUACCUAUUGAUGAUUUAAUUGGUUCUCUUAUUUCUUAUGAGGAAGACUUGGCAGCCGAAAGAGGUAAUGAAGAGAAGAAGAAAAGCAUUGCUCUCAAAGCCUCGAAACAUGAGAACGAUGAGGAAAGCGAGCUGGAUGAGGAGGAGAUGGAUAUGCUGGCUAGGAAGUUCAGAAAUUUUUUUAAGAAAUCUGGUGAGCGAAGAAAAUUUAAAGACUUCAAGAACCGAAAGGAGAAGAAGGAAGUAAUCAAAUGUUAUGAGUGCAAGAGGCAUGGACAUAUAAGAUCGGAAUGCCCUCUUCUCAACAAGCUCAAGAAGAAAUCAAUGGUAGCCACAUGGGAUGAUAACGAUGAGGAAACAAGUGAUGAUGAAGAGCAUCAAGAAAUGACAAAUCUAACUCUCAUGGCAAUUGGAGAUGAAUCAGAUGAUGAACUUGAUGAGGUAAAUGGUCUUCCUACUUAUGAUGAAUUACAUGAUGCUUUUAAAGAAUUGCAGCAAUUGGAGAUGAAUCGGAGAUGAAUCAGAUGAUGAACUUGAUGAGGUAAAUGGUCUUCCUACUUAUGAUGAAUUACAUGAUGCUUUUAAAGAAUUGCAUGAUGAGUGGAUGAAAAUUGGUAAAAGAAUGCAUGUCUUAAAAAGAAAAUGGUAGAGCUCAAAAAUGAAAAUGAAUCUCUAUGUGCAAUGAUUACAUGCCUAGAAUUAGAGAAUAAAACAUUGCAUGAUAGAGUUGCAUUAUCAAAUGAGAAACCUAGCACUUCACAUGAGCAUCUAGAAUCUCACAUAGAUGACUUGAAAAAGGAAAAAUGAAAUGCUUAAGAAGAAGAAUAAUGAGUUAAAUAAGAUUGUUUUAAAAUUUACAAAUGGACAAAAGAUGUUGGAUAACUUGAUUAAUUCACAAAAAUGUGUGUUUGAUAAAGGAGGACUUGGAUAUAAGUCAAAUUUGAAACAAAAGUAUUAUAAGAACUACUUUGUGAAGAGUACAUCUAUUAACAAUAAAGUUGUAUGCCAUUAUUGUAAUCAAAACGGUCACAUGAAGCUUGGUUGUCCUAUUAAAAGAAAAGUAUAUUAUGGAGUAAAAUGUGUUUGGGUUCUAAAAGGAAUAAUUGCUAACACACAAGGACCCAAGAGUAUUUGGGUACCAAGAAGCACAACUUGUAUAUUUUUUUGUAGGUACCAUAAUCAAGAAAUGGUGGAGAGUUUCUUGAUGAAAGCUUGUGAGAAUAAUCAUUUGAUCAUGAUCUAAGAGAAAAUGAUGAGUAAGAUAAUUUAAUUGCUUUGGUAACAAUUCUUGCCAUAUUAUUGUGUGUAAUCGUGAUGCAUGGUUAUAUGUAUAUAUAUAUAUGAUGAUAGCUUGUCAACUCAUCAUGAUGGAUUUGUUUGAUUUUAAUGAUUAUGAAAUGCGUAAGCAUGAUAAAUAAGUGAUAUGCUUGAAUUCUCAAUCUUUGAAUGCUUACAUAUUUCAUGAUUGUAUGAUGUGUAUGCAUGAUAGAUGAGUUAUAUGUUUAAAUUUAUAUUUCAUGCAUUAAAAGGCUUAUUGAAAUGUUUUAAAUCAUUUUGUGAUUUAAUAAGUGGCAAAAAGAUUUCCAAGGAUAAACCGGUAUACCACUUCUAAUCAACCGGAAAGUCAUUUUUCAUUUUGGAGCUCUCUGGACCAAAUCCGGAUAACCGGACAUUUAAAACCGGUAAGCCGAAUUCAUUUUGGUGCUCACUGGAGCACAACCGGUCAGUUGGAUAUUGGCAACCGGUAAACCGAAUUGGGUUUACUUGCUCUCGGGUCAAAAUUCGGAUAAUUGAAUUGGAAAAUCGGCAAACCAUUUGUGAAUGUCUCCUCUCUGGACAAAAAUUGGUCAACCGGUUAUGAAAUCCGGAAAGCCGAAUUCGGUUUGGAACUUACUGGACACAAACCGGUCAUCCGAUUAUGAAAUCCGGUAAGCCGGAUUUGCAAAGCUUCUUUUCUGCCUCAAAACCGGCUAGCCGGUUAUGCUAAACGGUAAGCCGGAUUCGAGCUUUUUAAGGACUAUUCAUCUUCUUUUCUUCAUUCGCCAAUCCGGUUCUCUCUCUCUCUCUAAAAUCCAUCAUUUUUUUUAUCAACACCAUACAUCACCUUAAAUCAUCUCUACGAUCAUUUUAAUUGAUUUAAAAUUACCCAUUUUACUCAAUAUCUUGAAAAUAUUAAUUUGUGCAUUUUGAGUAUUUCAAAUUACCACUUAUAUGCAUUGUUCUCCUUAUGGAUUUUACCAUAGUUUUCUAUUAUAUUAUGCACUUACAUUUUCAUAUGCAUUGUUGCUUUCAUUGUGGAUUGAUGAUGAUUAUUGUUUGAUAUUUGGAUGUUUUAUAUUUGGAAAAUGUGGAACUAAUGUGUUUAUCUUGAGAUUUUGAUGAUUGAUAUGGGGAGCUUUUUACUCUUUUUGAUGAUAAAGAGGGAGAUAUGAGAUGUAAGAGAGAAAUACAUCUACUCUGAGAUUCUUAAGCAUAUGAGAUUUUUUAAGUUAUAUCGAAAUGUCACAUUAGAUCUUUGAUAAGUUUAGUUGUCUUGAUUUCUAAAAUGUGAUUAAUAAUUAUGGAGCUUGGAUAGUUGAUAAUAUGUUCUUAUAACUUUUGCGUGCCAAAUUUGGUAAACAAACCAAAACCUAUUUGCGAAGAACAAUUUUCAAAAAUUUGGCAUGAACUUGGGAUGAUGAAAUUUAUUAAUAUCUCUAGUCAUGUUAUUAAUACUAUUAAAAUGGAUUUCUUGAUGAUUUUGAUGAUUGAUGAUUAUAUGUGUGUUGUUUGAUGAAUUGAUGAAGUUGUUGGUUUAUUAUAAUUGUUUAAGCCUAUAUGGAAGUGUUUUUUUAACCAUAUUGUGUAUUUGAGGAUUUGUUCAUUUUUAAGAGAAGACUCUGCCAAAAUUUUUUCGCACAAAAUGGGUAAUAUCUUCAUUGAAUUAUUUUUUUUUUUAUGAUCUUGUUUGGAUUCCAUCUAUCUAUCUUUUCUUUUUUAUGAUGAAGGGAGAGAUAAAUAUGAUAUGUUUUUAGAUAAAAUCAUUUUGGUUAAAAUUUUAAAUUGGCCAUAUAUUUAGGGGGAGCAUAUAAUAUAAUUUUGGAUAAUAUGCAUUUUGAACUUUUUUGUUGUCCAAAGGGGGAGACAAAGUAAUAUAUCAUUUCGAUGUUGUCAAAAUGAGGAGAAUAAUAUGCACUUUGAGUAUUGUUUUCAUUAUGGUGAUGAUUUGAUGGUUUUGAGAUAUGAUGAUGAUUUGAUUACAUGGGUGUUUUAUAUGAUAAAUUUAUGUUAUGAGUUGUUGACUUGGUAAUUGAUGGAAUAAUGAUUCAUGAUAUUUUGGUGUGAUGAUUUGUGAAUUGAGUUGGCUUGUAUCAUGAUUUAUAAUAAUUUGGGAGUAUUAUUACUAAACUUGUAUUUGAGGUAAUGCUUGUUGUUAGGGGGAGAAUGUGUUGAAAUUUCUACUCGGACAACAUGGGUAACAAAUUCGCUACUCUUAUUAUUUUCCUUUAAGUUUUCUUUUUGAUGAUGAAGUGGGAGAAGAAUACAUGUUUUUAAAUUCAUAAAAAUUUGCUACUCUUUUUCUUUGCCAAUUAAGUUUUCUUUUUGAUGAUGAGGGGGGAGAAAAAUGCAUGUAUUUAAAUUUUUUAAUUUAGUUAAUUGGCAAAUUGUAAGAGAAUAUUAUAUUUAGGGGAAGCAAUUUGUGGAAUCAUUAUUUAAAUACAUGAAAUGUUUGUCAUCAUCAAAAAAGGGGAGAUUGUUAACAUAUAUGUUUUCAUAAUGUUGAUUUUGAUGAUAACAAACAAGAUUAAGAAUGAUUAAUCUUUUAAGCUCAAAUUAUUUUUUAUACAUUUUAAAUAAUCAUUAUUUUCACAUUAUAAAUGUUUUAUAUUUAAUGGAAAAAUGAUUUUAUGAAAUUAGUUGUUUUUCAAGUUUAUGGUUUAAUUGAAAGAGUUUUACUAUCUUUGAUUUUAAUAAAUAUUGUUUUGAAUUUCAUAUUUGGACAUAACUAUCAAGUUUGGGAGAUUUCCUAGGCGAAAAAAUUUCUAGACCAAAAUCGGAUGAUCCUAGGAUGGAGUUUAACAAGGAAACAUCAAAAUCAAUCAUAACUCCUCCAAUGUUGGUGACUACUCGAGUCUUGUUCUCCGCGGAAACUUCCAUAUUCGAGUAAAACACUUUCACCAAGUCGGGAUAAACAUUCUCCUCAAUCAUAAGUGCAUCAAUCCAACCAACAUCUCCCAACAAUUGAAAUAAGUUUCUAUGGCUAAUAUUGAGAGUAUUAAUUCAAUCCGGUAAAACAUAAAACAUAUUGAGUACCUCACGAGUCCUGAAGCUUUGGUGAAACCGUUUGGCUAAAUGUUGGUUGUUUUGAAAGUGUGUGGACUCAAAAUUGGAUUGAUUGGAGGUGCCCCCUGCUUGUCGUGACCGAUUGGUUUGUUGAACUGGUUCUUUGCCUUUUCUUCGAACCGGCCGUGAGCUUGACAUGGUGAUUUUGAUUGAUUUGAAGUUAAAAGGAGCAAUGAGAAGGAAGAUGAUGAGGAUUGAAAGAGAUUUUGAGAAGCAAUUUGGAUAAAAAACGGCUUAAGAGGAAGAAAUUUAGAGAGAGAAGAAUUCGGUUAAACCCUAGAUUUGAUUUCGGAUCUAGUGAUUUUGAGGUUGAAAAUGGAUUUGAAAGAUGAUUUUGGGCACAAUGAUGGAUGGGUAACAAGUUUAAUGGUUCAAUUUGCAUAAAAAAUGAGUAGAAAUUAUGGAUUUUGGAGUGAAAAUGAGAGAGGAAGAAACGACUUUAGAGAGAGAAAGCUUAUCCGGUUUACCGAAAGAGAAAAGGGGAAGAAGAACAGUUUAAAACCGCGAAUCCGGCUAACCGGAUUUCACUAACCGGUUAGCCGAUUAGUGGAAAGAAUGAGUAAAGCCAUAGUCGGCUUACCGGUUAGAAAAACCGGUUGGUCUAAUUGAUUCCAGAAUGUGUCCAGACCGUAACCGGCUUACCGGUUUGAAGAACCGGUUGUCCGAUUUUGAGGCAGAGAAUGAGCUUUGCAAAUCCGGUUUACCAGAUUUCAUAACCGGAUGACCGAUUUUCAUCCAGUAAGCUCCAAAACACAUUCGGCUUUCCAGUUUUUCUAACCGGUUGACCGGUUUUCGUCCAAAAAUUUUGCAAAGCAAAUCCGGCUUACCCGUUUGGUAAAUCCGGUUAUCUAAAAGUUGACCUGAGAGCAACCAAAGCUAAUCCGGCUUACCAGUUAGCUAAAUCCGGUUAUCCAGAUAUUGACCCGAGAGUAAUCAAGAAGAAAAUGGGUUUCCAAUUAACAAGAAGCGGUAUACCGGUUUAGACUUGAAAAUCUUUUUGCCUCUUAUUGAAUUUUGGUAAGCUCUUAUACUUGUAUAAUACACACCAAUUUAUUUUUGGCUUAAAAUUUUAUCAAUUUUAAAUCAUUUUGUGAUUUAAAACUUUUCAAUAAGCCAUUCAAUGCAUGAACCAUAAAUGCAUUCAAUAACAAACAUAUUAAUUUAAUCAACAAAUCAUAAUUCAAGAUGCAACAUUCAUCAUUCCAAGCUCAUGUCUUAUCUUUAUAAAAUGCUCUUCACUAAGAGGUUUUGUAAAGAUAUCCGCAAGUUGAUUUUCAGUAUAAACAAAUUUAAUCACAACAUCUCCUUUUUGAACAUGAUCUCUAAUGAAGUGAUGCCUAAUUUCAAUAUACUUAGUCCUAGAAUGUUGAAUGGGAUUCUUGGAUAGGUUAAUAGCACUAGUAUUGUCACGCAAUAUAGGUAUUUGAUCAAGAUUAAUACCGUAGUCUCUAAGAGUUUGUUUCAUCCACAGAAUUUGUACACAACAACUACCAGCGGCUAUAUAUUCUGCCUCGGUGGUUGAAAGUGCAACCGAGUUUUGUUUCUUACUAAGCCAAGAGACAAGUGAAUGACCUAAGAAGUGACAUGUUCUACUAGUACUUUUUCUAUCAACCUUAUAACCGGUAAAGUCGGCAUCCGAAUAACAAGUUAAGUCAAUAUGAGUUCCCCUGGGAUACCAAAGGCCAAGAUUAAUGGUGCCAAUCAAAUAUCGAAAAAUUCAUUUGACAGCAAGCAUGUAUGAUUCUUUAGGACAAGAUUGAAAUCUAGCACACAAGCAUACACUAAACAUAAUAUCAGGUCUACUAGCAGUCAAGUAGAGUAAGGAUCCGAUCAUACCUCGAUAACUCUUGAUGUCGACUUUCUUACAUUUCUCAUCUUUGUCCAGCUUGAUGGUAGUACUCAUUGGAGUGCUUUUUGCCGUUCCAUUAUAAUAGCCAAAUCUUUUGAGUAGAUCUUUCACGUACUUGGUUUGAUUUAUGAAAAUUCCUUCCUCGUUUUGUUCGAUUUGGAGUCCAAGGAAGUACUUUAACUCUCCCAUCAUACUCAUCUCAAAUUCUUUGCUCAUACAAGAUGAAAAUUCUUUACACAAUAAUUCAUUAGUAGAACCAAAAAUAAUAUCAUCAACAUAAAUUUGAACAAUAAGUAUAUCUUGGUUUUUAUACUUAACAAAUAAAGUUGUGUCCACUUUUCCCAUCGAAAAAGCGUUAUCUAACAAGAAGUUUUUAAGCCUAUCAUACCAUGCUCUAGGUGCUUGUUUUAGUCCAUACAAAGCCUUAGAUAACUUAUACACAUGAUCUGAAAAUUUUUCAUUUUCAAAACUAGGGGGUUGUUUCACAUACACUUCCUCCAUAAUAUAACCAUUCAAGAAAGCACUCUUGACAUCCAUUUGAUAUAAAAUAAAAUCUUUAUGACAUGCAAAAACUAAGAGCAUUCUAAUGGAUUCUAGUCUAUCUACAGGUGUAAAUGUUUCAUCAAAAUCAAUUUCCUCUUUUUGGUUGUAACAUUGAGCCACUAGUCUAGCUUUAUUUCUUACAACCACACCGGAUUUAUCCAUUUGGUUUCUAUAUACCCAUUUAGUACUUAUGAUGGAUUGAUGUUCCGGAUUAGGAACUAAUUCCCAUACAUUGUUUCUCUCAAAUUAAUUCAAUUCCUCUUGCAAUGCCAUAAUCCAAGAUUCAUCAUUUUCUGCAUCCGCAAAUGAUUUUGGUCCAAUUUGAGAAAUAAAUGCAGCAUGCUCACAUGUGUUCUUAAGAGAUGAUCUAGUUGUAACACCUCGUGAGGGAUCUCCUAAAAUUACAUCCUUAGGGUGAGAAAUAUUGUUUUGAAUUUCAUAUUUGGACAUAACUAUCAAGUUUGGGAGAUUUCCUAGGCGAAAAAAUUUCUAGACCAAAAUCGGAUGAUCCUAGGAUGGAGUUUAACAAGGAAACAUCAAAAUCAAUCAUAACUCCUCCAAUGUUGGUGACUACUCGAGUCUUGUUCUCCGCGGAAACUUCCAUAUUCGAGUAAAACACUUUCACCAAGUCGGGAUACAAGUUCUCCUCAAUUAAAAAUGCAUCAAUCCAACCAACAUCUCCCAACAAUUGAAAUAAGUUUCUAUGGCUAAUAUUGAGAGUAUUAAUUCAAUCCGGUAAAACAUAAAACAUAUUGAGUACCUCACGAGUCCUGAAGCUUUGGUGAAACCGUUUGGCUAAAUGUUGGUUGUUUUGAAAGUGUGUGGACUCAAAAUUGGAUUGAUUGGAGGUGCCCCCUGCUUGUCGUGACCGAUUGGUUUGUUGAACUGGUUCUUUGCCUUUUCUUCGAACCGGCCGUGAGCUUGACAUGGUGAUUUUGAUUGAUUUGAAGUUAAAAGGAGCAAUGAGAAGGAAGAUGAUGAGGAUUGAAAGAGAUUUUGAGAAGCAAUUUGGAUCAAAAACCGCUUAAGAGGAAGAAAUUUAGAGAGAGAAGAAUUCGGUUAAACCCUAGAUUUGAUUUUGGAUCUAGUGAUUUUGAGGUUGAAAAUGGAUUUGAAAGAUGAUUUUGGGCACAAUGAUGGAUGGGUAACAAGUUUAAUGGUUCAAUUUGCAUAAAAAAUGAGUAGAAAUUAUGGAUUUUGGAGUGAAAAUGAGAGAGGAAGAAACGACUUUAGAGAGAGAAAGCUUAUCCGGUUUACCGAAAGAGAAAAGGGGAAGAAGAACAGUUUAAAACCGCGAAUCCGGCUAACCGGAUUUCACUAACCGGUUAGCCGAUUAGUGGAAAGAAUGAGUAAAGCCAUAGUCGGCUUACCGGUUAGAAAAACCGGUUGGUCUAAUUGAUUCCAGAAUGUGUCCAGACCGUAACCGGCUUACCGGUUUGAAGAACCGGUUGUCCGAUUUUGAGGCAGAGAAUGAGCUUUGCAAAUCCGGUUUACCAGAUUUCAUAACCGGAUGACCGAUUUUCAUCCAGUAAGCUCCAAAACACAUUCGGCUUUCCAGUUUUUCUAACCGGUUGACCGGUUUUCGUCCAAAAAUUUUGCAAAGCAAAUCCGGCUUACCCGUUUGGUAAAUCCGGUUAUCUAAAAGUUGACCUGAGAGCAACCAAAGCUAAUCCGGCUUACCAGUUAGCUAAAUCCGGUUAUCCAGAUAUUGACCCGAGAGUAAUCAAGAAGAAAAUGGGUUUCCAAUUAACAAGAAGCGGUAUACCGGUUUAGACUUGAAAAUCUUUUUGCCUCUUAUUGAAUUUUGGUAAGCUCUUAUACUUGUAUAAUACACACCAAUUUAUUUUUGGCUUAAAAUUUUAUCAAUUUUAAAUCAUUUUGUGAUUUAAAACUUUUCAAUAAGCCAUUCAAUGCAUGAACCAUAAAUGCAUUCAAUAACAAACAUAUUAAUUUAAUCAACAAAUCAUAAUUCAAGAUGCAACAUUCAUCAUUCCAAGCUCAUGUCUUAUCUUUAUAAAAUGCUCUUCACUAAGAGGUUUUGUAAAGAUAUCCGCAAGUUGAUUUUCAGUAUAAACAAAUUUAAUCACAACAUCUCCUUUUUGAACAUGAUCUCUAAUGAAGUGAUGCCUAAUUUCAAUAUACUUAGUCCUAGAAUGUUGAAUGGGAUUCUUGGAUAGGUUAAUAGCACUAGUAUUGUCACGCAAUAUAGGUAUUUGAUCAAGAUUAAUACCGUAGUCUCUAAGAGUUUGUUUCAUCCACAGAAUUUGUACACAACAACUACCAGCGGCUAUAUAUUCUGCCUCGGUGGUUGAAAGUGCAACCGAGUUUUGUUUCUUACUAAGCCAAGAGACAAGUGAAUGACCUAAGAAGUGACAUGUUCUACUAGUACUUUUUCUAUCAACCUUAUAACCGGUAAAGUCGGCAUCCGAAUAACAAGUUAAGUCAAUAUGAGUUCCCCUGGGAUACCAAAGGCCAAGAUUAAUGGUGCCAAUCAAAUAUCGAAAAAUUCAUUUGACAGCAAGCAUGUAUGAUUCUUUAGGACAAGAUUGAAAUCUAGCACACAAGCAUACACUAAACAUAAUAUCAGGUCUACUAGCAGUCAAGUAGAGUAAGGAUCCGAUCAUACCUCGAUAACUCUUGAUGUCGACUUUCUUACAUUUCUCAUCUUUGUCCAGCUUGAUGGUAGUACUCAUUGGAGUGCUUUUUGCCGUUCCAUUAUAAUAGCCAAAUCUUUUGAGUAGAUCUUUCACGUACUUGGUUUGAUUUAUGAAAAUUCCUUCCUCGUUUUGUUCGAUUUGGAGUCCAAGGAAGUACUUUAACUCUCCCAUCAUACUCAUCUCAAAUUCUUUGCUCAUACAAGAUGAAAAUUCUUUACACAAUAAUUCAUUAGUAGAACCAAAAAUAAUAUCAUCAACAUAAAUUUGAACAAUAAGUAUAUCUUGGUUUUUAUACUUAACAAAUAAAGUUGUGUCCACUUUUCCCAUCGAAAAAGCGUUAUCUAACAAGAAGUUUUUAAGCCUAUCAUACCAUGCUCUAGGUGCUUGUUUUAGUCCAUACAAAGCCUUAGAUAACUUAUACACAUGAUCUGAAAAUUUUUCAUUUUCAAAACUAGGGGGUUGUUUCACAUACACUUCCUCCAUAAUAUAACCAUUCAAGAAAGCACUCUUGACAUCCAUUUGAUAUAAAAUAAAAUCUUUAUGACAUGCAAAAACUAAGAGCAUUCUAAUGGAUUCUAGUCUAUCUACAGGUGUAAAUGUUUCAUCAAAAUCAAUUUCCUCUUUUUGGUUGUAACAUUGAGCCACUAGUCUAGCUUUAUUUCUUACAACCACACCGGAUUUAUCCAUUUGGUUUCUAUAUACCCAUUUAGUACUUAUGAUGGAUUGAUGUUCCGGAUUAGGAACUAAUUCCCAUACAUUGUUUCUCUCAAAUUAAUUCAAUUCCUCUUGCAAUGCCAUAAUCCAAGAUUCAUCAUUUUCUGCAUCCGCAAAUGAUUUUGGUCCAAUUUGAGAAAUAAAUGCAGCAUGCUCACAUGUGUUCUUAAGAGAUGAUCUAGUUGUAACACCUCGUGAGGGAUCUCCUAAAAUUACAUCCUUAGGGUGAGAAGAAACACACCUCCACUCCUUGGGGAGUGUUUGAGAAGUACCUUCAUUUUACUCUGUAUUUGUUUCUUCAUGAUGUUCCUCUUGAAUUCCAUGUGGUGCAUCUUUUUGGUUGUCAUUUGAUGCUUCUUCUUCUUGUUCUUCUUCUACAUUAUCAUCAACAACGACUUUCUCCGUAGAGGAGAGGUUAGACUCAUCAAAUGUAACAUGCAUAGAUUCUUCCACAACCAAAGUUCUUUUAUUAUAAACUCUAUAAGCUUUGCUUGAGUUUGAAUAACCAAGAAAAAUACCAACAUCAGAUUUUGGAUCAAAUUUACCAAGAUUAUCUUUUGUGUUCAAAACAAAACAUUUGCAUCCAAAGACUUUAAAAUAACCAAUGUUGUCAUCAACAACGACUUUCUCCGUAGAGGAGAGGUUAGACUCAUCAAAUGUAACAUGCAUAGAUUCUUCCACAACCAAAGUUCUUUUAUUAUAAACUCUAUAAGCUUUGCUUGAGUUUGAAUAACCAAGAAAAAUACCAACAUCAGAUUUUGGAUCAAAUUUACCAAGAUUGUCUUUUAUGUUCAAAACAAAACAUUUGCAUCCAAAGACUUUAAAAUAGCCAAUGUUGGGUUUUCUAUCUUUCUAAAGCUCAUAAGGAGUUUUAUUAAGAUUAGGUCUAAUCAACACACGAUUCAAAACAUAACAAGUGGUGUUCACGGCUUCGGCCCAAAAAUACUUAGGCAAAGAAUUUUCAUUCAACAUAGUCCUAGCCAUUUCUUGAAUAGACAUAUUCUUUCUCUCUACAACUCCAUUUUGUUGAGGAGUCCUAGGUGAUAAAAAUUGAUGCUCAAUGCCAAAAUCAUUACAAAAGUUCUCAAAUGCAUAAUUUUCAAAUUCUCCACCAUGAUCACUUCUUAUACAAGAAAUACUACAUCCCUUUUCAUUUUGAACCUUUUUGCAGAAAACUUUAAAUGCAUCAAAGGCAUCAUCCUUAUUAGCUAAGAAUAAUACUCAUGUGUAUCUAGAAUAAUCAUCCACAAUUACAAAAGUAUAUUAUUUUCCAUUUAAACUAGCAUAUUUAGAAGGUCCAAACAAGUCUAUGUGAAAUAGUUGAAGGGGUUUUGAAGUAGAAAUGUUUUUCUUGCUUUUGAAAGAAGUUUUGAUUUGUUUUCCAAAUUGGCAAGCUUCACAAAUUCUAUCUUUUUGAAAACUGAUUUUUGGAAGACCUUUAACCAAAUCAUUUUUCACGAUUUUUGAAAUCAAAUCUAUGCUUGCAUGACCUAAUCUUCUAUGCCACAACCAACCAUCAUCAUGCAAUGCGGAGAAACAUUUAUCAUUUGUAGGUGCACAAUCUAUAUUAAUGGUAUAGACAUUAACACAACAUUUCCUACAAACAAAACUUUCUCAUCACAUGUAUUCUCAAUAACACAAAGAUAACUCUAUAUCCUUUAUCACAUAAUUAACUAAUACUAAGCAAGUUGUGUUUUAAGUUUUCAACCAAACACACAUUUUCAAUGAGAGUUGAGGAUACAUUACUAACAUUGCCAAUGCCAAUGAUUUUUCCUUUUGAUUUAUCUCCAAACGAUAUAUCUCCACCAUUUUCGAUCUUGGUAAAACUUGAAAACCAAGAAUAAUUCCCUGUCAUGUGUCUUGAACAAUCAUUGUCCAAGUACCACUUAUUCUUCUUCUUCUUCAAGCCCUGUAGAGAAAAUCUCAAGUUUUAGGUACCCAAAACUUUUUGGGUGCUUGAGAGUUAGCAAUGGUUCUUUUCGGAACCCAAACACAUUUCACACCAUAAUAUGCAUUUCUCUUCACUGGACAUCUAUUUUUCAUAUGACCAUCUUGAUUACAAUAAUGACAUACAAUUUGAUUAUUAAUAAAUGUAUUCUUCACAAAAUAACCCUUGUAAUACUUUUGUUUCAAAUUUGGCUUAUAACCUUUAAUAGAUGAAUUCUUCACAAAAUAACUCUUGUAAUACUUUUGUUUCAAAUUUGGCUUAUAACCAAUGCCUCCUUUGUCAAAUACACAUUUUUGUGAGUUUAGCAAGUUAUCCAACAUCUUUUGCCCAUUUGUGAAUUUUAGCACAAUCUUAUUUAGUUCAUUGCUCUUAUUUCUAAGUAUUUUAUUUUCAUUUUUCAAGUCAUUCACGUGUGACUCUAAGUGCUCAUGUGAAGUGCUAGAAUUCUCAAAUAAUGCAACUCUAUCAUGCAAUGUUUUAUUCUCUAAUUCUAGGCAGCUCUUCAUCAUUGCUUGUUUCCUCAUCACUAUCAUCCAACGUGGCCACCACAACUUUCUUCUUGAAUUUGUUGAGGAGAGGAUAUUCCGGUCGUAUGUGUCCGGGCUUCUUGCAUUCAUAGCAAGUAAUUGGCUCUUUCUUCUCCUUUUUGUUUUUGUGACUUCUAAACUUUCUCUGCUCGUUAUUCUUCUUGUAAAAUUUUCUGAAUCUUCUAGCCAACAUAGCCAACUCCACAUCAUCCAUCUGGCUUUCCUCAUCACUCUCACGUUUUGAGGCUUUGAGAGCAAUGUUUUUCUUCUUUUCCUCAUGCCCUUUUUUUGCUACUAAAUCUUAUUCAUAUAAAAUGAGAGAACCAAUUAAAUCAUCAAUAGGUAAGACAUUUAGAUCUUUGGCUUCCUUAAUGGCAAUCCUUUUUUGUCUCUAUUCCUUAGGUAACGACCUAUUGAUUUUCAUAACUUUCUCGCUAUUAGAAAAAAAUUUUCCUAGGGCUCCUAGAGUGUUCAAUAUGUCCGUAAAUCUAGUAUAAUUAGAAUAUAUACUCUCAUUUUAUUCCAUUUGGAACAAUUCAUAUUGUCGAAUGUACCUAUUAAUUUUUUACUCUUUCACUUGAUUCGUGCCUUCAUAAACAACUUCAAGUUUGUGCCAAAUUUCAUUAGCACUUUCACAACUAGACAAUCUAUGGAACUCUUUCUUAUCUAGUGCACAAAAUAAGGCAUUCAUAGCUUUGGAAUUUAGAGAGGCCUUUCUCUUUUCCAAUUCAUUCCAUUCCCGCGAAGGUUUUGGAAUAUAUUUCCCUACUUCAUUUUUAGUCAAAGGCAUGAAAUGACCAUCAUUAACGAUUUCCCAAAUUUCGUAAUCUAAAGCUUGCAAGUAAAUUAUCAUCCUAGUUUUCUAAUACGGGUAAUUGUUUCCAUCAAAAUAUGUUGGUCUAGUGGUGAAUUGUCCUUCCCUAAAUGUAGAAUCAUUAUGAGUUACCAUUGAUUUUUAGCUCUAGACGGUUAAGUCUAAACAAGAGCACCUUACUUUGAUACUAAAUGAAAUACGAGUGUGCAACCCAAGAGGGGGGUGAAUUGGUAUUUAAAAAAAUAUCCUAACAAAACCACACAACAAUCCAAUCUAACGCCUUAAUAAAUUCGAAAGCAAUAAGUUCAAUAAAAGCACAAUAACAAGUGAGUAAGAGAGAAGAGAAACAAACACACAAAUUUUUACGUGGUUCGGCAAUCCCCGCCUACGUCCAUGCCUCCAAGCGAUCCAAGCUUGAGGAUUUCACUAUCCAAGCCUUCCAAGGCUUCAAAUGUUUACAAUUGACUUCAAGGUGUCAAUGAACCUUUACAACAAAGAGAUUAUCUACCAAUCUCUUCACUCAAGUGUCUCACACACUCAAACACUCACAUUUAAGAUGAGGAAUUGAAGAUUACAAUAAAAACUCUCUUAAAGAGUAGAUAUACAAAUUGAAGAACAAAAGAUGAUUCAAGGUUUUAUGAUUUGCGAAAUGAGAGCUCAAUGAACGUUGCGUGCUUUUUGAUUUUGCUUGUAAGAGAGCUUGAAAAUAAAUUGGAUUUGAGUUUAUAUAGUUUGAGCUCAAAAACUAGCCGUUAUGCACAUUUUUGUGAUAACCGGCUUACAGUUUACGGAAUCCGGUUAGCCGCUUUUAUGUUACCGUUAAGGCAAAAUUUUGAAUUUUAGAACAUCCGGCAUGCCGCUUACGAUAUCCAGAUAACCGUUUAUGCUCCAGAAGCUUACUGCCCAAAAUCUGGAUAGCCGCUUAUCAUAUCCGGUUAGCCGCUUGCUACAGUAACUGCUACAUUGAACUAUUUUCCAAAAUUACAGUUUAAUCCCAAAAUUUUAUAAAACUAUUUAUGGCCCAAAAUGUUAUGAAAGUUUUCAAAUAGGUCCAAUUUUAGAAUUUCUAAAUAAUGCUUCGUCAAUCCUAAAACUUUCUGAAAUUAUGAUAUCACCCAAACUAUGUGAAAUUAUAGAAUGACCUAAAAUAUUUAAAUAUUUUCAAAUAGGUCCAAAUAUGAAAUUUUAAAACAAUAUCAAAGAUUAUAAAAUAUUUUCAUUUUAGUCCAAAACACUUUAAUUCCAUAAAAUCAUUUUCUUAUUAUAAAAGCACAAUUCAUAAAUUUUUGUUUAACUAACACAUGUGGUUUGUUAUCAUCAAAAUCAAUAUUUAUAGGCAUAUAUGAGAUAAUAUUUUCCCGUCUAUCCGUGUAGCUCCGGGGCAUGACGGUACUUAGAUAGUACGUCAUUGCCUGUCCAUUGAGGUCUAGAUAUGAGACAUGAUGAGAUAUAUGAGAUGAUACUUACCAGUAUAUCUGUGUAGCUCCAGGGCAUGAUGGUACUUAGAUAGUAUGUCAUUACCUGUCCGCUGAGGUCCGGAUAUGAGAUAUGAGGCAUAUGAGAUGACAUUUCACUGUCUACCCGUUGUAGCUCCGGGACAUGAUGGUUCCCUGAUUGCCCGUUCGUCGAGGUUCGGGUAUGACGAGAUUAUUCUUGUGAAUACUUGUUUGUUGAUAGUUUUCAGUAUUCAGUAUUCGAUAUUAUAAGUGUUAUGAUUUCAUUGAUUUUAUGCGGAUUUAUGGGAUAUUGUUAUUCUAGUGCAUGAUUUGAAUUAAAUAAGUUUAUGUAAGUUCUUAUGAUAUUUUGAUGAAAUUGAUUUUGGGAAAGAUUUAUAGUUUAUUUAAAGUCUUAUGAAUUUUUUAUGAGAUUGUUUUGAGAAGAAUUAAAUUAUUUUUAAGUAAAUUUAUUUUUUUCAAAAACUACUAUCCACUCACUGAGCUCACUGAAUUUUAUACUCACACUGUUUUUAUUAUAUUCCCCCCCACAGGAGACUUGCAGGAACAUCAGUUGACCCAACAACAAUAGUUAGAUUUGAUUUUAUGGCCACGUGAUGGUGUUAGAAAUCAUAGAUAUUUUGUUGAGAUAUUUUGGAUUGUAUAAUAUAUUACAUAUUUGUGAUUAAGGAUAAUUUAUUGUAUUUUGACAUUAUAAUGUUUGGGUAAUAUUCGAUAUGUUGAUUGAGGAAGUUGAUGUGGAGGUUGGUUGAAUAUUGAGCUAUUUUUGGGAGUGUUAAUUUUAUAAUUUGCAUAAGUGGGAAUGUUUUAAAUUUAUAAGAGAGAUUCUAUCAAAUUUUUGGUAGAAUCCUUAAAUAUUAGAUUUAUUACUGAUUUAAUUAGACGAGUUUAGGUAGACUCGCCUUGGGUUUAGGGCGUGUCAUUUCAUUUGAUGAGUGGCGACACGUGGUUACUAAUACAGCCAAAUAUUGAGAAUUCGAAUACAGACAAAAACGAUUAUUAGAACUAAUACUCCAAAUCAAAUUUAGAGAAUGAAUGUCGAGGAUUCAGAUCUAAAAAGUAUUUUCCCUCCAAUCAGUCAUCUGAUCUCUUACUCUAUAAAUAGUAACCAAAUGAUCAUCUUUUGGCCAAUUUCUAGACUAAGUCAAGAGAAUUCAGAUCUAAAUAAGCUUUCGAAAUCUCCAAAAUUUUGACUUGAGCAUGAGAUGUGUUUUGCAGGCACAAGCUCGAGUCAAAUCAAUCAAUUUCCACAAGGAUUGAGAAUGAGUAAUCAAGGAAUCAUGUAUCGUUUAUAAUUUACUAAAUUUAGAGUUAUUUUUGCAUCUCAUGAUUGAAGAUUUCAGAAUCGUCAAGAAGAAAUCUUCAAUUUAAUUUAUAGCGAAUGAUUAUGUUCCUUUUAUAUAACCUACGUUCUUUUAUAAAUUAGGCAUUUGAGCCUAACAAUUGAAUAAAGAGUGAUUAUUCUUUAAAAGUUUCCAAAUGCUAAUGAAAAGCUUGAAAAUAUUCAAUCAGUGUGGGUUCUGGUUAUUCUCAGGAUUUGUUUGAAAGGGAAGCUUAAGCAAAUUAAGACAGAAGACCAAUUAAUUAAGGUGGCUAAGAGGAGCGACCGGAAUAGCAAACUUUCUCAUUUGGUUGCUAUAUAAUUAAGGGGAAUAAGUCUUAUAUAUCUUUUAGAAAAUCAGCAAUGAAGUUAUAUUCUGAAAAAUUGCUUUAUAUAUUCUACAAGAAUUUAGAUUUUGAAAAUUUAGGGUGCGUUUGGGAUUGAGGUUGGUAGCACUAAAGUGUUUGGUAAACACUAACUGCUAUAACUCGGAAGUUAUGUUGAUAUGAUUUUUCACUUGUAUAAUGGAAAAUCUAUUAUAUCUUUAAUAAUUUUAUCAAAAUCAUUACUUAAAAUUUAUAUUUACUAUAUAUUACUAACUUUUGUUUUAGAGUUACAGCUUUUUUUCCACAGCAGCUGUAGCUUAAAAGUUAUAGCACUUCAAUCCCAAACGCACCCUUAAUGGAUGGCGCCGCUGGCGAAGUAGGAAACUUAUUUUAAUCCGGGCUAAUUAUAAAAAAUCUUAAAAUAAUAAAUGGCAUUCAUUGGUACUAAUAUGAGCUUUUUUAGGGAUUAAUAUGAACAUUAUUAAUCUAUCUAUUUCCAGCGUUGUUCCCAAUUUGGUCAUAUCAGUUAAGAAUAAUAUGCGAGUUGUUGUUUCUCAGAUUAAAUAGGCGGUUUGAAGGUUAGAUCCUUCCAGUGUUCCGGGCCCUAAUGAUUUUCCGCGGCCUUUUCUUUCAAUUAUGAUUCAUGAGUUAAACAAUUUUUCAAGUAGAAUUAGAUCCUUCUGAAUUUAAUUAUUAAUUUUAUUAAUUUGAUUCCAAAAGCUCAAGAGGCUUUGGUAGUGUUAAGGAUAUUAUCCCAUAUCGAUGAAGAAUAAUUAUUAGCUACGCUAAUAAUUUAUAUAAGCUUGAGGAGUUGAGGUAGCCCCAACUUUUGAGUAUGAAUUAGAUUUAUAGGCUUCUAUAAAAAUUUGAAAAAAUUCAAAUUACUUUUGAGCACAUAGAUGAGCUCCAUAAGAAAAGUCGGGCAAAUUUAACUUUGCUAUUGCAAAUUUCUGUUUAAGCUCAUCCUUUAACAUUGCUUCAGUCGGAAUAUUAAACUUAAUGCCUUCACAAGAAUACCAUGAAUUACAUCCAUGUAUAUUCAAAAAAAAAAAAAAAAAAGAGUUGUUGAUAUAUCAUGAUUUGAUCACAUUGUUAUUACAUAGGAUGAAGAUUUUUAAUUUGAAAUUUGUCAGUUCAGCUAUCAAACAUCGUGGUACUGAUUCAUAAUGGUAGACCUAAUGAUAAAUAAGUUAAAUAACAAACUAAUAAUACUAAUAAAUAUGUUUUACAAAAAAAUAACAUUAAGUUAACUUCUUAAUAUUUAAAAUAAGUUUGGUCAAUUUCUUAUAGAGAAUGGUUUCAUAAAUAGUUGGUACUUUCAUUUAUUAUAUUACCAUUCGUCGUUAUUAAUCUGAAAUGAUUGACUUCAAAAAUUUCAAAGUUUUACAAGGUAUAAUAUUAAACCUACAUAAAAAUUUAGAUCAUUCACAUUUUUUCAAAAGUAUUUUGAAUAUUAAAUUAAGUUAUUUAAUACUAGGAAGUUUCCGAUACCUUGCAUCUUAGCUUGCAUCUUAGUUUUACGAGGUAUAAUAUUAAACCUACAUAAAAAGAUAAUUUACAUUUUUUCAAAAGUAUUUUGAAUAUUAAAUUAAGUUAUUUAAUACUGGGAAGUGUCCGAUACCUUGCAUCUUGGCUUGCAACUUGAAAAGUCAAUGUUCCGACUUAAAAUAUUUAACAUAAAUAUGCCUUGAUAUUGAAACAAUAAUUGAAAGCCAUGUGCUUUAUAAGUUAACGAACACGUCUUUAUUAAUUUUUAAGUAAAAAUUAAAUAAUGUCAGAAUAGCAUGAUAACAACGAAUCAUUAUAAUACCAGAUGGAAUUCAUCGACUAUGCUAAACAUCAAGUUAUAUUGAUUGUUUAGUUGUUGUUCAAAUUGAUAUAAGACUUAACUUGCAUACAACUAGGCAUCAAAAAAUUAAAGUAAAUGCUUCUUAGUCUUUUUUUUUUGUUUUUUAAGUUAAUGACGAAACCGAACGCGAAGAUUGAUAAAAGAUAGAGAGAUAAAAGUGUUUGAAUAACUGGAAUAUUAUUAAAUAAAAUAUGAAUAUCAAAAUUAGGAUUUUAAGAGUCUUAUAUAUUAAUCCUAAAUAAUGUAAAUUUAAUAAAAUAGGCAAAUUCAAAUUAUUAUUAUUAUUACAUAAUAAAAUUUUACUAAUUGAAAUAAAAAAGAAAACAAACAAUACUAAAAAAAUAUAUCUAAAAAAAAAAUCUUAAAAGUAAUAGAAAAAGUAGGAAAUAACUCAAACUAGAAAAUGACCAUAAAAAAUAAGGAAUUUCUAGCCAAAUUAUAGCGCUUAUAUUCGUUUCGUUGCAAGCCUGGAAACGAUAUAUUGUAUGCCCCAUAUGGACGCUUGUAACUCAAUUUAUGACCUCGCAAAAGUAUUCUACUCAUCCUAUACUCCGUUCUACAAUAUGCAAGAGAGGUAAGUAAAGUUGAAAUUAAUUGUUUUAUCCUCUACCUCACGGGGGAAUUUGAACUUGGUUUGACUAGGAAAAAAAACCUACUUGAAGAGAAUUCGAACUUGAGUUAUUAGCUAAAUAAAACUACUUGAAAUUUACUAGACUCCUGGUGGCAAAUACCUCUUAGUGACCUCUCUAGCGAUAGCCCUUAACUAUAAAACAAUAACAGUUGUGAAACAUGCAUUACUUUUAAACUUGCAUGUUGAACAAGUAGAGUUUCAAUUUGAAUAUUAAGAUUAAAAUUGCUUUCAGAAUAACUUGUCAACAGGCUAUGAUGAAUACAUCGUCUUUAUACAAUAUGAAACUCUUUAAAAAUGCUUUCAGAAUGACAGAAUAAAUUAUUUGGCGUCUUUUUUUGGUUAUUUCUUGGGUACCUAAAGAGAAAACAGUACGACAUAAAUAAAAUGAGGAGAAAAGUCCGAAGUCUCAUGAUCUGCUUCAUUAUUCAAGGUUUUCUAAAAAUGUGUGAAGUCAGGCAAACGUAACAUGCCUUACCCUUGACGAAAAAGCAAUUCUUAUAUAUAAAAUCUCAAAAACCAAAAGAAAGUUGACCUAGAAAAAUAAAACACUGAUAAAUUUGCUGCAAUAGAAAAUAUCCCAUGUGCCAUAAUUAAUAAUAUAUAAGAUUGAAAAAUAUAAGCAGUACGUCUUGAUUUUAUAAGUAUAAAAUGUGUGAAGUGAAGGGGCAACUUCCAGGACUGCGAUUCUUUUAACAUAUCCUGCCUUAAAAGAAUAGGACCUAAACCACAGCUCAAACACAUCAUCAAUAAGGCAAAAAAUUAAGAAUGGGCAACAAAAGGGAACCCUCAAACCCUGUUGAACACAAGAGCUGAAACAUUGAUUAGAACAGAAUGCAUAACAGUAUAAAUCCAAUCCAUGAAAGAGGAGUGAAAUGCAAAACGGCACAAAACUUCAAGCAGAAAAUUCCAAUCAAUUUUAAGACAUAUAUUGCCACCACUAAUCUUCGGAUUAUCGAAGAGAUUCACCCCCUAAUAAGAGACUAAAACAAAUAUCCUCUUUUUUUUUUCCUUUUUUCUUUUAUUAAAAAGGUAUGAGAGUGAGUAAAUUAACCUCCCCGGCACUAGAAUUCGAGUAGCCAGCGAUAUAAAAUUGUUCAAAAAUCAGUCGAUCAAGCAACCUUGCAGCAGAAAUUAAAACAAUUACCCACACAAAUGUGUGGAUACUCAAUAACUUCAAGGUGAUUUGGAGAAAAUAUAUGUUGUCAAUGCCAUUAAGGGCUUGUUUGCAAUUUUUUCUAGGAGGCUCAAAAGUGAUUUUGAAAAGUUAAAAUAUAAUUUUAGUGUCUAUUAAACUUUUUUAGAAAUCACUUUUGGCAAAAUCAUCACAUCCUACGGCAGAUUUUGAAAAGUAGGGAAAGAGUAGCAUUUUGAGAAUUACUUUUUUGCUUAAUACAAUUCCAUAGAUAUCCUCAUAUAUAUUAUAAAAAUUCAGAGAUAAAAUCAUUAAUUUUAGAGAGAUUAUUAUUAUUACCAAUUAUUUUGAAAUAAUUGAAUAAAAAAUAAAAUUAAUAAUAUAAAAUAUUUAUUUUAGUUACCAAUUAUUAUAUGUGCAUAAUAAAAAAAUAUUGUACACAUGUUUAUAAAUGUUUAAAUAAAUUUUAUUCAACAUUAUACUUAAUUUAGUUAUUUAUAUUUCUAUAGCAGUUUCACAUUAAGAUUUACUCAACACAUACAACUACUUUUAAAACUCGCAGCACUGUUAAAAUUAAAUUUUACUAAACGUUUGACUAAUUUUCGUCACAACUAAUUAUUUCAACAAUAUAGCUAAUUGUAUGUAUUUUAAAAGAUAUAGCAUUACUAAACUGGUCCUAAGGUGGGGUUUGUUUUUUAUCUGAAAUUUGAAUAGAUCUGAAUUGGCCUGAAAUCUUAAUAGACCUGAAUAUUUGAAUCUAAAUAAUUUUUUCUUUUAUCUGAAUCUUUGAAAAUAUGGAUUAAGUUGUUUGUUUUUUCAACUUUAAAAACUAAAAGCAUGUAACUUUUAAAUUUGUAUCCUUAUUAAAUUCAAAUGUUAAAUAAAUAAUAUACAUACAUACAUACUUACAUACAUGUACACACAAACACACACACACACACACACAAAUACCAUAAUAUUUCAUCAUAUAUAAGCAAAAUCAUGUUCAAGUGAAUACAUAAUGAUUUUGGAAUUAUAACAUAUAAUUCUUUUUAUAAAAACGGAUUAUAUAAUUACAUAAAAAGUUUAAGAAUAACACCUUUGAUUACUGAUAAUGGGAGAUCAAGAACUUGAUGAGAGAAACAAAGUGAGGGAUUCCAUGACGGCUGAAAAACAAAUGAAGACGAGAUUAUUAUUAGAUAAAUGUAUAUGGAUGAGCUUUGUGAUAGACAUAAAAAAUAAAUAAUAAAGUAGGGAUAUUUUGUCAUUAGAAAUUAGUUGGCUGAUUUAGAUUUCUUUAUUCGGUAAAAAAGGGGGUUAUUUUAUUAAGUCAAAAUUAUCUGAAAAGUCUCAUAAAGUUAUAAAAAAAAAUUCUCUAAUUAACGUAAUUAAUUAAGUUAAAUCACUUUAGGUCCUUAAGUUAAAAAACAAACACACUCUAAGUCUAUGGGAAAGAAUUUUAGGAUGGUCUUAAAAAGAAAAUUAAUUAUUUUCUUGAAAUUUUGGGAUAAUCUCAAAAUUAACCAUUUUGACGUGUAAGAAACAUCGCGUCUCCCUGACUUUAUGUUCUAAUAUCAAACUUUAAAUAAUUCAAGGAAAGAACACUGGGCUUUCAAUUAAUGUAGCAGUUAUUUGUACGAAAAUUUUCUUCUAAUUUUAUAUUCUAUUGCUUCCCACGUUUAGGUACCCAAAAAAAAUAAUAAAAGAUGCCGAUUUGUAUAAUUGGUAUCCUCUAUAUAUAUCAACUAAAAUAGCAUUGUAAUCGGUCCAUAGAUACAAAGGAAUAACUUGUCUAUUUCAAAUCCCCCAGUCUUCGCCUUCCCGCAUCAUAAUUUCUUUUAAGCCUUAAGACGGGGAUUUAAAAAAAAAAAAAAAAAAAAGCAACUCCAGGCUGUGCCAUACAUGGGGACAUUGGAAAUCAAUGAAGAUACCUACACAUCUCAGGGACCAUCAGCAAUGAUACUAGCCAUUGGCACAGCAACUCCUCCAAACUGUUUCUACCAAGCCGAUUAUCCUGAUUUCUUCUUUCGUAUCACCAAUAGUGAGCACAAGACCGAGUUGAAAGAGAAAUUCAAGCGCAUAUGUAAGCAGGCAUCUAUAAAUAUUCAAUUUAAUUAGAGAGCUCUUUAAUCUGUUAUUUAAUCAAUGCUUUUUUGGAUCAACAGGCGACAGAUCAUCAAUUAAAAAACGGUAUUUAUAUCUUACUGAAGAUAUCCUAAAAGAAAAUCCUAAGAUGUGUUGUUACAAGACCCCGUCUUUGGAUGCUCGUCAUGCUAUGCUGAUUGAUGAAGUACCAAAGCUCGGUAAAGAAGCCGCCCUGAAGGCCAUCAAAGAGUGGGGACAGCCCGUAUCGAAGAUCACUCACCUUAUAUUCAGUGCCUUUUAUGGCGUUGACAUGCCUGGUGCGGAUGUCCGUCUGAUGAAGCUUCUCGGUCUUGAACCGUCCGUUAACAGACUCAUGAUUUAUACCCAAGGAUGUUACAUG
Molecule: long non-coding RNA, 101366 nt
Filed under: Citrus sinensis (sweet orange)
Lineage: Eukaryota; Viridiplantae; Streptophyta; Magnoliopsida; Sapindales; Rutaceae
Description: long non-coding RNA (CSIN_LNC003428)
Rfam family: Plant small nucleolar RNA R71 (bases 43118-43224)
Source: RNAcentral